This 106021-nucleotide long non-coding RNA is filed under the name Gossypium barbadense (sea-island cotton). The record is from RNAcentral. Lineage: Eukaryota; Viridiplantae; Streptophyta; Magnoliopsida; Malvales; Malvaceae.
UUGUUUGGGAUGCUGCUAUAGCUAUUGCAUUGAAGGACUACCGUAUGCUUGUUUUGAGAGAUCAUGCUCCAAAGGAGUGGUCCGAUAAGGAGAAAAUGAAGACGUGGAGUGUGAUCAGCUUACGUUGUCCUCAGAUUAUAGCUAACCUUCCCAAGGAGAUGGAGUGUUCAGGACUUUCCUUUUUCCAUGUGGCCUAUGAUGGCGCGGUUAAAAUUCCUCUCAAUUUCUUCAAACAAACCGAAGGCCUCAAAGCCUUAGAUUUGGUCGGAAUGCAGUUUCCAUCCCUCCCUGAAUCAAUUAUUCACCUUGCAGACCUUCGCAUGUUGUGUCUGAAAGAAUGUGCAGUUGAUGACAUAACCAUCCUUGGAGAGCUCAAGAGUUUACAAGUACUCAACCUUUCUCUGUAAGGUAUGAAAGAACUACCUAAGGAGAUGGCACAAUUGACUCAAUUAAGGUUGUUAGAUUUGCGUGGGUGUAGAGAACUCAAAAUCAUCCCAUCGAAUGUCUUAUCAGGUUUGUCUAAAUUAGAAGAAAUAUAUAUGAGUGGGAGCUUUGUUGAAUGGGAAAAGGGAGGAGUAGUUGAAAAUGAGAGGAAAAAUGCAAGCCUUGAUGAAUUAAACAAUUUGCCUUGUCUAACUACUUUAUAUGUUCAUAUUCUUGAUGUCCAAAUGAUACCAAAACACCGGUUUGUUGAAACAUUGGACAGAUUCAGGAUUUUCGUAGGUAAUUAUGGAAUAUAUGAUUGUUGCCAUAAUUAUGAAUCUCCGAAAGCAUUGAAGCUCAUGUUAUAUACAAACAUUGAUUUGGACAAUGGGAUGAAAAUGUUGUUGAUAAAGACAGAAGAUUUGUGCCUAGAGGGACUUGAAGGCGUCAAGAAUGUACUUGUGGAGUUAAAUAAUGGGAAAGAUCUUCCCAAUUUAAAGAGACUUCAUGUCAGAAAUGGUAGGCAUGUCCAAUAUAUUAAAACAAACAAAAUUGGAUUUUCUGAAUUAUGCUUCAUCAAACUUGAAAAUCUACCGCAACUUGUUAGCUUUUGCUCUUCAGACGAAAGGUGUUCCACUAAGCCCUUACUUCUUUUCAAUAAACAGGUAUUUGUUUGGCUUUACUUAUAUUUUCUUAUACAAUUUUAUUUAUAUGCCCAUUAAUACUUCUAAUAAUAGAAAUAAAUAAUAUUGUGUAAUUGUUUUUUCGGAGCUCAAAAAUAAAUUUCAAAUCCAAAACAAAUGAAAAAUUAAUUUUUAAUUCAAACCGAUUGAAAGUACAAAGUCAAUUCAAUAAUCUAAAUUUAAACCCAACAAUUUUUUUUAAUUCUAAAAAUGAAAUUUGAGCCCACAAAUCGAACUAAAAUUAUCUUUAAAAUCGAAAAUCAUAUUUCCAAAUUAUGUUACAUACUAUCUUUCCCUAUCGAAAAAGAAUUGUGUAAAUAUGUGCAAUUUAUUUUCCCUCACUUGGAAAGCUUGUAAUUGUGUUCCAUUAACACCAAAAUAAUAUGGCACAACCAGACAUGUCAUUGGGUUACGAAUUUGAGGAGCUUGAUCAUCAAAGGAUGCGGCAAGUUGGAGCAUCUGUUAUCACCCUCUCUCGCUAGAAGUCUGGUGCAGCUCCAAUGCUUUGAGAUAGAGGAUUGCAAUUGCUUAAGGGACAUCAUACUUACAGAGGAAAUUGAAGAAGAAAGGAAAGAUGUGAUUUGUUUCCCUCGAUUAAACUCCCUGCAUAUAGUGGGUCUUACAAACCUCAUCUUCUUCAACUCAGGAAACCACAAUAUUGAGUUCCCACUGUUGAAAGUGCUAAAGAUUGAGCGUUGCCCCAAGUUAAUAGAAUUCAUUAGUCAGAAUAGUAAUCAGUCCGGCAUGCACGCUCUCUUCAGUGAGAAGGUGAUUUAUUUCAUUAGUCUAACACUCUUGCAUAAAUCUGUUGAUUUGUCCUUGUUUUUUUUUCUGCCUUCAUUAUUUGAGCUAACCUUAUUAUGGGCAUUGAUUAUAUAUAUAUAUAUAUAUGAAUAGGUUGCAGUUCCUAGCUUGGAAGACAUGAAUAUCUGGGACUUGAGUAAUGUGAAGAUGAUAUUUUAUAAUGAGCUAGCACCAGGUUCCUUUAAAAAUCUACGAAAAAUAAGUGUUGUGGAAUGUGGGAGUUUGAAAAAUCUAUUUCCAGUAUCAAUAGCCAAAGAUCUUCCACAACUUGAACAUUUACGCAUCACUAAUUGUGGAGUUGAGGAGAUUGUAUCGAAAGGGGUUGGAGUGGAGGAGCAGCCUGUGAGGUUUGAGUUUCCGCAAGUAUCUUACCUUGAGGUUACAUGGGUAGAAAAGCUCAAAUGUUUCUACGAAGAGCAACAUGCAUUAGUCUGGCCGAUGUUGAAAAAAUUGAGAACAGAUAGUUCUGCUUUGCUAAAGAUAGUGGCAUCGGAACAUCUUAGAUUAACCCAAGGAAAUGAGCAGCCAGUUUUGUUGGUUGAAGAGGUAUGUAUAUCAUUACAACUAUAUUUCUUUUUAUGCCACGAUAAUACAUUUCUUAUUAUUAUAGUUUGUUUGAUUUUAAUUUUUUUGUUACAUUUAUAAUUAUUUUUUCAAUUUUUGAAAACAAGAUUGAAUAAACAUAAUAGGUAAAUAUUGAGUAUUAAUCUUGACUUUUUAGAUUAUCGUUCAAUUUGAUAAAAUUUAUAAAUGUUGAAAGUUAAAUUUAUAAAUGCUACAUUAGCAUCCUGUUAGGUGCUUUACAGCAUAGCAAUUAAGAUAUUCAAUUUCUCUAACAACAGUGAUUAAAUUGAAAUUUUAUUUGUUUUUAAGUAACCAAAAUAAAAAUAUUUUAACACUAAGUGACUAUAUAUGUAAUUUACCCUGCAUUUAAGUAGUGGGUCGAAAUUAAAUAGAACGUUUAAUUUGCUAAAAAAAAUUGCCACUCAAUAAAAAAUCAAAACUUUAAAAGUUAAUUACACUAGACAUCUCAAACUAUGACCUUCAUUUUAAAUUAGUCCUAAAAUUUAAAAUAUUAUAAUUACAUUCUUAAACUAUUGAGGUUAUAUCAAUUAAGUCUUUCUGUUAUUAAAUUCAUUAAUUUAACCAUCAAAUUAAAUCAGUGUAAUAUUUAUCUAUUUUAAUCUAGAUUUGCUACUCUUCUUUCGGCUUUCAUGUUGUGUAAUUUUUAUCAGUUUUUAUUCUCAAGGUAUUGUGUUUUCUUAAAACAAAAAAUUCAUCUAUUCUGGAUUCGUUUAAUUUAUAUUGAUUUUGUUGGGAUUUAAUCAUCAAAAUCAAACACUAAAGUUGUAUUUAUUUAAUUGAUUUUGUUUGUUUUUUUAAGGCAUAUACAUCAACAUUGAGCCUAACUUGUAUAUAUUUAAUUGGUUUCCAAGGUCAUUCCCAAAUUAGAGGAACUUGAGUUAGGAACUUUUGGAGAUAUGGACCAAUUUCCACCAGACUUGUUUCAACAUAUUAAAGUUUUUGCAGUGAGUGGUGGCUCUCCAUUUUCUUUAUUUCCUUUCGUCCGAAGAUUCUACAAUCUGGAAAGACUUGAGUUCUCUUGUUUUGAUUUCGAACAUGUAGUCCCUUGUAAAGGAGACGCCGGGACACUCCCACCAAUUAGAAAUCUGAAAUUGUUUUCUGCCAGAAAUCUUAACCAUAUUUGGAGGAAAGAUUCGGAGCUUGACCAUAUUCUUUCUAAUCUUCAAACACUCACAGUUCAGCAUUGUGAUGAUUGGAUAAAUAUUAGAGUCUUCUCAUCAUCUUUACAAAAUCUCACAAUUUUGAAUGUGUCAUUUUGUAAUAUGAUGACAAACUUAGUCACACCCUCAGUACUUAAGAAUCUUGUGCAAUUAACGACAAUAAAGGUAGAAGACUGCACUAAAAUGACAGAAAUAGUGGGAAACGAGGGAGACUGUCAUCAGACAAUAGUUGUUAGUAAAUUGAAAUGUUUACAACUAUGCAAUUUGAAGAGCCUCACAAGCUUUUCUCCACGGUAUUACAACUUCGAGUUUCCUUGUUUGGAAGAAUUAGUUGUGGAAGAUUGUCCUAGGUUAAAGAUCUUUUCUGAGGGAGUUUUAAGCACCCCACAAUUACAGAGAAUAAAAAAGUCGCGUUACGGUGAGAAAUGGAGUUGGACAAGUGACCUUAAUACCACCAUACAACAGCUCUACACAGAAAAGGUACAAAGUUAAUAAGUUCAUAAUGCUAGCUAGAUUCGUCGCGUCCUAAUACAAUUAAUUUUAUUACUACUUCAAUAACCAUUGAAGAGUGUUAAUCGUUAUUUUGUUAUUGUCUGCAUUUUCUAUUUAUGAUUGCUAUCUAGUGGAAUAAUAUCAGAUUAAUUUUUAGGAUGGACUCUAUUACCCAUAUCAUUUCAACAUCUCUGACACAUUUCCGGAGUCGAUAGAAAUAUGGACUAGAAACCCUCAAGAAAUUUUUGGCUUCAAAAACCUUGGCAGCCUGCAGUUUUAUAAAUGUAGCAGCUUGAAGUACAUAUUUACUCCGUCUAUGCUUUUGAGCCUCAAUCGACUACGAAGGAUAGAAGUGGAAGAAUGCAGUUCAAUGGAACAAGUAGUUAGGGAGGAGGAGGAAGCAAUGACACAUAAAUUUGCAUUUCUUUCGCUACGCUCCGUAACAAUUGAGUCGUGUUCCAACUUGACAAAUUUCCAUUGGGGAAGUCAAGCUCUUGAAUUUCCAGAGCUGAGUAAUAUCACGAUAGCUGAGUGUCCAAAAAUGACUGCAUUUUCUUCCUCAGUUUCAAGAGAGAGUGGUGAUGCAAGUGAAAGCGUGGUUGGCGAAGAGGGCAUCUAUGAUAACACUGCAACUUUUUUCAGCAAUAAGGUAAGUUUGGUAUUCAAUAUUUAUCUGCACAACUUAUUUCACAUUUUAUUUUGAUUUGAUCAACAUGAGUGUGUCUGGUCUAUAUAUACGUACUAGUGCUACACCUUGUCAAAAUUGAAUAUAAUAAAAUCCAUAAAAAUAUUAAUAAAUAAGAUAAUAUUUAAAAAAAAUUGGAGUUUAAAGUAUAAAUAAAUAUAUAAAAUACGAAUUGAAAGGAAAACUUAAAGUGAAAUACUAAAAAACACUAAGAAUUUAAGAGAAGUUUUAAAUUAAAAUAAUAAUAGAAAAAAGAAAACUAAUCUUCCUUUAUUUUAAUUUGUGGGUGUAUAAGAAGGAGAUGAUUGUGGAAGACCUUCACAAAGGUCAUUUGAGAUCAAAGGAGAAGAAGCAAGAAAACAAAAGAUGAGAAGUUUGAAGAAGAAAGAACCAAAUAUAUAGAGGAGAAUUGAAGUGAGAGAGAGGAUGCAUAUGGGUUUUAUUUAAAGAUUUAAUGCUUUUUUUUUUAAUUUCAUAUAUAAAAAAAUCAUUGAAAGAAAAAAAAUUCAAUAUAAUUAUUUCAAUUUACUUGUCAGGUUUUUAUAAAAGUAACUCAAAUUUUUGAUUAAUUAUGAAAAUGACUCAAUUUAAAAUUAUGCACAUAAAUUAUUCGAUUUCUAUAGUGUUUAUUGGUGCCGCUAGACACAAUGGCGCCACCGACCUACCAUCAUCGACCAAUGAUUGUAUUUUAUUUAAAAAAAUAAUAGUUUUUUAGAAUUGGCGAUAUCAAACUGAAGUGUGAUUAUAUAAAAUGUUUAUGGACUUAACGAAGUAAUUACCUUUUUUAAUUAGCGGAAAAAGGGGUCUUCACGUGAAUAUGGGGCACCAAAUUAAAUGAUUUUCAUCUUUUGGUCUAUUUGCAUGUUAGGUCUAUCCCUUUUAGAAAUUAAAUUUAAAUAACCCUUAAGAAAUAUAAGAAUAACAAAAACAAAUCAUUCUCAUUUAUUUUAUUUUAUUUUAAAAAAAUAAACUUAAAAAAUUAUAUAAAAUUCCUAUUUAAAUUACCCAAAUAUAUCCCUCACACAAUUUCCUCAAGUUUAUCUAAAUUCAAGCAUUUUCAAUUCAUUCCCUAGCAUAUUUAAAUUUAGAUAAACUUAAGGAAAUUUUUUAAGGAAUAUAUUUGGGUAAUUUGAAUUAGAAGUUUAUAUAAUUUUUUAAGUAUUUUUUCAAAAAAAUGGUUUAAUUUUGUUAUUCUUAUAUUUUUUAAGUGCUAUUUAAAUCUAAUUUCAAAAGAGGACAAACGUAACAUGCAAAUAGGUCAAAAGUUGAAAAACAUUUGGUUUAGAUACCAACAACACCCCUUUUUCAACCAAUCUAAAAACGUUAACCGCUUGAAAGGAUCCCUACACAUUUUAUAUAACCAUAUUCAAUCUGGUGCCGUCAAUUUAUUAGGCAACACUACUACAAUUUUUUUAAAAAAGCAAUUAUUGGUUUAUGAUAGGGGCCGAUGCAGUAAGCACUAUAGAAAUCAAGUCAUUUACGUACAUGAUUUUUAAGUUGGAUCAUUUUCGUAAUUAACCAAAAAAAUUUAGUUACUUUUAACUGUCUAGUUGAUGUGUGAAUAUUAACCUUUAGAUCAGUUUAUAAAUCAUCAUACUCAUCUACUCAUUUUGAUUGUCUUUCAAAGUAAAGAAGGAAGAGUGAUACUAUCUUAUAAUGAUAUUUAUGUCAACAGGUUGUCAUUCCUAGUUUGCAGCGUCUGGAUUUGUCCUCCAUCAACAUUCAUAAGAUAUGGCACCACUCAUCCUCCCCAUCUAUUGGAUACCUAAAUUUCUUGCAGGUGAAGAGGUGUCACAAUUUGAAAUACUUGUUCCCAUCUUUCUUAGCAAAAGAUCUUGUGCAACUCCGACGCCUUCAAAUUUCGGACUGUAAUAUGAUGGAACAAGUAAUAUUCACAGAUGGAUUGGUUGAGGAACAUCAAGGGAGGAAUCAGAUGUUUUUCUUUAAUCUACUUUCGCUGUGGCUAAUAGACCUUCCCAAACUCACAAGUUUGUGCUUUGAAAAUUACUUUGAAUUUCACUGUUUGGCAUAUUUAGAACUAAGAGAUUGUCCAUUGCUAAAAACAUUCAUCUCUAAAUGUGUACCCGGAGAUGAACCUCAAAUUGGCCAACAUGUACAAGCAAGUAACUUGGAGGUUCAUAACUCAUCUCUCCUCAAUGAAAAGGUCAUUUCUUCAAGGAUCCUCCUUUUAAUUUAUGUUACUUCGAUUGAUUUUAUUCAUUUCAAGUUCUUUCUUUUUCUUACAUAUUUCAGUUAUUAACCUAAUGAAAUGAUUUAUUAGGUUGUUUUCCCUAGUUUGAAGAACUUGUGGAUUCAGAAUUGUGAUUCGUUAGAAGAAAUUAUUGAGCUACAAGGACUCAUUCCAGAUGAAUCACAGUCAACAUCAGCUGCUCAAUCUAUUGUGGCUGAAACAGUGACAACCAAGUUUGUAUUUCCCAAACUAAUAAACCUUGGAUUGGAUAAGGUGCCAAGAUUGAAAAGUUUCUGCUCUAGGAUGCAUACCACCCUGUGGCCUUCAUUGAAACAAAUGAGCGUUAUUGAAUGCCCCAAAGUACAGAUAUUUACUCGACAAAGUCCUGAGAGUCAGGUUGGAAUCUCAAACCAACAACCCUUGUUUUGCGUCAACGAGGUAAGCUCACUAGCAGUUUCAUAUUCCAUGUUCAUUACUGGAGGUUACUUAUAAAAUGCCUUUUAAAUUUAUGAGAAAGAAAAUGGAAAUUAUAUUCAUUUUGUAGUCUAGUUCUCACGAAUUGAAAACUCUUUGAUCGAUGUUUAAUAUAUUCGUUGCCAUCCAGGACACUUUCCCUGUAUUAGAAAAACUAACACUGAAGACGAAUGAUAUGGUGAAGGGGAUAUGUGAUGGACAACUCUCAUUGCAGUGUUUCCAAAACCUUAAGCAUCUUAACCUCCAGUUCUUUCCUGAGACAUCCACUACUCUUCCGUAUUCCUUCAUUCGUUUGCUACCAAAGCUUCAGAAGCUUGUUAUAAAUAAUGCUUCCAUUUUUGAAAUAGUCCGGUCUGAAGGACUUAGCGAAGAGGAAAGGCACACAUCGGUAUUCUAUCAGUUAAAGGACUUAAGGUUGUCUCAACUUCCAGAGUUGACGUUAAAGACUUUUAACCCGUCUUUGCUAUCUUUCAAAAAUCUAACAACACUGAAAGUUUCAAGAUGCCAUGGGUUCAUCAAUUUAAUUGCAUGCUCAACAGCUAAGUGCCUGACGCUACUAGAAAGAUUGAGCAUAGAUGAUUGUGAGAUGAUAGAGGAAAUCAUAGCGUGUGAGGCUGAAGAAAUACAAGGCAGCAUUGUAUUUCCCAAACUGAAGUAUUUGCAACUAAGCUGUCUGCCAUGUCUAGCAAGCUUUUCCUUGGCCCAUCACUCGUUGGAAUUCCCAGUCUUGCUAAUGGUGAAGGUGACAAAGUGUCCCAAAAUGAGGAAUUUCUGCCAAGGAGAUUUAAGCACACCAAGGCUGGAACAAAUACACUUGACAAGAGAUGAGGAAGGUGAACUGCAGUGGGAAGGCGACCUUAACACUACCAUAAAACAUUUGUUCGAUGAAAUGGUACAAAUCAUUUAAAGGAUUUAAAUUCAUGUGUUUUACAUACAUACAUACAUACAUACAUACAUACAUAGUUAAUUGAACAAUUCUUGGUUUGUUAUGAUCAUGCACAGAAUGUGCAAAAUUCUGAGGUGACGGAGGUUACUGAUCAGUUGCCCAAGCUGGAAUAAGGAAAUAUUUUUGGGUGCUUAUGCGAAAAGCUCAAUUUCGUUUGAAUUCAAAACAAUUGGUAAUUGACUCUUCUAUUUUCAUCAUGGCUUAACCAAUGCUUUAUAAAGUGACCAUAGCGAUGCCCUUUUCAUUGUAGGUUGAGUUGCUCUACUGAAGUACGAGGCUGCAACUUUUGGUAAAAUGUGAAAGGUUAUUUCAGUUUUUGUAAAACUACUAUUUGAACUGUUACAUUUCACAUUAUACCUUCAAAAUUGAAGUUCAAGUGCAUCAUGCAUGGCAUUGGGCUACAAACAUGUAAACUUUUACUAGUAAGUUUGACCCCUGUUUGAAGGAUUUUCCAACUUUUGAUGGUUACCAUAUCAAUGUCAGCUUAAAGCUAUCAAGUAUCUUUAAUGAGGGAUAAAAGUAGGCAGCUAUCUAUUAAUGAUACGGCUGAUUCUGAAAAGACGGCUGAAAUUGAAUCAAUGGUUUUUUGGUAUUUGCCUGAUGGAAGAACAGGACCUAAUGUUACGUGGAUUGUAACACCCUUAACCCGUAUCCGUCGCCGAAGUAGGGUUACGAGGCAUUACUGAACAAACACAACCAUUUUUAAAAUCAAACUGAUCACAAAUAUGAAAAUUAAAUUACUUUUGCAUAGCUAUUUAUAAUUUACAAUCAAAAUAUAAUCAACAUCGUACUCAAACCUAUACAUGCCAUAAGAUUGAGUUCAAAUAUUUAACAAAAUACCAAAAGUAGUCGAUAGUGUGAUAAACUAUGCUGAUAAUCCCCGAGCUCGUAACGCGUCUCUAAAAUCUAUAAAAACAAAUGGGCAAAAACAAACAAAGUAAGCUUUUAUAGCUUAGUAAGUCUAUAGCAUACCUAAAAUACAUAUAAAAGAAUCAUAUAAUUCCUUAAGAAAAUUCAUUGAAAUCACAAUUAACAAUUAUAAUUACUAAUCAAACAUUUGUUUAAAUUUUAAAAGGAUGUAUAUUUAUCUAAUACACCCAAACAGACAAAUGUAUAUACAUUUUAUGCAUAUAAUCUACAACCAUGAAUCGCCGAAUGCAUAUAUACAUAUAUGCAUGACAAAUAUUAGAACCAAAUGUAUAUACACUUUAAACAUAUUAGCCGAGUGCACAUAUACAUAAGCUUAACAAAUAUUAUAACCAAAUGUGUACAUGUAUUUACCACAUACAUUUAUCCAAAGUCAUAUAUGUACUUAUCAUGCACAUACAAUCGAAUAUAUAUAUAACUUUAUCAAUCACAUUUCAUAUCUCAUUAUACAUGUAUAUAUAUAUAUCGAUCAUAAACUUUUAACCUAACUCAUAUUUAUGCCUAUAACCGAAUACAUUCGCAUUCAACUUUUACUUAUAAACAAAUAUUUACACAUAUAUGUAUUAGCAAUUGCACAUAAGAUUACUCAUCAGUUUCUUAUACCAAAUGCACCCAUAAAAAUAUAUAUAUAUCAACCACCUAUGUCGAGUUUAUGCACAACAUCUUCAAACACAUAAAUCUGAACAAUUCACACAAUUUUAACAGAUUCACCGGCACUUAGUCUGCUAGGCUUAAAACCUGAUUCAAUACACUGGCAAUUAGCCUGCUAGACGUAAAGUCUGAAAUAUUUCACCGGCGUCAAGCCUGCUAGACGUAUAGUCUGAAACAUUUCACCAGCAUCAAGCCUGCUAGACGUAAAGUCUGAAUUAUCUCAUUGACAAUAAUCAUUUUAGGCCCCCAAGCUCAAACACUCAAUUCACCCAAAUAUUACUCAUUUUCGAACUAUAUAGGUAUAUAAAUUCCAUGCUUAAAUAUUCAGCUCGAAACUCAAAAUUUAUAUCAUAGAAACACAUGAAUAUAUAUAUAAAACUCAACCACCAAAUCCAUUUUGACAAUUCAAUAAAUCAACUGAACAUAUUUAUGCAUAACCUUGCAUAACCUUACACUUCAAAUCCUACUACAAAUAUAAUACUAUUUAACUAAAAAUAUUCUUGAAUAAUAUACGCUUUACAUUCCAACAUAUUAAAAUUUUACACACAUAUAUAUACAUGAUCAAAACUAACAUAUGCAAAUAUCAUCUAAUAACAAAUUUCAAAACUAAAUCUUAUACAUGCAUACAUAUACACUCAAACCGCUUAUACUUUUAUAAUGACACAUCUUAAUUCGAUUCAAAAGUCUAUAUAUACAUGUAUAUUUACAUGUUUAAUAAUAAAACUCUUAUAUCUAUGUAUAUUUACGAAUCUCUAAGUACAGAUAUACAUAUACAUAUCUUUGAUUAAAUCAAUAAUUUAUACAUGUAUAUACGUGUAUGAAUUCGAACCCUGUAUAUAUAUAAAACUCUUAUACUUCAACUAGAUUCAUUAACAUUUAUGUAUAUACUUAUUUACCUUUGCACUUUAGCUAAAUUCAAUUACCUAUAUAAGUAUAAACCUCUAGGUUCGAAUAUAAAAGAAAAUACAUAUAAGCCAAUCAUACUUUUAAUUUAUUCAACCGAUAUACUUUAAAUUAUAAUUCAUCAAAAAUAAAUACAUAUACAUACUUAUAUAUUGUUUUUAUGACAUUAAAUAGCUAAUAGACUUACCUCGGAAGAUGGAAAAUCGAAGUCGGACGAUUAUUCGACUAAUUUGGCUUUUCCCCGAUCUAACUCCGUUUUCUUUGGUUCUCGAUCUAAAUAUAUUCAAAAUAAGAUAAUUUAUUUAUUAACACAUUAAAUUUAAUCCAAAAACACUUAAUUUGGCAAAUUACUAUUUUGCCCCUAAUAUUUAUACUUUUUGCUAUUUAGUCCUUUUUGCACAAAACACAAAAUACACAAAAUUUUCCCUCACUAAGCUAGGGCCGAAUGUUCCUUGUCUUCAUACUAGUCCACACAUUUCAUUUAUUUCACAUUUUAGUCCCCCAAAAAUUUAAUUUCACAAUUUAGCCCUAUUUACUCAAUUUCACUAAAAAUCCCAAUACAAAACAUAUUAAUCUAUCACAUAUCUUUCAUUUUUCAUCAUCAGCUAUCACAAAGUCCAACCAUUCAUCAAUGGCACAUUUCAAAAUCAUCAACAAUUCACAAAAUUAAAACAUGGGUUUUGAAGAACACAAAGCAACGAUCUCAAAAACGUAAAAAUUAUUAAAAAUUAAAACCUAAACAUACCUUAAUCAAGCCAAAAUAAGUGCCGAACCUAGCUUGCUAUUUUUUUCUUCUUUUUCUUUUGUAUAUUCGGCAAUGAGAAAGAUAACAUGCAUGGCUUUGUUUAUUUUAAGUUUUAUUAUUUUCAAUAUAUUAUACCAUUAUUAUUUUACUUUUAUAUUUAAUAUAUAUAUAAUAUAUAAUAGCCAUCAUUGCCGUCCACUACCAUUAAUAUUGGCUAAAUUUCAACAUGAAACCUCCAAAUUAUAAAGACAAAAAUAAUUAAGCACUUUCAUAUUUAGCCAUCAAAUUUUUAUUUUAUGCGAUUUAGCCAUUUUCUCAAAUUAAGCACACAACACUAAAAUUAAUUCAUGAAACUUUCACACAAGUAAAUUCACACAUAAUAAACACGUAAAAUAAUAUUAAAAUAUUUUUUAGACUCGAAUUUGUGGUCCCGAAACCACUGUUCCGAUUAGGGUCAAAACCGGGUUGUUACAUGGAUUUUGAUCAAGUUUUAAAAUUUCAGUUGUAGGCAUUACUGAUUGUUGCCAUUUGGUUAUUAAUACUCUGAUUUUACGGUUGACUGUCUUGCUUAUACAUUGCAAGGUUGGCGGGUUUCAAGUAUGAAUUUCCAAGUCGGCUUUCAUCCAUUAUUAACUAAGUGUUUCAAUCCAUGGAGUUUAUGGUUUAUGGAGUUUAUGGACAAUUUGUAACACCCCAAACCCGUAUUCGACGCCAAAAUAGGGUAUGAGGCAUUACCAAAACACAUACAUUUAUAAACGUAUUAAACUGAGUUAUAAAAUUUCAUACAGAUUAAAACUUUUAAAUUAUUAUCUUCGAAUCGCUAAUUGGGGCUUACAAGCCCAAUAUAUAUACUCAUUUGAUCCAAGCCUUAUAGCUAUCUCCAUUUGUUCAUUUCAUAGCCAUAUAUGAACUUAUAAUCCUUCACUUUCUCGUCAUAUGAAUUUAUCAAUUAUUACUUGCUUCUUGCGAGUACCUGAAUUGAUCCAUAUCAUUUCAUAUUCUCAUAUCGUCAUAUUUUUCCUAUUAAACCAUUGUAAUAUAUUAAAUAUUCAAUAUCUUGUAAAGAUUCACUAAUCUAUCCCAUAUACUUUCACACAGAUUAAUUUACAAUUCACAAGUCUUAUCAUUUCAAAGCUUAUAAGACACAUGUACAUGUCUACUAAUUCGUAUGAGUCUCAUACUCAUUCAUAUGCUCAAUAAAUUCGUUAAAUCAUUUCAACAUCAAAGAAUCCACAUUAUGUCAGAAACAAUACUAAUAACAAUCAUAAAUCUUUUCAUAUUAAUUUCAUAUAUCGCUUACUGAACUUCAAAUAUCAUUUCAUAAAUAUGUAAUUCACUAACACAUCUUGCCAUAUAUAGUAUCCAAUUGGUGAAAUCACUUAAUUGAAUUCAACUUCAACAAUCACAAUAAAUCUAUCACUUGAAUAUGAGUCCAUGUAACACUUACCAACUUUGUCAAAUUAGUGACCGUCUUACGGAAUUGAGUACUUAUUUUCUCGAUGUCAUAGUCCAACUAUGGUCUUACACAUAAUCACAUAACAUAUACCGAUGUCAUAGCCCAGCUAUGGUCUUACACAGAAUUACAUAUCACUUAUUGUCAUGGUCCAUCCAUGGUAUUUCCCAUCAAUUCGUCUUCAUCACUGAACGAAAGUACUCAACCCUGCAUUCUACUCAAUUUGAACUUAUAAUUCAAUUUUCGUUCUUUUACAAUUUUCACAAUUCAAUAGCAAACAUAUGAAUUAACAUAUUAUAUCAUUCCUAAAAUUAUCAAAUAAUCAUUAAAAUUUAACCAUAAAACACACCUUUAACAUAAACUAACAUCAAGAUCAAAUUUGCAUUAUGCCAUUUAUAACUCUUUUCCUGAAUCACAUAACAAAAUAUCACAAAUAUAUAUAUGAAUUCUGUAACUAUGUAUCAAACUUACCAACAUGAGUUAAUUCAUAAACCAUUCAUGACAUUACUUCAUGCCAAAUCAUAUUCCAAAUAUACCACACAUAUAAGCUAUGAAACUUUAUUUCCUCACAUGAGCUUAAACCAUAACCAAUUAUGCAUAAAACAUUCAUAUAUUUUAUUUUCCUCCUCCUCCUCUCCAUUCCACAUCCUUAAUGUACAUAACACUCUUAUAAAUAACGUUUUCUAUAAUUUUACUAUUCACUCACAUGUAUAUUCAAAGCUGUCUAUCCACAGAGUCACUAAAUUAUUUUUAUCCGGAGAUACAGAGCUCCAAAUUAAGAUCCGUUAAUUUUUCCUGAAACUAGAUUCACAUAUCUUCUUACCAUAAAAUUUUCAAAAUUUUUGGCUUAGCCAAUAAGUACAGUUUAUUCUUUAAAGUUCCCCUGUUUCACUACUCGACAAUUCUGACCUCUCUUCACUAAAAAUUAAUUAUCUCACUGUACAGAACUCAGAUGGUUACGUUUAUUUCACUUGAAAAUAGACUCAUUCAGGGUUCUAAACAUAUGAAUUUUAGCCUGUAAUUAUUUUUGUACAAUUUUUAACAAUUUUCCAAAAUCAAAAUAGGGGAUUCCAAACUCAUUCUGACCCUAUCUCACUAAACUUAAGAUAUCUCAAAAUAUAUAAGUCUUUUCUUGCUAUGUUUCUUUUAUGUAAAAAUAGACUCAUUAAACUUUCAUUUCAUAUCUUAUUCACUCUCCAAUUCAAUUUCCACCAUUUUUGGUGAUUUUUCAAAGUCACACAACUGUUUCUGUCCAAAACUAUUUUGUUGCUAACUCUACUAUUUCAUAAUUUCACUUUUUCACUUUUGAUCACUAUUCAAUUCAAUUCCAGACAUAUAUUCAUCAUUCAAUUACACUUAAUUGUUACAUGAUCUCAUGUAUUUUCACUUAGUCAAUUUCUCGUUGAACACUCAGAAUAUACACGGAUACGUAGAGAAUUAGCACAUAAGUGCCGCACUGAUAUGUAGUCGAAGCUACCAUUGAUACGUAGUCGUAGCUAUCACUAAAAUGUAGCCGAAGCUACCACUAAUAUGUAGCCGUAGCUACCAUUGAAAUAUAGCCGAAGCUACCACUGAUCAAUAACACUAAAAAUGUCCACGGGCCGGCUCACACAAGCUGUUAGGUGUCUGCAACACAUGCUAGAUCACCCAGCACCCGGGACUCACUGUAACACUGGUCUCUAGUGACAUGUCACUAGUAUCCACUUCUAUUCCUAAGUUCAACUGGGAAUUUACACUUAACACUUUAUUUUAAACACUUUAACACUUGAAUAAUUCAUAAAAAAUUUUCCUUCCACAUUCAAUAAUAAUUCACAUAUCAAGUGUAAUUCACAAUUUAUAAAAAUAUAUUGCUAUUAUUUACACAUAACUUACUUUGGUGCAAUAAUAUAAAAAUUUAGCAAUUUAGUCUUUAAUCUUUUCUUUUCUCCGAUCAAGAUCAAUCCAACUUCUUUCUUGAUUUAUAAUAACACAUCUGAAUUAUUUAAUACUCACAUUUAUCAAAACAGAUCUUCACUCAAACUUUUAAAAAUUACAAUUUUGCCCCUAAACUUUUGCAUAUUUACACUUUUGCCCAAAUUCUCGUAAAUUAAACUUCAUCCCUUAUUCUUAUGUAUUAUGACAUGCUGAACAGUUUUCCCUUCUAUGGUAACAUCAAAUUCCCACUCUAACACUUUUAUAUGAACAUUAGGUAUUUUUACCGAUUAUGUCGUUUUACUCGUUUUCACUUAAAAUCACUUAGAAAAAGUUGUUUAACAUAAUUUCAAGCUUCAUAUUCUACCAUAAAACAUCAAAAUAAACACAUUUCACCUAUGAGUAUUUUUCCAAAUAUAAACCCUAGGUUAAAUUAUUGCUAGAAUAAGCUAAAUAAAGUUACCGGGACUCUAAAAACAUAAAGAACAUUAAAAACGGGGCUUGGAAUCACUUAUUAUGGAGCUUGGAAGCUUGAAAACCCUAAAUAUGGCUUCCCACUUACUAUUUUCGUUCACCAUGGAGAAGAUGAGCACAUUUUGCCAUCUUUUUCCCUUUUUAAUUCUUUUUAUUACUAAAUUACCAAAUUGUCCCUAACUUAAAAAUUUCCUAUUUCACUUAUCUCAUGUCCAUUUUUGUCUACCAACUUAACCAAUGGUCUAAUUACCAUAUAAGGACCUCCAAUUUAAAGUUUCAUAACAAUAUGACACCUCUAACAUGUAGAACUCAACUUUUGCACUUUUUACAAUUUAGUCCUUUUGACUAAAUUGAGUGCGCAAACGUCAAAAUUUUGGAACGAAAUUUUCACGAAAUCAUUUCGUGAAAUUGUAGGUCAUAAAAAUAUAAUAAAAAUAAAUUUUUUCUCGUCAAAUUUAUGGUCCCGAAAUCACUAUUCCGACUAGGCCCAAAAUCGGGCUGUUACACAAUUGUUGUCUAUGUUGCUCAUUGCUGCAAAAAAAAAACCAAACACAAUGCAUGCAUAAACCAUUAAAAAAAAAGAACAUAAGCAACUAAUAAUGAAAUAUAUUAAAAUGAAGAAUGGCAAUUAAUUUCAGAAUUACCAAAAUUUCGGUAAAUAUAUUAAAACAUCUGUCUCUAAUCUGUUUCAAUUUUGAUAUUGAAAAAAUUGGUAUUUCUAAAAAUAUCAGAGUGAUUAAAUUAUUUUUAUUUUUGAAAGUGAUAAAUUAAGGAUAAUUAAUCACAACGUUAAUGUUUUUCACCAAUUAUACAUAAUUUUCUUGGUAUAAUGAUAAAUUUAGCCCUCAAAAUUGACACAUUCUAUCAAUUUGUUAUUGAUUUAAUAAAUUUAACCCACAACAUUUACACAUUUCGUCAAUUUGAUCAUCAUUUAACGUAUUUAACCCAUAAUAAUUACACAUUCUAUCAGCAUUUACGCAAAAUAUAUAAUCAUCAAGGAUUAAAUUUAUUUUUAUACUAAUCAAAAUUAUGUAUAAUUAACAGAAACUAUUAGCGCUUGAUUAAUUGUUCGUGGUUACUUUCAAAAAAGAUAACGAUUAAUUUGUUCAAUAUCAAAAAGAUGUUUUUUAAUUUUUUUAAUUUCAUAGGUAAGAAAAUCUCAAAAAAGAAAAUCUUUGAAAUAAAAAAAAUAGUAUGUUUUUAAUAAUUAUUUAAAUUUACUCUCACAUUAUUUUUACCCAUUCAAAGCUAGCAAGUCUUUUAUGUACAAAAUGGUAUAGCUCUGCAAUUUGGAUUAACAUUUUGGUGACCUCCAUGUGAAGUGAAAGAAAAUUGACAAUGUCACACAAUUAUUAUUUUUCCCUCCAUACCCCUAUGCCGCCAAAGAAAGUUGAAUUAUUAAGGCACAAAAGUACUAAGGAGUAGGAGCUAGAAAAAGAGGGGCAUGAAAAUAAAGAGACUUACAUUUAUUAUUUGCAUAAUACAAAAUCAGUCUUUAAUAUUUACAUAUUUUAUUAAUUUGAUUUUUAUUUUUAUUUAGUUAAAUUUGACUUUAAACCCUUUAAAAAAAAGUUGAAUUUGAUCAUUAACCUUUUAAAAAGAGUCAAAUUAUUAUUUAACGGAAAUGUUAAAUUUUGAAAUACAUAUAACAAUUCGCGUGUAUUUCAUAUUAUUUUUUUAAAAAUUUUAUGAUUUUUUUUGAAAUUUUGAUUUUUGAAUAUUAUUAGAAAGUUAUUUGGUAUCCUGUUAGCGGAAUUUUUAAAGUCCACCAACAAAAUCAAUGGGUUAGCAUGUGUCUUACAAAUAUAUAAUAAAAUAUUAAAAAAUAAAUAUUUUUAAAAAAAAGAUAUAUGUCAAUUUUUUAAAGUUACUUAUGAAAUAAAAAUAAUAUAUUAUCCGCGUACCAGGUACUCACCUUUUUAAUUAAGAUUUAAAAAUAAAAAAAUCGUUAGUAAAAUGAAUGGAUUGCAAAUUGAGAAUUUUGAUAUUGGAUAUUAAAAUUUUCUUAAAAAGAAGACAUAGCAAGAUACGAAAGUUAGUAACUUAUUUGAUUUAAUUUUAAUUUUUAAAUUUAUGCAUUUUAUUAUGAAUUUUUAUUUUUUGUGUACUCUGUAAAAUUUGUCUGAAAUUUGCAAUUUUCAAUUUCUCACGUGAGUUUGAGAUAAAAAGAAAUUACUUUUAGGAUUGGUGAAACAAGGGUUAUAGUCCAUACAUGAGUUUCGUUAAAUAUUGUCUAUAUAUAUAUAAGUAUAUACUCUUCUCCAUGCUGCACAUUAUUGCAAAAAAAGAACACACACAAGGGACCAAUCUUAGAUCUUCACAAAGGUCAUCUGAGAUCAAAGGAGAAGAACAAGAAAAACAAAGGUGAGGGGUUUGAAGAAAGAGCCAAAUAUAUAAUAAAGGAAAAAUUAAAUGAGAGAGGAUGGGUUUCAUUUAAAGAUUAAAUGUUUCUUUUUUGGUAAAAACAUUUCUUUGGUCCCUCUCCAUUUUGAUGUUGAGCAAAUUGGCCCCUUUCUAAAAAUUUUGGAGAAAUUUGAUCAUUGUUAUUUUGAAAGUAAGCAACUAAGUACAAUUAAUCACAAGUUUUAUGUUUUCAUCAAUUCUACAAUUUUUUCUUGGUAUAAUAAAAAAAUAUAACCUUCAAAGUUUACACAUUUUAUCAAUUUGAUCUUGAUAUAACAAAUAUAACUCAUAACAUUUUCACAUUCCAUCAAAUUUGUCCUGAUUUAACAAAUUUAUCCCGCAAUAUUUACACAUUUUGUCAACAGUUACGCGGAAUAUAUAAACAUCAAUGGCUAAAUUUAUUAUUAUACCAAUUAAAAUUAUGUAUAAUUGAUGGAAAAUAUUAACGCUAUAAUUAAUUGUUCGUAAUUACUCACUUUCAAAAUUGAAUAUUUACAUCUUUUAUUAAUUUGAAUUUUUUAGUUAAAUUUAAUUUUAAAUCCUUUAAAAAAGUUGAAUUUGAUUAUCGACGUUUAAAAAAGAGUUGAAUUAUUAUCUUUUAAUAAAAAUAUUAAUCAAAAUGUUAAAUUUCAAAACAUGACAAUUCGUAUAACAAUUCAGGUGUAAUUCAUGCUUGUUUUUAUUUGAUUUUUUAUGAACUCUUUUUGUGAGAAAUUUUUAUUUUUUAAUAUUUUUUUAAUUUUAAAUUUAUUGGCGUGACAUAUAAGAUAAAUAAUACUAUGUCAACAUAAUGACAUGUGGACUGCCACAUGGUUGCUAUGCCAACUUCGUUAAAAAUUAAUAUUUUAGUCAAUAUUUUAAAAAAAACACGAUUUGACUCUUUUUUAAAGGUUAAUGGUCAAAUUUAAAUUAAGAAAUAAUAAUGAUCAAAUUGAAAAAAGAUGUAAAUAUUAAGUGUUGAAUUUAUUAUUAUACUUAUAUUAUUUUAAGUAAAAUUUUUCGGAUUUGAAUUUGAAUUAUUUCAUGUUUAGAUUACAUUGAGUUCAAGUCAGUUUAGACUCGAAUAUUUUGGGAAAUUUAAAUAGUUUUGAGCUCAGAACAUUUCAAGAGAAAAUUAGCAAGUCAAAUUACAAUUAUAAAAUAAUAUAUAUAAUUUAUAUGUGUAUGUAUAUAAGUUUAAAUUACAAAUUAAUUACUAAAAGUGAUUAGGGCAUUAGUAUUUGUGUUGUCGCAUGGGAGUUUAGGUUCAAUCUCUUGAUUGAAAUAAUAUUUUUAAAAUAUUUAUUUAAUAUUUCCAUAUACAUCAAAAUCCUUGUUAAAUUUUAAUUUUGUUUUUGUUAUUAGAAUACUUGAAUCAAUAAAUUUUUAAGGCACAUAUCAAACCCAACAAUCAAAAUUAAAUCACACCAAAAUAAGGCCAAGAAAUCCUGAACAGCUCACCAAGCAACACUCAAAUAUCAUAACUUAACCCCCUUGCAAAUAAUAAGAGCAUAGACGGAUAAGCACCAAAAAGACUUGCUGCAGAUAAAAGGUCCCAUGCCCAUUACAAACUCUGCCCAUCAGUUCCUGCCAGAGGAGCCAUGGCCAAGAAAACUAUUAGUCUUAAUGCAAUCCACAAAACGUGUGGGACAUUUCCUUAAGGUCAGCUCUUUUGAGCUCAAGUCCUUUUUGCUGGCAAAUUUGUUGAUAUAGGAGCAACAUUGGUCAUCACAAUCAACAAAGGUCUUGUGAAAAAAAUAGUAUGUCUAUAAUGAUAACAUAUCGCAAAGAAAAGAGAAAUAAAAAUAAAGAACACACAGGUUUUACGUGGAAACCCUUUCGGGAAAAAACCACAGGUAGAGGAGAAGAAAAUUCACUAUGUCGAAUUCGAAUGAUUACAAGAGGAGUUUCGACUACAUCGAUUUAUAGGUUGAAAAAAACCUAAUUAUAAUCAAAGUCGAAUAUAUUAUGCUAAUAAAUACUAAAUAUAUUAUACCCAUAAAUACUAAAUCUUCUAGAAAGAAGAUAUAUUUUGUUUAACUUGACUUGCAAGCAAUCUCUUAGAAUUUGGGUUACACAACUCUAACAAUCUCUACCUUGACACGAAUUCUCAAUGAACAAGUUCUUCAUCGCGAACUCUCAACAAACAAGUUCUCCACUCUUCCAUAAAACCCUUUAAGGGUUUAACUUCAACAAUGAACACCAAUCAAGUCUAAGCAAUGCUUAAACUUGGUUAUAGGAAGUGACUUAGUCAUCAUAUCUGUAGGAUAUUCAUGAGUACUAAUUUUACUCACAACAAUAUCUCCACGAGCAAUAGCAUCACGAACAAAAUAAUACCGAACAUCAAUGUGUUUUGUUCUCUCAUGAAACAUUUGAUAUUUUGUAAGGAAUAUGACACUCUGACUGUCACAAAAUACUGUACUGAUUUAAAGGUUUUCAUUGAGUUCACUAAAGAGUCCCUUCAACCAAAUAGCUUCUUUACAAGCCUCAGCAAUUGCCAUGUACUCAGCUUCAGUGGUAGACAAAGCGAUUGUAGUUUGCAAAGUGGCUUUCAACCUGAUUGCACAACCUAUGAUUGUAAAGACAUAACCUAUGAGAGAUCUUUUUCUAUCAAGGUCUCCAGCAAAAUCAGCACCAACAUACCCAAUGACUCCAUCUCUAGUUCUUCCAAACUGUAAGCAAACAUCAGUAGUACCUUGUAAGUAUAUUAAGGGUCUGUUUGAUUGAAGGAAUUGAUUUUCCGGAAAAUCAUUUCCAACUUUUCCAGCGUUUGAUUGGCGGAAAACAUUUUCAAUUUGGAAAAUGAACUCCAAAACAAGGGAAAAUGGGUUACAUUUUAAGGAAAAUGUCUUACCCUUUCAAUUUCCGUAAGACAUUUUCCGUGCUCUCCUCUCUAUCGCCUCCUUCAUUCCUUCCUUCAUUUCUGGUAGAAAAUUGCUUCUGUUUAUCGAUUUUCCAGUAACUUGUUUUUUUAAUUAUUCAAUACUUGUUUUUUUAACACAAUUACAAUUAAUUUAUUUGAUAUUAAUUUUUUUCAAUUUAUAACGAUUAAUAUUGUAACUUAAUAAUUGAGUAUUAUUAUAAAUAAAUCAUUGCAAUAUAUGUAAAAAUAAUUUAAAAUAUAAAAAUUUAUUAAUAUAUAUCAAUAUAUGUAAAAACAAUUUUUUCAAAAAAUAUUUCCAGGAAAUCUGCCAAAUAGCCGAAAAUAUUUUACACAGAUUCAAUCAAACACCAGAAAAUAUUUUCCAGUAAAUCAUUUUACAGAAAAGUAAAACAUUUUCCCGAAAUUAUUUUACGGAAAAUAUUUUACUGGCAAUCAAACAGACCCUAAAAUCCACUGAAUUACUUUAUAAUGUUCUUUACCAGGAUUCACCAUUUAUCUGCUAACUGUACUGACUGCAUAUGAUAAAUCUGGACGAGAACAAACCAUAGCAUACAUGAGAGAUCUCACUGCACUAGAGUAUAAAAAUGUGACAUGUACUCAAUCUCAUCAUCUGAUUGUGGAGACAAAGCCGAUGAAAGUCUGAAAUAGGCUGCUAAAGGAGUACUAACAGACUUAGCAUUUUGCAUAUUAAAUCUGCAAAGAACUUUCUCAUGCACCCUUUCUAACUUAGGUACAAUUUACUUGCUUUUCUAUUUCUGAGAAUCUUCAUACCAAGUAUCUUCUUCGCUGGUCCCAAAUCUUUUAUCUCAAAUUUUUCACUUAGUUGGACUUUGACCUUUCUUAUCUCUCCUUUAUCUUUCGCUGCUAUCAACAUGUCAUCAAUAUAAAGGAGUAGAUACACAAAAGAACCAUCACUGUUUUUCUUAAAGUAAACACAACUGUCAAAGAUACUUCUUUUUAAAUCAUGAGAAGUCAUAAAGGAAUCAAAUCUCUUGUACCACUGUCUUGGUGACUGUUUCAAACCGUAAAGGGACUUUUUCAGCAAGCAAACAUAGUCCUCUUUUUUUGAGUAUAAAACCCUCUGGUUGUUGCAUGUAAAUAUCCUCCUCAAGUUCUCCAUGUAAAAAAGUAGUUUUUACAUCUAACUGCUCAAGCUCCAAAUCAUGCAUGGCCACAAUACUAAGCAAAGCUCGAAUCGAACUAUGCUUCAAAACUGGAGAGAAUACAUCUGUGAAGUCUACUCCUGGAAUUUGACUGUAACUCUUUGUAAUAAGUCUUGCUUUAUAUCUAGGUUCUUGAACUCCUUGAGUCCCCUCUUUCUUUUUAAACAUCCAUUUACAACGAACAACCUUUUUACCUUUAGGAAGUUUCACAAGAUCUCAUGUUUUAUUUUUGUGGAGUGAUUCCAUCUCCUCUUGCAUAGCAAACAUCCACUUUUCUAAGUCUUCCCGGUUAACUGCAUCAGAAUAAUUAGAUGGCUCUUGGUUUGCAUUUAUAUCUUUAGCCACAUUUAAAGCAUAAACAACUAGAUCAGCCUUGGCAUACUUCUUUAGAGGUUUAAUGUCUCUUCUAGUUCUAUUUUUGGCGAUAGAGUAUUGUGGUGGAGAAGCAACUCUAUUUUGAAUUUUUGUACUAACUUGAGGAGUCGACUCUGUUGUAGAUUCUGGAUUAAUCUGAUGCUCCACUUGCUUUUGAUUUUCUUUGUUGGAAGAGUCUUUAAGAGAUAAGUUAGGUAGCAUAACAGUUUCAUCAAAAACAACAUCUCUGCUAAUCACAACUUUUCUAUUUUCAGGACACCAUAACUUAUACCCUUUUACACCAGCUUUAUAACCAAGAAAAACACAUUUAAUGUAUCUCGGUUCCAAUUUUCCAUGAUCAAUAUGAGCAUACGCAGGUCACUCAAAAAUCUUUAAAUCAGAAUAGUCAGCAGGAUUACCAGACCAUACCUCUUGUGGAGUCUUUUUCUCAAUGGCGACGGAUAGAGAUCGGUUGAUCAAAAACAUGCAGUAGAGGCUGUUUCGGCCCAAAAUAACUAUGGUAAGUUGGCAUUUGACAACAUAUACCGAACCUUCUCCAUGAUCGUUCUGUUCAUUCGUUCUGCAACGCCGUUUUACUGUAGAGUAUAACGAACUGUCAAGUGUCUCACGAUUCCUUCUGACUUGCACAGUUUAUUAAACUCAUCAGAACAGAACUCUAAGCCAUUGUCUGUGCGGAGGUAUUUUAUUUGUUUUCCCGUCUAUUUUUCAAUCAUAGUUUUCCAAGAAGCUGCUUGCCACCAAUGCAGCUUAGUCGAAAUAUUUAGAGUUACGAGUGGAAAAUGCAGAGCAGAAGGCCAAGGAUGCUCAAAAGAAAAUAGUUGAGCUCGAAAGGUAGCUCAAGGCUUAGGUAAAGGAAGCUGCACAAGGGAGCAAUAAGCUUGAGGAGGUUGAUAAUGGACCAGAUGAUAAAAAUUCAGAAAACACUAGGAUCCUUUGACUCAACAGGUAUCAACUUUGAUAGAGCGAAGAUAUCUAAGGUUCGUUUUGUGUGCCUUUUUGAUACUAUGAUACUUCUAUAUCGAUUUUAGAUCAUUGAGAAUCGAUGAUAUGGCUGGACUAUGGAUUAAGCGGGAAGAGGAACUUCAAAAUAGGAUAAUUUAACUGGAGAAAGAAUUAUCUCGAAAACAAGCAUUGGACUCGGAAGUUGAGCGUCUAAGCGGAUCAUUGGAUGUAAUUGGCAAAAUGGAAGAUGGAGAUUACGUAAAUGUUCUAAGAAAGCUGGAGGAAUACCUUAAGGAUGUAGAGACAUUGAAUCGAUAUCUUAUUGCAAGAGAAUAACGGAGCAACGAUCAGGUGCAGGAAGUUUAAGAAAGAUUGAUCAGUGUAAGCUAUUUUUCUUCACUUACUAAAAUGUUUUCCACUCGAAUUUCAUUGCAAGAACCCCGAAGUUCUUCAAACAUUUGACCUUAUAUGUUAAUAGAUGGUAAUUGCUUUGCAAACUAAUGGUUUCUGCUGUUGUCAUGGUGUAGUAUAUUAUGGAAUCUGAAUCAACCAUUGGAAUCAAAAGAAUGGGAGAGCUUAAUCUAGAACCUUUUUUAGACAAAUACAAGAAGAAAUUUAUUAUUGACGGUGUUUGAAGUCCGAACAAUUAUCCUCGUUGUGGCAACAACAUAUUAGAAAUCCACUGUGGCUUCCUUUCAAGAGCAUUCAUACAUCAUAUCUUGAUUAUCUUUUUUGUACUUUAUAUAUGAAAGUCUGCACAUUAUAGACUACUCAUCUUGUGGUAAUGAUAUUCAAAUGAGAAAUCGUUCUUCAUUAAACCGUAAAUCCUUAUCCUUUACGCAUCAUUGCAGUAAGUGUUGCAGAACCACUUUAAAACACAUCAGGUUUUUAUCGACGAAAACACUUAUGGAAUGAUCUUCUGAGGUUUGGGUUCAUAGGCAACUUUCAACAUGGACACAUUAGUAACCAAUGUAGUUUUACUUUAUUUUUAUGUGUGAAUCAGUUAAUAGUUGAUGAAGAUAAUGAAGGAUUGAAGGAAUUGAGAAAUGAAUGGGGUGAAACGAUCUACAUGGCCGUAAUUGUUGCAUUACUGGAAAUGGAAGAGUACAAUCUAAGUGGGAGAUACAUAGUUUUUGAACUUUGGAAUUUCAAAGAUGAUGAAAAGCCAGCUUAAAAGAAGCUAUUGAGAUCUUCAUCCACCAUUUACAGAACAAACUGAGUCGAUCCCUGUACUUCUCGAACUGAUGGUAAGCUGAGUUGUUCCUGGUACUAGACUAUCAACAAGCCAAGCUAAUCCCAGUAUUUUGCGUAACAUUUCCAUGUAGUUAAUCUUAUUUUGCUAAUAUAUAAUCAAAUGACCAGUAUUUUGUUUAACCCUCAAACAUCCUGCGUGGAAGCAAGUUAUUCAUAUGAAUUGCUUGAAUUGCUCAUAUGUCCAAUGAAUUAUAAAGGAAUGCUGCUGAAUUCCCAUCGAUACAUACAUGCAUACGUAUUAGUGAAGUAUAUUCCAAUAUAAGAUCAAUAUUGGGAUUUACGUUUUAUAGAGCAGCAUUAAUGAUUGGUAAUAUACAUUGGUUCCAAGGCAAACCCAAAUAUUUUAACCUACAACUGUGGCAAAUCAAAUUUUACAGUAACCUAAUUAUAAUGUGAAGUCAAAUAUGAAAGUAACAUUGGUUUAUAUAUAUAUUUUUUUUUCUCAAAAUUCUAAUAAUCAAGUUGGUAUAAGUGAUAAACACUGAGCUUGCCACGUGUGUUAAACCACGUUUUUGUUAUGUGCCACUCCGAAGACAUCGGGCCUCUAUUCAGGCUGGCAUAGUCAGGACGUGGUAGCAUACUUCAGGGCCCUGGUUAGAAAAUAUCCCACAUCCGAUAAAAUUGGAACGAUACAGAGAAGAUUGCAAUCUUCUUUUUUUUCCCCUGGGUUUGGUGUUCAUAUUCAUGGGUUUUUGUGCACUUAAGAUUGCAAUUAGAGUUUUCUUUCUUUCUUUUACUGGGUUCGGUCUGUUUUACUCUCUUGAACUGUGAAUUUGAUUUCUUUUUUUUGCCAUUUUUUCAGCUUUGUUGCUUUUUUCCCCCUGGGUUUAGUUUUCAUGUUCAUGGGUUCCGCGCACUUGAGAUUGCAUUGGAGUUUUUUUUUUCUUUUCUUUUUACUGGGUUUUGGCCAGUUUUACUCUGUUGAACCGUGAAUACCUCAAGUUUUCUGGGAAUAAAUUGUUGCUUAUAUAUCUGCUGGUCAACAGUGCUAAUUUUCUGAUAUAUUGGCCAGAAUUGAAGGAAGAAGGUCCAAUUUUGCUUUUGAUCCUUCUACUACUAUCUUAAGAUUUAAAAGAAAUUCAAUUAAACAAUUUCUUCCAAUAAAAUUAAACAAGAAGGGACCUGCACACUUAGACAUGUUUCUCUUUGAAAAAAAUUCAAACAGGGUUUUAAAUUUUGCAAUGUGUUUUAUGUAAAUCAAAUGAUAUCCUGAAUUUUGCUAAGGGUGUUUCAUAUCCUUGAAUCCUUCUUUUGCUUGGCAAGUGAUUCAUUGAGUUUUUGUGAUCAAAUUUCAUGUUUCUUUUUUUAGUAUGGGAAUUUGUGGGAAAAUGCUUGGCAAUAUGGAAAUGAAACCAAUUUCCAUUUCCAAAGGCAACAGCAAAGUGGUGAAGCUUAUUGUUGAAAAAUUCUUCAAUAAUGUCAAUAAUGAAAAAGUAGAAAAUGGAAAAACAGAGAAUAAUUUUGGUUCUUCGUCCUAUUUGUAGUUAUAGUGAAUGGAUUUCUUUGAUUUUAGUAACUAAUAUUAUGAUUCCAACAUUUGGGGUUUUAAUCUCAAUAUAUGAACUUGGCUUUGCUUCUUAGUGUUAUUGUUGAACUUUUUAGGAUACCUCUAUCUUAAUCCAUUUAUGUGAUUUGAUAAUGAUAUUUGCAGGCACUUAAAUCUUCCAUUGAAAUGGAGAACACCAACUACGAGGAGGAGCUGAAGAAUGAUCGCAGGCUUGUUUGCAGUCUCAUAUACGAGAUUAAUUGCAGAAAAGAACAGUUGUCCCAAAUGGAACGUGAAUAUAACGAGAUGACCUCAACUCUUCGAGGACUCAUCAAUGGCCUCAUAGCAAAAAUUAACUCCAAGGACAGUAAUCUGUGGGGUUGGGAGCUUCAAUAUAAUGUAACCGUGAGACAGUUGAAGGGCAAGAAUGCUGCGUUGCGCCUUGCAUUUGCUGAAGGUACUUUAGAUUAUAUGUGUAUGUAAUGAGCAGAAUACUAUGUGUUAAUUGAAUCGUCUGGUACCCAUUGAUUGAUCUAUAUAAAUGUCAGGAUUUGAACCCCAAACUUAGCUUUUAUUACGGGAACCGGAUCAAUUUAGGCUCGGAUAAGCUUAAUGUGUUCAUAAACAGAUAAGAACAUAAUAUAUGGGAACACUUUGGCCAUACGAGGCUAAUGCUUAUAUGAUUCGCAUUACAGACUACAUGCUCCUAGUGAUAACUCUUCUGUAAGUACUAUUAGUCGAAUAGCUUUAUGAUGUAUUAAUCUAUCAAAUCUGGGUGUCAUAUUAUGAGUUCCAUUGCUAUGUUAAUCUAUGUACUAACAAUAUUAUGAAGUAAGGCAAUUUUGUGUACAUUAUAUUGGGAUGCAAGCUGAAUUCCCAUUAAUCAGUUUCAACCAUACAUACAUAUACAUAGAUAUAUAUAUGAAGUUAAGAACGUAAGUGCUGUUAAAUGGUACAUUACUCAGAUUGGUAAUAUAUUGGUGCCGAAUGUUCUAAAAUUUAACCAGCAUUACUGGUAAUAUAUUAGUGCCAAAUUUGACUAUUAUUGUUGAUAUAUCUUCAAAAAUUUCAGAUUUGAUAAAUAUAAAAGGGCAAUAAUGAAUAAAAAUACUGACUUUUUGAGAUCUUAUUUAAUGAAGGGAAGUUGAAUGUGGAAACUAAAUCGACCUAAGGGAAAUAAAAGCAAAAUAUGGAAAAGUUUUCUCGGGAAAACAAGUGUUAUCCUUCAUUUAUCUUGAUGAUUCUCUAACGCCGCCAAUUUUCCCCCCUAAGUUUACAGCAAGAAGACAAACGGCAACGUUAAGCCAUAUUCAUCCCAGGUUAAUUUUUUUUGUAAAUUAAACAUUUUUUGUAUACAUUUUGUUACCUAUUUAUUUUAUGUUUUUGAAGUUUCCAUUGCCAUUUCUACCUUUCCAAAAUGGUGUCUUUUUACUUGUUUUUUACUGGGUUAUUGACAUUUGUUCCAUAGAAUAAAUUUCUUUGAUUUUAGGGUUCUAUAUGUAUUUUUUUUAUGAAUUUGAACUUCAGUUAUCCAUAAAAAUUCUACCUUUAAUCUCAAUAUAUUUAUAGUCUAUAAGUUUUGACUUUUCUUCCAAUAAUAUAUCUCCAAAAUUCUAACUUAACCUUUUUAAACUUUGUCAUGUCAUUAUUAUUAUAGUUAAUUGCACCAAAUAUCUCCAAACUAUGGCCCUUAUUCUAAAAUAGUCCUCAAACUCAAAAUACGAGUAAUAUUUGGCCAUAAAAUGUAUAUAUUCAUUCCCUCUAAGCCAGUCGGUUAAGCCUCACAAUCCAACGUAACUGUAAAUCUUUCUUGGCAGCCAUGAAAUCAGUUCUAAAAUCCCUUGCAAACUCAAUCUUCCUUGUUCUUUUCAUCAUCUUUUCAUCUUCUACUCCACUUGUAUUGGCUCAAUGUGAAGCAGAGACCAGGACUAAUGGAUGCCAUAACUACAGAGAAUCCAUGAAGCUAAAAAUCAUUGCCAUUGUCGCAAUUUUACUAUCCAGCAUGAUUGGCGUGUGUCUGCCAUUGUUUUCUGGUCAGGUUCCGUCACUUAAACCCGACAGGGACUUGUUCACCAUUGUCAAGGCAUUUUCCUCCGGUGUUAUUCUAGCGACUGGGUACAUGCACGUGCUACCGGAUUCUUUUAACGACCUUAUGUCCGGGUGUUUGCCUGAAAACCCAUGGAGAAAGUUCCCUUUCACAACCUUCGUCGCAAUGCUGUCGGCUGUGUUGACCCUUAUGGUGGAUUCAUUUGCAAUGAGUGUAUACAAGAAACGUUGCGGUAAAGCUUUAAUGGCGGAUGCUAACAAUGGUGGUGGAUUGGAAAAUACGAACGUUGUACAAAUCGAUAAUUUUGAACACGGCCAUAGCCAUUCACUUGAGAUGAAUGACGACGUAUCAUCACAAUUGUUAAGGCAUCGAGUUAUUGCUCAGGUAUAUAUACAUGUUUGAAUCCUCAAAAUCGAUGGUUUUGCUUUUCAAGUCUUUACAUUAUGUAUUUCCUAAAUGUAGGUAUUAGAGUUGGGAAUUGUAGUUCAUUCAGUGGUGAUUGGCCUUGCAAUGGGAGCCUCUGGCAACCAAUGCACCAUUCGAUCACUCAUUGCUGCCCUUUGCUUCCAUCAAAUGUUUGAGGGGAUGGGACUUGGUGGAUGCAUACUGCAGGUAACCCCCAACAUUGCACUAUAUAUUUUCUCAUUCAAAUAUCCAUUUAGUGUACAAUAUUGAUUAACAUUAUGUUUGAUAUGUGCAGGCUGAAUAUGAGAUAAAAAUGAAAGCAAUCAUGGUAUUCUUCUUUUCAGCCACAACGCCACUUGGAAUAGUUCUGGGAAUUGGUUUGUCCAAGGUUUACAGUGAGACGAGUCCAACUUCACUUAUGGUGGUGGGACUACUUAAUGCUUGCUCAGCAGGGUUGCUGAAUUACAUGGCACUGGUUGAUCUACUUGCAGCUGAUUUUCUGGGCCCUAAGCUUCAAACAAAUAUGAAGCUCCAGGCUUGGUCAUAUGUUGCAGUUUUACUUGGUGCUGGAUUUAUGUCUUUGAUGGCAAAAUGGGCUUAGUCAUUUCAACAUAUACAUGUCUUUUUGUAAUCUUCUUUUUUUUUUCUUUUUUCUUUUUGCUUCAACAGAUAAGUUUAUAGUGGAUCAACACUUAUUCAAUCAAUUAUAAAAUUUAGGCAAAGAAUUGAGGCAACAAGGCUUGAACAUUGAUCUUUAAGAUCGUUUACUCCAUAUUGCAGGGCUCAUCACAAAGUAUAUAUAUCAGAAAAGUAUGCAAACUUCAAUUUUGUGUCAAUAUCAUUAUAAUUUAAACUGUUUAAUGUUACAUCAGAUGUAGAUGUCUUUAAGCCAAUGCUUAUAGCCACAAAGUCUCUUUGGUGCAAGCUAUAAGGACAGAGUUAUGUUAUAAAUAAACAAAUUAAAUAAUUUGUAUUUAAAAUAUCAAAUACUAAAAACCAAUAAAUAAGAUUAGAAAACCAAAAAUCGGAUAAAGAAUCAAAUUUUACUAGAUGUUGGGACUUGUUUUGCACAGUUUCCUUAAGAUAAAUUUGUCCGCUCCUACUGUACUUGGUGAAAUGUUGGGAGACUGUCUAAUAGGAUACAACAACACAAUGACCGAAAUAGUAGCAUCUCUACAGAGACCAAUGAACAACCUUGCCUUUUUCUAUCAUCAGAACAUUGGAAAAUAUAGAGAGAAAAAGAGAAGAAUUUUCGAGAGCAAAAUAAACUUGGUUUUAGAGAGUUUUUUAGUGUAAAAAAUUUUGAAGAAUUCUUAAGCAUUCAAGAUGGAGGAAUUUUUGAAAUAUCCAUAAUUAAAUAUACAAAAUCUGUAUUAAAUGAGCAAUUAAAUCAUAAUAUAUGUCCUUUUUAAAUUAGAUUAUAUAUAUUUGUUGAGAAAAAUAAAUUUUGUGUUGGGCUUAAAAUAUCCAUAGGCCCAACUGACCGGUCUAGACAUUUCACAUCGCCCAUGUAGUGCGAGUGCGCUUCAACCCCAAUGGGUUCGGAUCUACACCCCCUGCGCGUGAGACAAAGUUUCAAACUUAGUCAUUCAAUCAUCUUUCAAGUGGGUUCUCAUAUAUAAACGCAUCUCACAUUUGGUAUUUAAUCAAUGUGAGAUCUAAGCUUUUCUUUUCCUCAACAAAUAUUCACAAGUAACUUACUUUGAGUAUUAAUUUCUCGCUCAUCACUCAACCAUUUUGAGCAUACGAUAUACUGUUUUAAAGGUAUCAUGGAGUAGAAUAUAAAAUCAUAAUUUUAUGAUUCAAUUCUCCACUUAUACCAAUUGAGAAUAUGCUUCAAAGUUUCUAAAAAUUACAAUUUUUUUCAACAUUUUAUACAUCUAGUUUAAAGGUAUAAUCGAGUCCAGUAGAGCCCGAAUAAUGGCAAGCUUGAACUUGACUCAAACAUCACUUUUUAAGCUCAAUCUUGAUUCAAAACAUGAUUGAGCUGAUUAAGCUCGUUUAUCAAUUUUUAUAAUCAAACUCAUUUAUAAUUAAGCUCUUUUUAUAUAUCAAAGAUAAAAAUGUAAUUUUAUAAGUAAAAAUAUAUUUAAAUGGAAUGCUUAAUUAGGUUUGUGGGCUACUUGAAUCAAGUAUUACAAUAUUUAAAUUCAGCUUAAUCAAUAGCUCGAGCUCUACUCAAUAAUUUUCGAUAAAAUAUUAAGAUUUUUUGAAUCCAAUUCGAAUAGCUUGCAAAUAUAAUGUAUCACUUGUACUCUUAAUUUUGAGUUUGCAUUUUUAAUUCUUAAAAUAAUAUUAAAAAGUUCUUUCUUUCUAAAAAGAAACACCCAAUCAAUUGAAGGCUUUUUAGAAAGUGGUGGCAAAGUGCAUCCUUUACUUUAAGUCUCACUAUAUCUAAAAAGAAAUUAAUGCGAACUGUAGAAAGUGGUAGGAAUGUGCAUCAUUAUUGCUUUAAAAGAAUUUCAAUCUUUAAACGGAUAGAAUUAAAUUUUCAUAAUUUGGAAGAGUUAAAGUGUAAUUUUUUUUAUUAAUUUAAAAUUUUAAAAUUUUUUAAAGAGUUCAAAUAAUAAUUUUUUAUUUUAAGAGAGCCGGGCUCCUGUCAACUCCUGGAUUUGCCUCCAUAAUUUUCAAAAUUUUAAAUUAUGUUAUUUUGAAUAAAAAGUUAAUUGAUAAAGAAAUUCCUUUAGUUUCAAAAAUUCAAUUUUUUUGUUUUAAAAAAUAUUAAAAUUUAAAAAUUAAAAGAUUAAAGUAAUAAAAUUUCUCCCAAUAUUAAUGUCUUUUUGAUACAUGCACGAAUGGAGUGAAAUUUAUUAGAUUCCAAUCAUCAAAACUGCCAAUUUUUAGGCUUGGGAAAUUAGCACACUUGCGAUGACUUUGUGGAUGGGAUUCUGGCAUUUUUUGGGUUGAGAUGUCUCAUGGCAUUUGAAGAUCAAUCUCUUAGCUUCGAAACACAUUUCGAAUCACUCGAUUUUGAGUUCGGAAGCUCAAGUUAUGACUGUUUUAGUGAAGACUGCGCGAGCAGAAUUUUUGAACGAGAUUAUGACGGGAGUUACAAAUUUUGGGCUUUUAAUUCAUGUUUAAAUUAUAUUGGGUUCAGGUUUUAGACUUACUUUUUUUAUUAUAUAUGAGCCUAAUAUUAUAGUUGUUAGAUCUUAUUAUUUUAUUAUUAUUUUAUUCUAAAUUUUUUAUAAUUAUUAAGUAUUUUAAGUUAUUUAGGAGUUUUAUAUUAACAAGAAAAUUCAAUUUAAAACUACUUCUUAUUUAGAUUAAAUUAGAAUUCUAGUAUACUUAAAAGUUUUAUUUAGAUUUAUUUAGCUAGCCUAUAUGUAGGCAUUAUUCAUUAUUAUUCUAUUUAUCUUUUGAGUUAAUAAAUUCUCUCUGGGGUUUUUUUUUUCAAGAAUUUUUCUUGAGUUUCUUUUAGAAGAGUUUUAACAAUCAUUUUAGAUUGUGGGGAUCAUUUUCAAACUUUUUAUUGCCAAGGUUUCUAUCUUGAAGGGGAAAUUAGAGCCGCUUGAAGGGGAUUGUGAAUUCUUCGUGUUUCCAAGGCUUAUUAGGACUUCUACACACCACAUUCUAUCUUUUCAUUUAUCUUCUUUAUUUGCUUCCUUAUCUUUAAUUUAUUAUUUUAUUUUAGUUAUUUAUUUUAAUUGUUUUAUCUGACUUGGAUUCAAUUUCGUUUCAGAUUGUGUCAAAAUCCAAUUUCUUUCCGAACGUUUAGAACCCUAAGUCAAAUCCAUAAUUUUGACAAACUUUAUGAUCCACUUUCGCGUUCAUCCUUCUCAUCCUUUUGUACUGGCUUGAGGAGUCGACUCUGUUGUAGAUUCUAGAUUAAUCUGAUGCUCCACCUGCUUUUGAUUUUCUUUAUUGGAAGAGUCUUUAAGAGAUAUGUUAAGUAGCAUAACAGUUUCAUCAAAAACAACAUUUCUGUUAAUCACAACUUUUCUAUUUUCAGGAUACCAUAACUUAUACACUUUUACACUAGCUUUAUAACCAAGAAAAACACAUUUAAUGGUACACAAUUUUAAUUUUCCAUUAUCAGCAUGAGUAUACGCAAAACACCCAAAAAUCUUUAAAUCAGAAUCGUCAGCAGGAUUACUAAACCAUACUUCUUAUGGAGUCUUUUUCUCAAUAGCAACGAAUAGAGACCGAUUGAUCAAAAACAUAUAGUUGACAUUGCUUUGGCCCAAAAUAACUUUGAUAAGUUGCCAUUUGACAACAUACAUCGAACAUUCUCCAUGAUCGUUCUAUUCAUUCGUUCUACAAUACCUUUUUUAAAAUGUUCAUGUUCUAAAAUGAAAAACAAUAUGAAUUGCAUGAAUUGCUUAUAUGUCCUAUGAAUUAUAAAGGAAUGCGGUUGAAAUAUUCCCAUCGAUACAUACAUACAUAUUCGUGAAGUAUGUUCCAAUAUAAUAUCAAUAUUGGGAUUUACGUUUUAUAAAGCAACAUUAUUGAUUGGUAAUAUACAUUAAUUCCAAGGCAAACCCAAAUAUUUUAAAAUUUAACCUACAACUGUGGUAAAUCAAACUUAAUAGUAACUCGAUUGUAAUGUGAAGUCAAAUAUGAAAGUAACAUUGGUUUAUAUAUAUAUUUUUCUCUAAAUUCUAAUAAUCAAGUUGGGAUAAGUGAUAAACACUGAGCUUGCCACGUGUGUUAACCACGUUUUCAUCAUGUGCCACUCCAAAGACAUCAGGCCUCUAUUCAAGCUGGCAUGGUCAGGACGUGGUAGCAUACUUCAGGGAUCUGGUUAGAAAAUAUCCCAUAUCGCUAAAGAACUAUAACACAGGAGCGUUUAUAUAAGCGAAAGAAGCAUCAGAUGGUUGUCCCUUCGGGGACAUCCGAUAAAAUUGGAACGAUACAGAGAAGAUUAGCAUGGCCCCUGCGCAAGGAUGACACGCACAAAUCGAGAAAUGGUCCAAAUUUUUUUCCCUUUUUUUUCCCACAUUUUUACAGCUCUGUUUCUUUUUUUUUUCCUGGGUUUGGUGUUCAUAUUCAUGGGUUUUUGUGCACUUAAGAUUGCAAUUAGAGUUUUCUUUCUUUCUUUUACUCUCUUGAACUGUGAAUUUGAUUUUUUUUUCCAUUUUUUCAGCUUUGUUUCUUUUUUCCCCCUGGGUUUAGUUUUCAUGUUCAUGGGUUCCGCGCACUUAAGAUUGCAUUAGAGUUUUUUUUUUUUCCUUUUUACUGGGUUUUGGCCAGUUGUACUCUGUUGAACCGUGAAUACCUCAAGUUUUCUGGGAAUAAAUUGUUGCUUAUAUAUUUGCUGGUUAACAGUGGUAAUUUUCUGAUAUAUUGGCCAGAAUUGAAGGAUGAAGGUCCAACUUUGCUUUUGGUCCUUCUACUACUAUCUUAAGAUUUAAAAGAAAUUCAAUUAAACAAUUUCUUCCAAUAAAAUUAAAUAAGAAGGCCCAGAAAUUGACCUGCACACUUAGACAUGUUUCUCUUUGAAAAAAAUUCAAACAGGAUUUUAAAAUUUGCAAUGUGUUUUAUGUAAAUCAAAUGAUAUCCUGAAUUUUGCUAAGGGUGCUUCAUAUCCUUGAAUCCUUUUUUUGCUUGGCAAGUGAUUCAUUGAGUUUUUGUGAUCAAAUUUCAUGUUUCCUUUUUUAGUACGGGAAUUUGUGGGAAAAUGCUUGGCAAUAUGGAAAUGAAACCAAUUUCCAUUUACGAAGGCACCAGCAAAGUGGUGAAGCUUAUUGUUGAAAAAUUCUUCAAUAAUGUCAAUAAUGAAAAAGUAGAAAAUGGAAAAACAGAGAAUAAUUUUGGUUCUUCAUCCUAUUUGUAGUUAUAGUGAACGGAUUUCUUUGAUUUUAGUAACUAAUAUUAUGAUUCCAACAUUUGGGGUUUUAAUCUCACUACAUGAACUUGGCUUUGCUUCUUAGUGUUAUUGUUGAACUUUUUAGGAUACCUCUAUCUUAAUCCAUUUAUGUGAUUUGAUAAUGAUAUUUGCAGGCACUUAAAUCUUCCAUUGAAAUGGAGAACACCAACUACGAGGAGGAGCUGAAGAAUGAUUGCAGGCUUGUUUGCAGUCUCAUAUACGAUAUUAAUUGCAGAAAAGAACAGUUGUCCCAAAUGGAACGUGAAUAUAACGAGAUGACCGCAACUCUUCAAGGACUCAUCAAUGGCCUCAUGGCAAAAAUUAACUCCCAAGGACUGUAAUCUGUGGGGUUGGGAGCUUCAAUAUAAUGUAACCGUGAGACAGUUGAAGGGCAAGAAUGCUGCGUUGCGCCUUGCGUUUGCUGAAGGUACUUUAGAUUAUAUAUGUGUAUGUAGUGAGCAGAAUACUAUGUGUUAAUUGAAUCGUUUGGUACCCAUUGAUUGAUCUAUAUAAAUGUCAGGAUUUGAACCCCAAACUUAGCUUUUAUUACGGGAACCGGAUCAAUUUAGGCUCGGAUAAGCUUAAUGUGUUCAGAACCAGAUAAGAACAUAAUAUAUGGGAACACUUUGGCCAUACGAGGCUAAUGCUUAUAUGAUUCGCAUUACAGACUACAUGCACUGUUAGUUGAAUAGCUUUAUGAUGUAUUAAUCUAUAAAAUCUGGGUGUCAUAUUAUGAGUUCCAUUGCUAUGUUAAUCUAUGUACUAACAAUAUUAUGAAGUAAGGCAAUUUUGUGUACAUUAUAUUGGGAUGCAAGCUGAAUUCCUAUUAAUCAGCUUCAACCAUACAUACAUACAUACAUACAUACAUACAUACAUAUAUAUAUGAAGUUAAGAACGUAAGUGCUGUUAAAUGGUACAUUACUCAGAUUGGUAAUAUAUUGGUGCCGAAUGUUCUAAAAUUUUACCAGCAUUACUGGUAAUAUAUUAAUGCCAAAUUUGACUAAUUAUUGUUUAUAUAUAUUCAAAAAUUUCAGAUUUGAUAAAGAUAAAAUGGCAAUAAUGAAUAAAAAUACUAACUUUUUGAGAUCUUAUUUAAUGAAGGGAAGUUGAAUAUGGAAACUAAAUCGACCUAAGGGAAAUAAAAGCAAAAUAUGGAAAAUAUUUCUCGGGAAAACAAGUGUUAUCCUUCAUAUAUCUUGAUGAUUCUCUAACGCCGCCAGUUUUCCCCCCUAAGUUUACAGCAAGAAGAAGAAGAAAAAGAAGACAAACGGCAACGUUAAGCCAUUUUCAUCCCAGGUUAAUUUUAUUGUAAAUUAAACAUUUUUUGUAUACAUUUUGUUACCUAUUUAUUUUAUGGUUAUGAUUUGCCGAGUGGACAUUUUCAACAAUGUGGAUUGUAUCUGAUACAGCCGAAAGAGAAUGUGCCUUGUCGAGAUCUUGUUGAACUCGUGAAAACUACGAGCGAUCAGAUUGCUGCUCUAAAGGAACAAUUGGAGGAAACAUCAGAGGCGUUGAAAGAUAUGGAAAGCCGAUACAGUUGUCUUACGGUGAAACAAAUCUUAAUUAAUCGAGAACUGCAAGAUGCUCGAAAAGAAUCAGUAAGUGUAUUUCCUCGUUUUCCUUUGUUUUCUUGGAUGUUUUAUUUCUUUAGGUGCAAGAAAUACCUCUUCGGAAUCAGGUAUGAAAGUGUUAAACCGAAGACUUCUCUGGUUCUUGAUAUGCAGGGUCUAAAUGAUGUAUUGACAAGCCGAACAACUCUUGUAGUAAAAAAAAUGGGAGAGAUUGAUCGAAAAGCUUUUGAAGUUGCUAGCUCUGGGAAGUUCCCGAACAAAGAUUGGCAAGAAACAUGUGCUAAAUUAUGUUCAUUAUGGCAACAAAACGUGCAGGAUCCGAAAUGGCACCCGUUUAAGAUGAUCAAUAUCCGAGGCAACUUGCAGGUAUGGUGCAUACACCAACUAUUCUGUUAUCCGGUUAUCGAAAAUCCGUUUUUUUACUAAAUGUGCUAAACAUAUAUGUCAGAAUCGAGCCAGUUUAUUACUCAAACUUAUAUAUAUUAAGGGGAUAGCUACUCGGUAGUGUAGGAAAUAGUAGACGAAGACGACGAGAAGCUGAAGGAGUUGAGAAAUGAAUACGGUGAUGUCGUGUACGAGGCUGUUAGCACCGCAUUGAUGGAAAUGAACGAAUAUAAUGGGAGCGGAAGGUAUGCAGUCAUUUAAGCUAGUUGAGUGACCCGCAAUCUAGUUUAUCAUUUUUAAAAUAUUUAUAGUCUAUGAAUUUUGACUUUUCUUCCAAUAAUAUAUCUCCAAAAUUCUAACUUAACCUUUUUAAACUUUGUCAUGUAAUUAUUAUUAGAGUUAAUUGCACCAAAUAUCUCCAAACUAUGGCCCUUAUUCUAAAAUAGUCCUCAAACACAAAAUAUUGUAAAUUAUAUUUCCAAAUUAUCAAUAUUAUAUCAAUAAUGUUCUUCUGUUGUUAAAAUCAUUAAAUGAGACGUCAAAUGAGACAUAAUUUAAAAUAAAAAACUUAAAGAAAAAUAAAUAUAUUGUAAAAUAUUGAUUUCAAGGUUUUCGAAGCUAUUACAAAAACUAUCAUUCAUUUUCUCUUUUACUUUAUUUUUAAUUUUUAUUUUUAAAAGUUGUAUCAACAACAUUUUACUUUUCUUUAAAAAUAUCAUUUUAAAUUAAUAGUGUCAAUAAUAAAAGGAUGAGAUAAAUAGUUUAAAAUAUUUUAAAGUUGGGAGAAUAAUUUAAAAUAAAGAUUCAAUAUUGUUAAUCUAGUACUAUUUCAUAAUAUCAUUUUAUCGUAUCAACUUUUAAAGAUGACUUUUUUUUUUGAAAUAUUUUAAAGACAACAUUUAAAGAUUGAUUAUAAUAAUAUUGUUGCAUGGAAAAAGAAUUUCCACGUUAGCAGAAAGGCUUACGCCUGACGUGUGCUUAGUAUUAUUAGUAAAGUCAAAGGUCGAGAAAGUCUAAGGCGGGUCACACAUAUCACACGCCAUGCACAGGUUUCCUUAUUUCGAGGCUAAAAUACCAAAAUACCAUCACAUUUCUUGUUAAAUUUAUCACUUAAUCAACGAUCCUCUAAAACGAAGUAAGGACAUAUUAGAAAUUUUAAUUGCAAUAAUAUCACCAAAUCUGAAAAAUUACAAAUGAGGCAAAAAAAAAUACGAGUAAUAUUUGGCCAUAAAGUGCAUAUAUUCAUUCCCUCUAAACCAGUCGGUUAAGCCUCACAAUCCAACGUAACCGUAAAUCUUUCUUGGCAGCCAUGAAAUCAGUUCUAAAAUCCCUUGCAAACUCAAUCUUCCUUGUUCUUUUCAUCGUCUUUUCAUCUUCUACUCCACUUGUAUUGGCUCAAUGUGAAGCAGAGACCAAGACUAAUGGAUGCCAUAACUACAGAGAAUCCAUGAAGCUAAAAAUCAUUGCCAUUGUCGCAAUUUUACUAUCCAGCAUGAUUGGCGUGUGUCUACCAUUGUUUUCUGGUCAGGUUCCGUCACUUAAACCCGACAGAAACUUGUUCACCAUUGUCAAGGCAUUUUCCUCCGGUGUUAUUCUAGCGACUGGGUACAUGCACGUGCUACCGGAUUCUUUCAACGACCUUAUGUCCGGGUGUUUGCCUGAAAACCCAUGGAGGAAGUUCCCUUUCACAACCUUCGUCGCAAUGCUGUCGGCUGUGUUGACCCUUAUGGUGGAUUCAUUUGCAAUGAGUGUAUACAAGAAACGUUGCGGUAAAGCUUUAAUGGCGGAUGCUAACAAUGGUGGUGGAUUGGAAAAUACGAACGUUGUACAAAUCGAUAAUUUUGAACACGGCCAUAGCCAUUCACUUGAGAUGAAUGACGACGUAUCAUCACAAUUGUUAAGGCAUCGAGUUAUUGCUCAGGUAUAUAUACAUGUUUGAAUCCUCAAAAUCGAUGGUUUUGCUUUUCAAGUCUUUACAUUAUGUAUUUCCUAAAUGUAGGUAUUAGAGUUGGGAAUUGUAGUUCAUUCAGUGGUGAUUGGUCUUGCAAUGGGAGCCUCUGGCAAUCAAUGCACCAUUCGAUCACUCAUUGCUGCCCUUUGCUUCCAUCAAAUGUUUGAGGGGAUGGGACUUGGUGGAUGCAUACUGCAGGUAACCCCCUACAUUGCACUAUUUUCUCAUUCAAACAUCCAUUUAGUGUACAAUAUUGAUUAACAUUAUGUUUGAUAUGUGCAGGCUGAAUAUGAGAUAAAAAUGAAAGCAAUCAUGGUAUUCUUCUUUUCAGCCACAACGCCACUUGGAAUAGUUCUGGGAAUUGGUUUGUCCAAGGUUUACAGUGAGACGAGUCCAACUUCACUUAUGGUGGUGGGACUACUUAAUGCUUGCUCAGCAGGGUUGCUGAAUUACAUGGCACUGGUUGAUCUCCUUGCAGCUGAUUUUCUGGGCCCUAAGCUUCAAACAAAUAUGAAGCUCCAGGCUUGGUCAUAUGUUGCAGUUUUACUUGGUGCUGGAUUUAUGUCUUUGAUGGCAAAAUGGGCUUAGUCAUUUCAACAUAUACAUGUCUUUUUGUAGUUUUUUAAUCUUUUUUUUUUUAUGCUUCAACUGAUGAGUUUAUAGUGAAUCAACACUUAUUCAAUCAAUUAUAAAAAUUAGGCAAAGAAUUUAGGCAACAAGGCUUGAAUAUUGAUCUUUAAGAUCGUUUACUCCAGAUUGCAGGGCUCAUCACAAAGUAUAUAUAUCAGAAAAGUAUGCAAACUUCAAUUUUGUGUCAAUAUCAUUAUAAUUUAAACUGUUUAAUAUUACAUCAGAUGUAGAUGUCUUUAAGCCAAUGCUUAUAGCCACAAAGUCUCUUUGGUGCAAGCUAUAAGGACAGAGUUAUGCUAUAAAUAAACAAAUAAAUGUUGUAUAAAACCCUUCUCAAAUAAAUGUUGUAUAUAUAUAUUAUUGAGAAGAUCACUAGUUAAACUAAAAGUUUAGUUCUUUAAUGCACCUAAAAAACUUUGUAGUAUCCACAUUGUUAGUGGAUUAAGACUUUAACCAAGUUAAGGUCAGCGCAGAAAAACAAGCAUGCGAGUCAGUAAUAUUCUAAUGCCACCAUCCACCAUUAUUAAACAAACAAAAUAUUUGUCAUUGACAACAAGGCAAUGUGUGUAGGUUUUGAAAAAUAUCAGUAAAGGGAAAAAAAUAAAAACUGAUGAAAUUGAAACUUGUUUUUUAAUAAGGAACGAUGGUGAUGAGCUUAUCUUGUUUGAACCAAUAAUUGCCAAAUGUGAGGACCACAAGAAAGAAAUCAAAAGGGAAAAAAAAAAAAAAAGGUAGGGCUGUUUAAGUGGGGGGAUGCACAUUUGGUACUGGUAAUGGUAGCAAAGUUUUGCAGUAUGGUACCCUUGUGUGGUCACAGAAUUUCCAAGAGACCCCCCUAACAUUACUAUAAGUAACCAAUUGUUGCGGCCAAUAAAAUUUUUACAGUCUGUACUAUAAAAACAAUGCAUACCUUAACUGUUUUUUAAUCCCCCCCAGCCCCCCGCAAUGCAUGAAUACCGAUGAUUGUUUACCAUUAUGAAAGUACAAAUGCAGACACUCCUGUUGUUGGAAAAAAUGCAUUUUAAUGGGAACUUUAAGACAUAUUCUAUAUAGGUAAAAGUGGAGAGUUGAGAUAUUGUUGAGUAAAAAUAAAGGCUUGGAUCCAUAUUGGUUAAAUACCCAAGUGUGAGAUGAGUUUAUAUAUGCGAACCCUCUUAAAAGAUAAUUGAAUGAUUAAGUUUGUAACUUUGUCUCAUGCGUAGAAAGUAUAGGUCUAAAACUGAAAGGGUUGGGGCGCACCCGCACGACGUGGGCAACGUGAAAUGUUUGGACCGGUCAGGCUUAAUUGGGCUUACGGAUAUUUUAAGCAAGCCCAAUACAAAUUUAUUUUUCCUCAGCAGACAUAAUCUGCUUAUAUAUAGACAAUAUUUAAUUUGAUUUAAUUUUUAAACCAAAUUGAUUUUUAUGUUUAUUUCCUUAAUUUUUAAAUCUAAUUUGACUUUUCCUUAAUCGCAGAUUUUAUGUUUAUUUCCAAAUUUUUUUAUUAUCCUAAAUGCCUAUAAAAUGUUGUGUAUUCUGGAGGAUUACACACACAUUCAAAUAAUUUCUUAUACCGAAAUUCUGUUCAUUUCAAAACUCUUCUUUUGCGUCUCUGUAUUUUUACAAUAUUCCAGUGAUAGAAAAAGAAAAAGUUCGUUUGUUCGAUCGUUGUAGAGGUGCUACUACUUUGAUCAUUGUUGUUGUUGUAUCCUGGGAAACAUUCGACCAACAUUUCUCCAAGUACCAUAGGAGCAACCGAAUUUGCCUCAAGGAAACUGUGUUUCACAGGCCUCGACUUUUCGUAAAAUCUCGAUUCUACUUUAUUUCAAAUUUUUAUUUGAUUUUUGUAUUUGAUAAAUUAAUUAUAAAUCAUUCUAUUUAUAUUUUAUUUCAUAUGUGUUUAUUUAUAAUUAAUUAUUUUGUUCGCUAACAUGUUUUGUCCAACACCUAUUACAAUUUUUAUGGUUCGAUUCCUUUUGAUGAAGAUUUCCCCAGGAUAAUACUUACUUCAUAAAACUUCCUAGCUGUGAAACAUGGUACUUAUCUUAUAACAAGACUUUGCUAGGAGAACCGCAAAAUAUGUUCUUAUUAACAUAUGUAACGUAUUAAUCCUUAGUUUCAUCAUGAAUUUGGAUACAAAUGUGUUAAUGGAUAUAGCCACAUAUCUGCAGAUACAGGCACAAGUGAGCAAUAAGAGAGAGCGGUAGAGAGAGAGAGUUGAUAUAUUGGGGUUGAAUUGACGGGUUGUGCAAUUGGAUGCAAGAAAGGUGCAGCAGGCACCUAAGGUCACUAGUAUAAAGGACCCACUUGAGCACAAGUUUGUGUUUCAAUUCAAAUGUUGCUCUCUCAGAUGAUGUUUGGCACCAAAUGGGUUAGGUGUUAAUCCAGUCCCCCUCCGUACAUAGCACUGCUUUCGCAUUUGUAGUGCCCCUUUCGGCCCUUUUCCUUCUGCAUACUAGCUAUGCCUAUAGCAACAUAACUAGGCUAGGCAUGUAUGGGGGUAAAGAACGGCCAUUAGUGAUCCCCUUUUAUUCUUCUUUUACUUUUCAGAUUUGGAACAGAAAGGAAGGAAGGAAAGCCACCAUGAAAGAAAUCAUUCAGUACGUAAUCGGGCAACUGAAGAUUCAUAAGCGUAAAUGAAAGCGAAUUCCGUGAUCUCGAUCUGACUAUUUUCAUGGUAAGCUUACCUAUCCUUUACUAUCAAUCACUAAUCAUUUUACGGUUUAUAGUCGUUUUUUACAUAUCAUGAAAACUAAUCAUUUCGAGAUUUGUGGUUGUCAUUCCCAAUAAUUUUGUUUUCAAUACUUUUUAAUAUUAUUUUAGAUUUUAAAAUUCUUUUCCAAUUUAAAUACUAAUAUAUAUAUAUAUAUAUUAUAGCCCAAUGUUAUUCAACCUUUAAAUUAAUAUAAACAACUUAUACUGUUAUGAGUUUUUUUCCCCAUUUUUAUCUUCAAAAAUUGUGAAUCAAAGGCAAUUAGAUCUGUGAUUUUUGGCUUUGAAAACCUUAUCAACUUGAGCACAAAUCUUUGAUCAAAUAAACUCGAUAUGAUCUUAUUAGAAAAUUUAAACUUCAAAUAAUUUCAAACUUAAAUUUGAAACUGAUUUGGAUGAAAUGAUCUGAAAAUUUCUAAUUUUGAAUUAUUCUAUUAUAGAUCUAGCUAUAGCCCAAGACCCAUCACAAAUCUAUGUAUUUGGAUAAUUACCUUCUUCCUAAAAGAUAUGUUGCAGUGCACUCGAUUAUUUAUUUAGGAUUUUUUUCCCGAUGUGGGAUUAAUGACUUUGAUUAUGUAUUGAUAAAUUUUAAUUUUUAAAGUAAAAAUAGAGAAAUUAAGUUUCAAAUGUACGAACUGUGUAAGAACUUCGAGAAUAUUUUAAUCUUCAAAUUUUUUACUUUAUAAUUUAAUACAAAUAAAUAAUCAAUACAAUGCAAAACAAUGAGAGGCUAAUCUUUUUAACAACAUGCCUACAUCCUCAUUUAAUAAAUGAUUUUAAUUUUUAUAUAAUUCUCAUUCGGCUUAAUGUUGUAUCUAAGUUGAUUAUUAGUAGUGAAGUCAAAAAAAUAUUUUGAGGGUUGAAAUUAAAUUGAAUAUUUUUACGAUAGUAAAAAUAUAAUUUUACCAUUUUAAUAGUCUAUAUAUAAUUUACAAUUAUUAAUUUAAAAUUUUAUAAUUUAUAAAGGAGCCUAAAUGAAAAUUUUUUUCAUUUUAAGGAAACUGGCAUUGGUGAUUAUAAUAAGAAUCAAAUUCUGACCUAUAAGGUUAUACAUUAUUUUUCAGUAAUUGCUUUUUUUUUUCGUUUUGGGUAACAUUUUCCCUAUGUAUUCAUUUAGUUGCCUUACAAAUAAUGUACAUUAUUGUAAAGAGAGUCGAUGUAUUAUUCUUCAAUACUUACCUCGUUUUUUCUAACCCUUUAUUUGCUAAUAAAACACAACGUUUACAUUGGGACCAUAAUUUCAUGCAGAAAGGGAAAAGACUUUGCCAUUCCCUAAUAUCCUUUUCUAAGCAAAGGAUCAUCUAUGUACUAGUGACAAAUGGGUUCAUAUCGGUCUCUCUUCGGAUUAAGAUUACCACCUAUUUGAACCGGUUUAAGUUUGACUAUUUAGAAUUUGAAUACUUUUGAGUUUAGAUUGUCUCAAUUUAAAAUAAGUAUUUAGACUAGUUGAUCCACGAACCGGUUGAACAAACGACCGAUUUGAUUUUUUAAAAUAUAUAUUUUUUAAUUUUUAAUAGUUUAUUCAAUUAAACCAAUUGGAUUGAUUAAAUUGAGUAGAGGUGGUUUCUAUUGCACACAAUCUAAUGAAAGACACAAAAAUGUACAGAAAUGUUUUAAAGUUUAGGUAAAUAAUUUAAUGAAAAAUAGACAUGAUUAGUGGCGAAGUCCUGGUUCUCUAAAAUAGAAUAUUUUCCAUUUAGUCUUUUAUAAUUUUUAAAUUUUUAAAUUAGUAAUGGUAAAAUUACACUUUCCUCGCCUAAAAUUGAUAAAAAAUUGAUUUACCCUUUUAAAAAUUAUAAAGAUAUAAACUAUUAAAAUGGUAAAAUUGUAUUUUUAUUAUCGUAAAAAUAUACAAUUUAAUUUUGUCCCAAAAAUUUUUUUGACUUCGCCCUACAUAUCAUUAUCUUAAUAAAAAAGGUAAAAAUAUUGAGUAUACAAUAAUUAGGUUGAACAAUUUUUGUUGGGAAUAUAUGUUAAAAAAAUAUAGAUUAGCUAUUAAAUGUAAAAUGGCAAAAGAAUAAAUUAUAAAGUGUACACAUAAGGUUGAUUUCGUAAAACUAAAAAUUACCAAUUUUUCACAACUUUGUCAACUAUUAUAUACUUGAGAUGGCAAGAGCCUUUUUUACUUUAAUCGGUGGUUAAUGGUUCGAUCAUUGUCCUGGAUAUGGAGUAACUUUAAAACUCGUGACCAACAUCUAUCCGUUAAUGGGCCUAUAGAAUGUGGAGGGUUAGUUACUAGGUUCGCUCUAAUAGAUACAUUGAUAAAUUAAAAAAAUGGAAUAAAAAAUGUUAGUAAAUUUGACAUUUGAAGUUGUUUAAAGUUAUAAAUUAAAUUGGUAAUAUAUAAGAGAUAUUUUUAUUUGUGUUUAUAUAGAAUUGAAGGAAUAAAAUUUUAAUAUUAACCAUAAAUUAGCAAAUAAUAUCUUCAAAUUUUAAAGUUAUAAAAGUGAAAUAAUAUCAAACAUGAAAUCAAUUACUUUAUUUUAUUUUUUAAUUUUUAUUAUAUAUAGUCAACAUUAUAUUUGAAAAUCAAUAUUACAUAUUGAGAAUUAAUUAUUAUGAACACUUUAUUGUGGGGUUCUUUUACAUUAAUAAUAUAAAAUAAAUAAAUAAAUGCUAGAAUAGGAUAAAGGGAAUAAUAUUUACAAGAAUAGGUAAUGAAAUAGUGAAAUAUCGGUGUUGUCUGACCAAUCGGCGACACCAGACUAAAAUGUGAUGAUCUAAAAGGAUAAAUUGUACCCUAAGUCCCCCUUAUUUAUUAUUUAUUAUUUUUCUUUAACACCAAAAAAUAGAUUGGCCUUUUAUAAAUUAGUCUAGUUUUUUUUUACCAAAAAAUAUUUUUGUAAGUAAACCGUUUCUAUUUAGAAAUAAAUUUUAUUUAUUUUAAAAUAAUAUUUAUAAUUUUAUUAUCCAUUUGAUUUACGUACACAGUAUAAAAUUAUAAUUAUAAAAGCUUUAGAAAAAAUCUUAUUAUGUAUAAAUUAUAAUUAUUAGUUAAAUUUAUAGUUUCCAAAUAUAAUGAGAGAAAAAGAAAACUACUAUAAAUACAGUUAAUUGUAAUGUCAAACAUAAUGUGAUUUUUUUUUAAAAUAAAUAAAAUUUAUUUCGAGUUGGAAUCGACUUACUUGAAAAAAAUACUUUUUAGUAAAAAAAAAUUAGACUAAUUGAUAAGAGGUCAAUUUAUUUUUGGUGUUAAAAGAUAAUAAAAUUUAAUAAUAAAUAGGGGUUUAGGGUGCAAUUUACCCUUUUAAAUUUGGUGCUGUCAUACUGUUAGGCGGCACCCAUGAAGAUUUUUUCGACUGUCAAUUAAAACGGAAAAUUUACAGAUAAGGUCCCUAGAAUUUUUAGAUCAUCACAUUUUAGCCUGGUGCGGCCGAGUGCUCAAGCUGCACCUGAAUUUUUUUAAACUAGAAUUUUUAGAUCAUCACAUUUUAGCCUGGUGCGGCCGAGUGCUCAAGCUGCACCUGAAUUUUUUUAAAUAAAGUGAUGCCGUUGAUUGGUUAGGCGGCACCGGUAUUUCACUAUUUCAUUUGACUAUUCUCAUAAAUAUUAAUCUCUUUAUCCUAUCCUGUAUUUAUUUAUUUAUUUAUUUUAUAUUAUUAACGUAAAAAAUCCUUUAUUGUGACCUGCGGAAACGUGGAAUGAAAACCAAAUAGGUUUUUUUUUUAGUUUUUCUUGAAUUAAAAUGCAACCAAUAAGAAUAAUUGAUAUUUUAAUUUAAUAAAAAUAAAAUUAAUUAAUGUUUGAGUAUUUAAUUUUAAAAAUGAUCAAGAUGUAAUUACAACAAUUAAUUUUAAAAGUUAUUAAAGAUAUUUAUAUAUGUCAAUUUUUUAUAAUUAUUAAUGACAUACAUAUAAAUUAAUUAAUAGCGUAUCUCUCAAAGAUGAUAUUGACAGUGGCGGAGUCAAAAAAUAUUUUUGAGAUAUCGGAAUUAAUGUAAAAAUGUACAAUUUAAUUAAUUUAAUAGUUUUUAUAAUAUUUAAAGAAUUAAAUCAAAAUUUUUAUCAUUUUAAAGAAGAACAAAGUAUAAUUUUACUUUUAUUAAUUUAAAAUGUUAUAAAUUAUAAAUAUUAUACAUGAAUUUUUUUUCAUUUUAGGGACCGGAUACUGUCAGCUCCUAUGACUAUGUAAGCCUUGAAAACAUCCUUUAUUAUUGCAUUUCUUUUUCUACGUUGGCAGUGGUGUGCUUUCGUAGAUUCUAGCCACUCCUUUUUAGAUAAAAUUUCCAAAAGGAAUAGAUAUUAUAUGAGGAAUACUUGGUUGAAGAAAGAAAAAGCAAAAAAACAAAAAAAAAAAUUGGAAAAUGACCUUACAUGAAACUACUCAUGCAAUUGGAUCAACUCAUUCACUCAACCUUUCAAGAGCUUUAUUUACUACUUGGAUACUUAAUAAUUCAUUUAUUUAAUAACUUAUUAUAGGGACCGAACAUGUCUUUUUCAUUUCACCGAAAAUCAAUUUUACAAUAUAAACUCCUAUGACCUUCCCUCUAUGUCUUGCAGUAAUGAUUCCUCUAACAAUUUCUCAAUUCAAUAAAAGAAAAAAAGAAAAGAGGUGAAUAAGAUCUUAAAUAAUAAGAGAUAUGUAAAAAGGAGGCCCGAUUAUGCCCAACCUAAACCUAAAUGGAAUGUAACGACGUAUGGAUCUAUAUGUAGUAUUCUAUAUUAAUAUAGUAAUAUAAUAUUACUAAUAGUAUCGACUCCUUUUUUAUUUUCUAGUUUAUUUUCUAUUUUAGUAUAUUUUACAUCUAAAUUAUAUAGAAUUUUUUAUAUAGAUAUAAAUUAUAUUUAAUCAAUCAAUUGAAUAGAUAUAAUUUAUUUUAUUUAGUUUAGAGUUGUAAAUAGAGAUAAUUAGAGUAAAAAAUCAUUUAUAUGUUUUAUGAUUGCCAACAUUUCUGUCAAAAACAAGUAUAUAUUUGCACCAAUUCAUCCGAGUUAGUGCAAACAUAUGAAAUAUUUAUAUGUCCAUAAAAUAUAUAUAAAUUGGGGUGUUAAGAAAACCAUGAAAUAUUUAUAUGUCCAACGAAAUAAAUCAUUCAGUACGUAAUCGGGCAACUGAAGAUUCAUAAGCGUAAACGAAAGCGAAUUCCGUGAUCUCGAUCCGACUAUUUUCAUGGUAAGCUUACCUAUCCUUUACUGUCAUUCACUAAUCAUUUUACUGUUUAUAUUCGCUUUUUACAUAUCAUGAAAACUAAUCAUUUCAAGAUUUGUAGUUGUCAUUUUCAAUAACUUUGUUUUCAAUACUUUUUAAUAUCAUUUUAAAUUUUAAAGUUCUUUUCCAAGUUAAAUACUAAUAUAUAUAUAUUAUAGCCCCAUGUUAUUCAACCUUUAAAUUAAUAUAAACAAGUACUUAUACUGUUAUGAGUUUUUUUUUCCCUUUUUUAUCUUCAAAAAUUGUGAAUCAAAGGCAAUUAGAUCUGUGAUUUUUGGAUUUGAAAACCUUAUCAACUUGAACAUAAAUCUUUGAUCAAAUAAACUCGAUAUGAUCUUAUUAGAAAAUUUAAACUUCAAAUAAUUUCAAAUUUAAAUUUUAAACUGAUUUGGAUGAAAUUAUCUGAAAAUUUCUAAUUUUGAAUUAUUCUAUUAUAGAUCUAGCUAUAACCCAAGACCCAUCACAAAUGUAUAUAUGUAUUUGGAUAAUUAGCUUCUUCCUAAAAGAUAUGUUGCAGUGCACUCGAUUAUUUAUUUAGGAUUCUUUUUCUUUCUGAUGUGGAAUUAACGACUUUGAUUAUGUAUUGAUAAAUUUUAAUUUUGAAAGUAAAAAUAGAGAAACUAAGUUUCAAAUGUACGAAGUGUGUAAAAACUUCGAGUAUAUUUUAAUCUUUAAAUCUUUUACUUUAUAAUUUAAUACAAAUAAAUAAUCAAUCCAAUGCAAAAUAAUGAGGGGCUAAUCUUUUUAACAACAUGCCUACAUCCUCAUUUAAUAAAUGAUUUUAAUUUUUAUAUAAUUCUCAUUCAGCUUAAUGUAGUAACUAAGUUGAUUAUUAGUAGUGAAGUCAAAAAAAUAUUAAUUUUGAGGGUUGAAAUUAAAUUGAAUAUUUUUACGAUAGUAAAAAUGUAAUUUUACCAUUUUCAUAGUCUAUAUAUAAUUUUACAAUUAUUAAUUUAAAAUUUUAUAAUUUAUAAGGGAGCCUAAAUGAAACUGGCAUUGGUGAUUAUAAUAAGAAUCAAAUUUUGACCUAUGAGGUUGUACAUUAUUUUUCAGUAAUUGAUUUUAUUUUUUUCGUUUUGGGUAACAUUUUCCCUAUGUAUUCAUUUAGUUGCCUUACAAAUAAUGUACAUUAUUGUAAAGAGAGUCGAUGUAUUAUUCUUCAAUACUUACCUUGUUUUUUCUAACCCUUUAUUUGCUAAUAAAACACAACGUACAUUGGGACCAUAAUUUCAUGCAGAAAGGGAAAAGACUUUGCCAUUCCCUAAUAUCCUUCUCUAAGCAAAGGAUCGUCUAUGUACUAGUGACAAAUGGGUUCAUAUCGGUCUCUCUUCGGAUUAGGAUUACCUCCUAUUUGAACCGGUUUAAGUUUGAGUAUUUAGAAUUUGGAUAAUUUUGAGUUUAGAUUGUCUCAAUUUAAAAUAAGUAUUUAGACUAGUUGAUUCACGAACCGGUUGAAUAAACGACCGAGUUGAUUUUUUAAAAUAUAUAAUUUUUAAUUUUUAAUAGUUUAUUCAAUUAAACCAAUUGGACUGAUUAAAUUGAGUAGAGGUGGUUUCUAUUGCACACAAUCUAAUGAAAGACACAAAAAUUUACAGAAAUGUUUUAAAGUUUAGGUAAAUAAUUUAAUGAAAAAUAGACAUGAUUAGUGGCGAAGCCCUAGUCCUCUAAAAUAGAAUAUUUUCCAUUUAAGUCUUUUAUAAUUUAUAAAAUUUUAAAUUAGUAAUGGUAAAAUUGCACUUUCCUCCCCUAAAAUUGAUAAAAAAUUGAUUUAUCCUUUUAAAAAUUAUAAAGAUAUAAACUAUUAAAAUGGUAAACUUGUAUAUACAAUUUAAUUUUGUCCCAAAAAUUUUUUUGACUUCGCCCUACAUAUCAUUAUCUUAAUAAAAAAGGUAAAAAUAUUGAGUAUACAAUAAUUAGGUUGAACAAUUUUUGUUGGGAAUAUAUGUUAAAUAAAAUAUAGGUUAGCUAUUAAAUGUAAAAUGGCAAAAGAAUAAAUUAUAAAGUGUACACAAGGUUGAUUUCGUAAAACUAAAAAUUACCAAUUUUUCACGUCUUUGUCAACUAUUAUACACUUGAGAUGGCAAGAGCCUUUUCUACUUUAAUCGGUGGUUAAUGGUUCGAUUAUUGUCCUGGAUAUGGAGUAACUUUAAAACUCGUUACCAACAUCUAUCCCGUUAAUGGGCCUAUAGAAUGUGGAGGGUUAGUUAUUAGGUUCGCUCUAAUAGAUACAUUGAUAAAUUAAAAAUAUGGAAUAAAAAAUGUUAGUAAAUUUGACAUUUGAAGUUGUUUAAAGUUAUAAAUUAAAUUGGUGAUAUAUAAGAGAUAUUUUUAUUUGUGUUUAUAGAGAAUUGAAGGAAUAAAAUUUUAAUAUUAACCAUAAAUUAGCAAAUAAUAUCUUCAAAAUUUAAAGUUAUAAAAGUGAAAUAAUAUCAAACAUGAAAUCAAUCACAUUAUUUUAUUUUUUAAUUUUUAUUAAAUAUAGUCAACAUUAUAUUUGAAAAUCAAUAUUACAUAUUGAGAAUUAAUUAUUAUGAACAUUUUAUUGUGGGGUUUUUUUACAUUAAUAAUAUAAAAUAAAUAAAUAAAUAAAUACUAGAAUAGGUUAAAGGGAAUAAUAUUUACAAGAAUAGGUAAAUGAAAUAGUGAAAUAUCGGUGUUGUCUGACCAAUCGGCGACACCAGACUAAAAUGUGAUGAUCUAAAAGGAUAAAUUGCACCCUAAAUCCCCCUUAUUUAUUAUUAUUUAGUAUUUUUCUUUAACACCAAAAAAUAGAUUGGCCUUUUAUAAAUUAGUCUAAAUUUUUUUUACCAAAAAAUAUUUUUGUAAGUAAACCGUUUCCAUUUAGAAAUAAAUUUUAUUUAUUUUAAAUAUAUAUUUUUAUUUUUAUUAUCCAUUUGAUUUACGUACACAGUAUAAAAUUAUAAUUAUAAAAGCUUUAGAAAAAAUCUUAUUAUGUAUAAAUUAUAAUUAUUAGUUAAAUUUAUAGUUUCCAAAUAUAAUGAGAGAAAAAGAAAACUACUAUAAAUACAGUUAAUUGUAAUGUCAAACAUAAUGUGAUUUUUUUAAAAAAAUAAAUAAAAUUUACUUCGAGUUGGAAUCAACUUACUUGAAAAAAAUACUUUUUAGUAAAAAAAAAAUUUAGACUAAUUGAUAAGAGGCCAAUUUCUUUUUGGUGUUAAAAGAGAAUAAAAUUUAAUAAUAAAUAGGGGGUUUAGGGUGGAAUUUACCCUUUUUAAUUUGGUGCUGUCAUACUGUCAGGAGGCACCCAUGAAGAUUUUUCGACUGUCAAUUAAAACGGAAAAUUUACAGAUAAAGUCCCUGGAAUUUUUAAAUCAUCACAUUUUAGCCUGGUGAGGCCGAGUGCUCAAGCUACACCCAAAUUUUUUUAAAUAAAGUGAUGCCGUUGAUUGGUUAGCCGGCACCGGUAUUUCACUAUUUCAUUUGACUAUUCUCAUAAAUAUUAAUCUUUUUAUCCUAUCCUGUAUUUAUUUAUUUAUUUAUUUUAUAUUAUUAAUGAAAAAAAUCCUUUAUUGUGACUUGCGGAAACGUGGAAUGAAAACCAAAUAGGUUUUUUUUUUUUUAGUUUUUCUUGAAUUAAAAUGCAACCAAUAAGAAUAAUUGAUAUUUUAAUUUAAUAAAAAUAAAAUUAAUUAAUAUUUGAGUAUUUAAUUUUAAAAAUGAUCAAGAUGUAAUUACAACAAUUAAUUUUAAAAGUUAUUAAAGAUAUUUAUAUAUGUCAAUUUUUUAUAAUUAUUAAUGACAUACAUAUAAAUUAAUUAAUAGCGUAUCUCUCAAAGAUGAUAUUGACAGUGGCGGAGUCAAAAAAUAUUUUUGAGAUAUCGGAAUUAAUGUAAAAAUGUACAAUUUAAUUAAUUUAAUAGUUUUUAUAAUAUUUAAAGAAUUAAAUCAAAAUUUUUAUCAUUUUAAAGAAGAACAAAGUAUAAUUUUACUUUUAUUAAUUUAAAAUGUUAUAAAUUAUAAAUAUUAUACAUGAAUUUUUUUUCAUUUUAGGGACCGGAUACUGUCAGCUCCUAUGACUAUGUAAGCCUUGAAAACAUCCUUUAUUAUUGCAUUUCUUUUUCUACGUUGGCAGUGGUGUGCUUUCGUAGAUUCUAGCCACUCCUUUUUAGAUAAAAUUUCCAAAAGGAAUAGAUAUUAUAUGAGGAAUACUUGGUUGAAGAAAGAAAAAGCAAAAAAACAAAAAAAAAUUGGAAAAUGACCUUACAUGAAACUACUCAUGCAAUUGGAUCAACUCAUUCACUCAACCUUUCAAGAGCUUUAUUUACUACUUGGAUACUUAAUAAUUCAUUUAUUUAAUAACUUAUUAUAGGGACCGAACAUGUCUUUUUCAUUUCACCGAAAAUCAAUUUUACAAUAUAAACUCCUAUGACCUUCCCUCUAUGUCUUGCAGUAAUGAUUCCUCUAACAAUUUCUCAAUUCAAUAAAAAAAAAAAAGAAAAGAGGUGAAUAAGAUCUUAAAUAAUAAGAGAUAUGUAAAAAGGAGGCCCGAUUAUGCCCAACCUAAACCUAAAUGGAAUGUAACGACGUAUGGAUCUAUAUGUAGUAUUCUAUAUUAAUAUAGUAAUAUAAUAUUACUAAUAGUAUCGACUCCUUUUUUAUUUUCUAGUUUAUUUUCUAUUUUAGUAUAUUUUACAUCUAAAUUAUAUAGAAUUUUUUUAUAUAGAUAUAAAUUAUAUUUAAUCAAUCAAUUGAAUAGAUAUAAUUUAUUUUAUUUAGUUUAGAGUUGUAAAUAGAGAUAAUUAGAGUAAAAAAUCAUUUAUAUGUUUUAUGAUUGCCAACAUUUCUGUCAAAAACAAGUAUAUAUUUGCACCAAUUCAUCCGAGUUAGUGCAAACAUAUGAAAUAUUUAUAUGUCCAUAAAAUAUAUAUAAAUUGGGGUGUUAAGAAAACCAUGAAAUUAAUAAUGAUGUAAUUGUCAUUUACUAAUCCUAUAAUUAAACUUAAUCUCAUUUUCUUUCCAUCUCAAAACUAAAAAUGGAAAAUACCACUUUGCUUAGUUGGUAGAAGCGAAUAUUUUCCCAUUAAAAUAUGUUUUGGUAUACGACAUUUUAUGGUGGUUGGCUAGUCAUUACUCAGCUGUUUCCACGAGACUUCCUUUCUUUUAAAGUAAGAUGAAGUCAUCUUUCUCAAAUCAUUACUUUCUGCCUUUGCUCUGUUAAGAAGGGGGAAAAUUAUCAGUUAUUGAUCAUAGCCAAAAGGUACGCCAUCUGCUUUGCUCUUACUCUUUUGAAAUACUUGUCCGUAUAAAUAAGCUUAGGCAGGCAGAUUUAACCCUGAAAAUGGACUUCUUUUAUGCUUUAAAUCUAUUUAGCUUUAAGAUUUUGAGUCCUGUACUUUUUGGAUUUAAAAUCUUCAUCUUUCCCUUCAAAUUUACACUUAGUGUUGUUGACCUGACAAAUAUAAAAAGAUCAAAUAAAUUUUUUAGCCUUAAUUUGAUCUUUACUUUUUAAAGUUACAUAAAAAUUCAGAAUUAAGAAGAAAACAUAUUUUCAGUAAAAAUCCAUUAAAAAGAUUGUGGAAAACACUCUUUAAAGUUCGUAGAAAAAAGGUUGUGAUCUAUCAACAACUUGUGCCUUCCACAUACUGGAAUAUGGUUAUUAAGAGGUUGAGUACUGCUUUAUCUCGUAGAAGAAGGAUUUGUACUAGAUGAUCAUAGGUUGGGUCAAUGUAAAAAUUUUAAAUUUGUUUUUCAGGUCCGGACUUGGCUCAACUAAACAAAUGCGCCUAAAAUUUUAUUUAAGUUCAACCUAGAUAAAAAAUACUAAAUCUGGACCCGUAUUAAAUUUUUUAGAUUUUUUUAUAUAAAAAUAAAUUUAAAAAAUAUAAUACAUUAAAUACUCUAAACACAUUAAAAUGAAUGUUUCUCAACAAAUUGAAAAUAUAUUAAAAAAAUUCUUUAUAUUUAAAUAACACUAACAUAGUUAUAACUUAGCAAACAAACAUUUCUAAAAUAAUAGCAAAAUUAAAAAUAAAAUAAGAGUUAUACAAUAUCUAAAUAAUAGUAGUAAAAUAGUAAUAAUAUAAUAGUGAAACAGUAGCAAAAUAACAACAUAAAAGCAGUAAACAGCAGCAAAAUAAUAAUUAAAUUCGAGUUAGGUUCAAACUAAAAAAAUCUUAUCAGAGGCUCAGCCCAUUUAAAACUCAAAUCUUAUUUUUUUCGAAGUUUAUUUUUUGGGUUUAUAUUAUUGCCUAAACUCUUUAUGUUUUGAAUGGACUUUUUAAAUUCGACUCAUAAUCAAGUCUACUUUAUAAUAAACGCUAUAUAUGGUUGGAAAGAUGGUUUGAUAGGGUACUAAAAUUAAAUGAAAAAUCAUUUAAAAAACAAAUUAAAUAUUCAAACAUUAAAUAUAUAUUUUAUAUAUAAUUGGUUUGAACUAAAUUAACAAAAUACUUUGAUAGUUUUCAGAAAAUUCCUGUAACGAGAGAAUUAGUCACUGUUGCUAGCGGCUAAUAUAUUUAAUUUCAAUAAAAAAUUACCAAAAUACUUUUUGAAUAUGAUUUAGUGCAAGUUGCACAGGUAGUUUAAAAUUUGAAGAUAUUAUUACUAUUUAAGGAGUAAAUAUAUUUUUUAAAUUGAAACAUUUAAUAUGAUUUAUUAUUUUCUAUUUUUUAAAAAAUUAACUAAAUUAAAAAAUGUGCAACAAAUUAAAUAGUUAGAAGUUUUAAAUUUAAAUCAAAAUUGAAAUUUAUGAUCUACAUGAAUAUAACAUAUAAUAUAAUGAUUGUAUCAUUAAAAUAUUAAUAAUAUAAAUAAUUACGGAAGUGUGUAAAAUUACUUUAAUUUUUUACAUUGCGUAAGUAGAUCAUUCCCCUUAAUAUUAAUAAAUUUUCAUAAAGUAAAAUUACUUUACUUUAAUUGUCAUAAAGUAAAACAUUAAUCUCAUAUUUAUAUUUUUAAGAUUAUGCAAAUGUGUUCUUUUUAAAAACUAUAUAAGAUAAUUCAAGUUUUGGUCUUUAUCGUCGCUGUGGUUAUUCAGUUUGCUCUCUUACUUGUUUGUUUACAGAAGCUCUACUUUUUACUCAUUUUUACUUGUAAUUUUUUCUUCUUGUUUUGUUUUGAUUUCUGUUGCGGCUGUGGUUUUUCAGUUUACUUGCUGUUUGCUCUCUCAAUGGAGUUCGUUAUUGGCAUCGUUAGCUCUAUUUUCACUAAAGCUGCAGAGUAUACGAUUUCUCCUAUCAUAAACCAUGUCAAAUACCUUUCCAAUCAUCAGCAAAAUGUUGAGACCCUCAAGGACCAAGCUGAGAAGCUGAAAGAUGCAAGGGACAGAGUGCAGCAUUCUGUUGAUGCAGCUCAACGAAACGGCAAAGAGAUCGAACGUGAUGUUAACAACUGGAUGUCGGCAGUGGACAGGAAGAUCCCUGAACAAGUAGAGAAAGUGAUGCAAGAUGAAGAAAAGGCAAAGAAAAAGUGUUUCAUUGGUUUGUGUCCUAAUUUUUGGACUCGUUACAAGCAUAGCCUGAAAGCUGCAGCGGAGGCGAAGGCUGUUGCCGAGCUACUUGAACAGGGCAAGUUUGGCGGUGUUUCUUAUCCUGUACCUUCACAGAGUAUCACUGUCCCACCGGGUAAAGGUUAUGAGGAAUUCGAGUCAAGAACGUUGAUUUUGAACGGAAUAAUGGAGGCACUAAAAGAUGAUAGCAUCAUCAUUGUUGGGGUGCAUGGUGCGGGUGGGAUUGGAAAAACAACGCUGGUCAAAGAAAUCGCUAGAAAGGUCAAGGGCAAGUUGUUUGAUUCAGUUGUCAUAGCAACUGUAACUCAAGCCAAGGAUAUUAAGAGGAUUCAGAACGAAAUUGCAGACUUCUUGGACUUGAAAUUUGAGAAACAGAGUAUGGUUGGAAAGGCAAUUCAACUAAGACAAAGAUUGAAGAAAGAGGAGAGGAUUCUGGUUAUCUUGGAUGACAUUUGGCAAGAGUUUGAUAUUGAGGAAGUAGGGAUUCCUUUGGGAGAUGAACACAAGGGCUGCAAAUUACUAUUAACUUCUAGAUACCUCAAUGUUUUAUCAAAUGGGAUGGAGUGUCCUCAGAUUAUAGCUAACCUUCCUAAGGAGAUGGAGUGUUCAGGACUUUCCUUUUUCCAUAUGGCCUAUGAUGGCACGGAUAAAAUUCCUCUCAAUUUCUUCAAACAAACCGAAGGCCUGAAAGCCUUAGAUUUGGUCGGAAUUCAGUUUCAAUCCCUCCGUGAAUCAAUUAUUCACCUUGCAGACCUUCGCAUGUUGUGUCUGAAAAAAUGUGCAGUUGAUGACAUAACCAUCCUUGGAGAGCUCAAGAGUUUACAAGUACUCAACCUUUCUCAGUCCGGUAUCAAAGAACUACCCAAGGAGAUGGCACAAUUGACUCAAUUAAGGUUGUUAGAUUUGCGUGGGUGUAGAGAACUCAAAAUCAUCCCACCGAAUGUCUUAUCAGGUUUGUCUAAAUUAGAAGAAUUAUAUAUGAGUGGGAGCUUUGUUGAAUGGGAAAAGGGAGGAGUAGUUGAAAAUGAGAGGAAAAAUGCAAGCCUUGAUGAAUUAAACAAUUUGCGUUAUCUAACUACUUUAUAUGUUCGUAUUCUUGAUGUCCAAAUGAUACCAAAACACCAGUUUGUUGAAAAAUUGGACAGAUUCAGGAUUUUUGUAGGUAAUUAUGGAAUAUAUGAUUGUUGCCAUAAUUAUGAAUCUCCGAAAGCAUUGAAGCUCAUGUUAUAUACAAACAUUGAUUUGGACAAUGGAAUGAAAAUGUUGUUGAAAAAGACAGAAGAUUUGUGCCUAGAGGGACUUGAAGGCGUCAAGAAUGUACUUGUGGAGUUAAAUAAUGGGAAAGAUCUUCCAAAUUUAAAGAGACUUCAUGUCAAAAAUGGUAGGCAUGUCCAACAUAUUAAAACGAACAAAAUUGGAUUUUCUGAAUUAUGUUUCAUCACACUUGAAAAUCUACCGCAACUCGUUAGCUUUUGCUCUCCAGACGAAAGGUGUUCCACUAAGCCCUUACUACUUUCCAAUAAACAGGUAUUUGUUUGGCUGUACUUAUAUUUUCUUAUACAACUUUUAUUUAUAUGCCCAUUAAUACUUCUAAUAAUAGAAAUAUAUAAUAUUGUGUAAUGGUUUUUCCGGAGCUCAAAAAUAAAUUUCAAAUCUAAAAUAAAUGAAAAUUUAAUUUUUAAUUCAAACCGAUUGAAAGUACAGAGUCAAUUCAAUAAUCUAAAUUUAAACCGAAAUUUUUUUUUAAUUCUGAAAAUAAAAUUUGAGCCCACAAAUCGAACUAAAAUUAUCUUUAAAAUUGAAAAUCAUAUUUUCAAAUUAUGUUACAUACUAUCUUUCCCUAUCGAAAAAGAAUUGUGUGUAAAUAUGUGCAAUUUAUUUUCCCUCACUUGGAAAGCUUGUAAUUGUGUUCCAUUAACACCAAAAUUAUAUGGCACAACCAGACAUGUCAUUGGGUUACGAAUUUGAGGAGCUUGAUCAUCAAAGGAUGCGGCAAGUUGGAGCAUCUGUUAUCACCCUCUCUCGCUAGAAGUCUGGUGCAGCUCCAAUGCUUUGAGAUAGAGGAUUGCAAUUGCUUAAGGGACAUAAUACUUACAGAGGAAAUUGAUGAAGAAAGGAAAGAUGUGAUUUGUUUCCCUCGAUUAAACUCCCUGUAUAUAGAUGGUCUUCCAAACCUCAUCUUCUUCAACUCAGGAAACCACAAUAUUGAGUUCCCAUUGUUGAAAGAGCUAAGGAUUAGGCGUUGCCCCAAGUUAAUAGAAUUCAUUAGUCAGAAUAGUAAUCAGUCCGGCAUGCACGCUCUCUUCAGUGAGAAGGUGAUUUAUUUCAUUAGUCUUACACUCUUGCAUAAAUCUGUUGAUUUGUCCUUGUUUUUUUUUUCUACCUUCAUUAUUUGAGCUAACCUUAUUAUGGGCAUGGAUUAUAUAUAUAUAUGAAUAGGUUGCAGUUCCUAGCUUGGAAGACAUGCAUAUCAGUGACUUGAGUAAUGUGAAGAUGAUAUUUUAUAAUUGUUGGAGCUAAGUGCAACAAAUAGCAAGGUUCAACAAAAAGCUUGCCGAGCAAGAAUCGAGACUUGCGGCAGAAACAAAGAAGAAAAAUGAAAUAAAUUUUAAGCAAAGCUAAAAUAGAGAGUAUAUGGAUGAAAUCUUGAUUGAAUUCAUUCAUUUUUUUUAAAAUGGCAUAAAGCCUAUUUAUACAAGCUUACAACUUGACAACUUAGUUGGAAUACAACUAAGUUUCAUUAUUACAUCCACUUAAAAUAAAUCACCACCUACUACCACUAACAAACUUAGUUGGAAUACAACUAAGUUUCAUCAUUAUAUCCACUUAAAAUAAAUCACCACCUACUACCACUAACAAACUUAGUUGGAAUACAACUAAGUUACAUCAUUACAUCCAAAUAAUAAUAAUAAUAAUAAUAAUAAUAAUAAUAAUAAAACAUGUGAUUGCUACAUGCUAACCAUUGCUUCAAUACUCCUCCUUGGUUUGCAUGGAGCAAACACCUAGCUUCCUUCUUAGACAUUCGAACCUUGUGACAUUAAGGGCUUUAGUCAAAAUGUCUGCAAGUUGAUCCUCAGAAUUACAAUGGAUCAGCUUCACUUCCUGAGCUUGCUCCAUUUCUCGAACAACAUGCAACUUGAUGCUGAAAUGCUUUGUUCUUUCAUGGAACACUGGAUUUUUAGCAAUUGCAACUGAAGAUUGGUUGUCACAGAAGAUCUCAGUAGCUUCCUUUUGAUGCACUUUCAAAUCAGCUAAGAUUUUCCUUAGCCAAAUGACUUGGUUGACAGCACUUGCAGCUGCCACAUAUUCUGCUUCAGUAGUAGAUUGAGCCACCAGACUUUGCUUCUUCGAGCUCCAGCAAAACAUGGCUGAACCAAGGUUGAAAGCAUACCCUGAGGUGCUUUUCAUGUCAUCUAUCGAGCCAGCCCAGUCACUAUCAGUGUAGCCAACCAGCUUCAGAUUUCCUUCCUUGCUGUACCUUAAACCAUAGCUCAAAGUGCCUUUGACAUAUCUAAGCACUCUCUUAGCAGCUUGUAAAUGCUUUUUAUUGCAACAAUGCAAGAACCUUGAGAGCAAUCUUACAGCAUACAUUAUGUCUGGUCUAGUGGCAGUUAAAUAUAACAGACAACCAACUAGACUUCUGUAGGUUGUUUCACAAACCUUCUCAAAAUCACCUUGGCUCGAUAGUUUUUCUCCAACAGCAACAGGUGUUUUAGUUGCUUUACUGUUUUGCAUGGAGAACUUGGUCAGAAUCUUUGUGGCAAAGUUUCUCUGACUUAGAAAUAUCCCAUUUUGUGCUUGAGUCACCUUCAUUCCAAGGAAAUAAGACAUUUCCCCUAGAUCAGACAUUUCAAAUACUUCUUGCAUCUUGGUCUUGAAAUCGACCAGCACUGCUCGAUCUCCUCCUGUCACCAACAGGUCAUCAACAUAUAGGGAUACGAUGAGCUGUGUUUGUGUCCCUUGCUUCUUGACAUACAGUGUUGGCUCACUCUUGCUUCGAUCGAAUCCCAAAUUAGUCAAGUAGCCAUCGAUUCUGCUGUACCAGGCCCUUGGAGCCUGUUUUAAGCCAUAUAGGGCCUUCUUCAGUUUGUAGACCAUAUGCUCUCUGCCAGCUAUCUCAAACCCUUGUGGUUGUUCAACAUAGAUCUCUUCAUCUAAGAAACCAUUCAGAAAGGCUGAUUUCACAUCGAGUUGAUGGAUCUUCCACUCGAGCUGUGCUGCUAAGGCAAUCAGUAAUCUGAUGGUGUCUAGCCUGGCCACUGGUGCAAAGGUCUCCAGGUAGUCCAGGCCAUACCUCUGACUGAACCCCUUGACAACUAGCCUUGCUUUCAGUUUGUUCAAGGUACCAUCAGCAUUUUGCUUGGCUUUGUACACCCAUUUCACCCCAAUUAUCUUCCUUUUGACUGGCCUUUCAACUAAUUCCCAGGUCUGGUUCUUCUCAAUCAUGCUAAUCUCCUCAGCCAUUGCCUGCUUCCACUCUUGCUGAGCUUCAGCCUUUUCAAAAUUGCUUGGUUCAACUAUGACUACAUGAGCUCUUUCAUAAAUCUCAGUCAAUGGUCUUGUUCCUCUAACUGGUUCAUCAUCAAUGUCCAUUUCAGGAACAUUUUGAUCUGGCUCAGCUUGAUCUGCUGCAAGUCCUUCUGAAACUUCCUCAGGUUCAUGUUUUUCCCAGUUCCAACAUGACUUUUCAUCAAAUACCACAUCCCUACUGACUGACACUUUCUUUGUUGAAGGAUCCAAGAUCCUAUAAUCCUUCUUAACAGUGCUGUAGCCCACCAAAAUACCAGGUCGAGCCCUUUCAGACAAUUUGUCCCUUUUGACAGCAGGUACAUGAGCAUAACAGAUGCAUCCAAAGACCUUCAGAUGAGCCAGUGAUGGCUUGAAUCCAAACCAGGCUUCGAAUGGAGUCUUCUGAUCCAAGACCUUGGUUGGAAGCCUAUUUUGAAUGUAGUUUGCAGUGUUAACUGCCUCUGCCCAUAGUGCUUUAGGCAGAUUCUUCUGAAUCAUCAAGCACCUGGCCAUAUCCAUCAAACUCCUAUUCUUCCUUUCACUUACACCAUUUUGCUGAGGUGUAUAUGUGUUGGUAAGUUGAUGUUUGAUGCCUGCCUUAUCACAGAAGGCUUGGAACUGAGCUGAGGUGUACUCAGUCCCAUUAUCAGACCUUAUAGACUUCAGCUUGCAACCUGUUUCAGUCUCAGCAGCAGUCUUGAACUUCCAAAAUACUGAGGCCGCCUCUGAUUUCUGUUUUAGGAAGUAAAGCCAACAAUAUCUUGAAAAAUCAUCAAUGAACAGUAUGAAGUACCUGUUUCCACUUAAUGACUCAGUCCUCAUAGGGCCACACACAUCAGUGUGCACCAGUUGGAGUUUUUCAGAGGCUCUCCAGGCUUGAUUCGAGGGAAAUGGGAGUCUGGCCUGCUUUCCUAGCUGACAUACUUCACACACAUCAUCAUGAUCCACUGAGUUGAUGAAGUUUUCAGCCAAGUCCUCUCUGACCAUUCGAGCCAUCGAUCUGAAGUUGGCAUGUCCCAGUCUUUGAUGCCAAAGCUUAGAUUCAUCUGAUGUGACUGUGUAGGCAAUGUCUGACUCCCUGGUCCAGUCAACUACAAAGCUCUUAUUAGCCAUAGGAACUGCCAUCAGCUUGGAUCCACUUGGAUCAUUGAUUUGGCAUUGGUUGUCUUUGAACACAACAGAAUAACCUUUCUCCAGCAACUGAGCUAUGCUGAGCAGGUUUCUGUCAAUUUUAGGCACCAAAAGCACAUUUGAAAUCACUUUGGCACCUGUGGGGGUGCAUAUCAGCACAUCACCCUUGCCUUCAGCUUGAAUAAAAUGUCCAUUUCCUAUCUUGACUUUAGUUCUGCAGCUUCUGUCUAAAGACUUGAAGAUUGCAGCAUCAGGUGUCAUGUGGUUGGUGCAUCCACUGUCUAGAAGCCAACCAGAUGAGAACCUUUCUUGAGCAGCUGAGCAUAACACAGCAAAGACUUGCUCCUCUUGGUCACCGUCCUCCUUAGCUACUCGAGCCUCAGCUUUCUUCUGUUGAAACUGACUCUGCCUUGAUUUGGCCUUGCUCUUGCAGACUUUCUCAACAUGACCCUUCUUUUUACAAUGCUGACAUACAUCAUCUGGAUUGAACCAGCAUUUUUCUUUUGGAUGACCAGCCCUUCUGCAGUGCUUGCAAGUCUGACCCUCUUUUCUUGCAACAUCAGUCCUUGGCUUGUCUCUCUAGGCCUUCUUGCCUUUGUAGGCAGUGUUUGUUCUUGCCUGAAAGGCACCUUCUUGAUGCUCCUCCAGUCUGCUUGCUCUUCUUUGCUCUUGAGCAUAUAAAGCAUUGAUAAACUCUGUCAGGGAGAUGGUGUACAGGUCCCUUGAGUCCUCGAGAGAUGAGAUUUUUGCCUCAUACCUCUCGGGCAGAGUUGCAAUAACCUUCUCCACUAUCCUAGCUUCCUUGAGCUGCUCUCCAAGGAGCCUUAUGCUGUUAACCACAGCCAUAAUCCUGUCAGAGUACUGCUUGAUAGUUUCUUCUUCCUUCAUCUUCAAAUUCUCAAAAUCUCUCCUUAAGUUCAGCAACUAUUGCUGCCUUGUCCUCUCUGUCCCUUGAAACUCCUCUUGCAACUUGUCCCAGGCUUGUUUUGGUGAUUCACAGGCCAUAAUCCUUGUGAAAAUCACAUCUAACACUGAGUUCUGGAUGCAAGACAUGGCUUUGUGCCUCUUAGUCCUCUCAUCAGCAUGCUGCCUGAUUUGAGCCACUAUUGGAUUGCCUCUAAGUGGCUCUGGUUCAACAUCUGAGUUGACUACCUCCCACAGAUCGAAAGCUUGUAGGUAGGUCUUCAUUUUAACCACCCAUAUGUGGUAGCCUUCUCCAUUGAAGACUUGAGGUGCAGUUGGUGAAAAGCUUGAUGAAGCCAUGAAUUUGUAUAACAGAUCCCUUAAGAAAUAGGCUCUUGAUACCAAUUGUUGGAGCUAAGUGCAACAAAUAGCAAGGUUCAACAAAAAGCUUGCCGAGCAAGAAUCGAGACUUGCGGCAGAAACAAAGAAGAAAAAUGAAAUAAAUUUUAAGCAAAGCUAAAAUAGAGAGUAUAUGGAUGAAAUCUUGAUUGAAUUCAUUCAUUUUUUUUUAAAAUGGCAUAAAGCCUAUUUAUACAAGCUUACAACUUGACAACUUAGUUGGAAUACAACUAAGUUUCAUCAUUACAUCCACUUAAAAUAAAUCACCACCUACUACCACUAACAAACUUAGUUGGAAUACAACUAAGUUUCAUCAUUACAUCCACUUAAAAUAAAUCACCACCUACUACCAUGUAAUAGCCCGAUUUUAGGCUUAGUCGGAACAGUGGUUUCGGGACCACAAAUCCGACGAAAAAAAAAAUGUAAUGGCUUGAAUUUUCAGAGGUGUCAGAACGGUGAUUCGAGAUCACUAAAUUCGACAAAUGGGUAGAAAAUAUUAUUAAUUUAGUAAGUAUAAGUUAAAUAUGAAGUUAGGAAAAUUUUUGAAAUAGUGAAUAGUGCACUAGAAAUAAAUAUUAAAAUAAUUAGAAUCGAAAUGAGGUAUCAAGACCUCGGGGAUUUUAAACUGAGCCAUAAAUAUUUUUAUAAAUAUUUAUGGAGUGUUAAAAAGUUAGUAUUAAAGUUUCGUUAAGAAAUUUUAAAGUUCCGAUAAUUAAUUGAACAAAAAGGACUAAAUUGUAACAAAUGCAAAAUUUUGGAAAAUGAUUAAAUAACUUAAAUGAUAAAAGGAAGAGGGCUUAAAAGGCAAAUAGACCCAAGGUCUAUUUGGGCUGGACGGCAGAGGCAUGAAAUCAGCAAAAAAGUAAGGAGAAUUAAGGGCAAAAUUGGAAAAUUGCAAAAUUUGCUUAAUAAAGUUAGGACCCAAGUGGAAUUAUCUAGAUUUCUCUUCAUUUUUCUGAAUUCUCAUCAGCUAAAACACCAUGGAAGGGCUUCUUCAAGCUGGUUCUUCAUAUUUUUAUUACAAGUAAGUUCAAUUCUUGACUAUUUCUUGAAAUUUUUGUAUUUUUAUGACUUUUACAACUAGGCCCACUUGUUAAAUCCAUUAGUUUUUGAUUUUAUGAAAGAAUUUGAAAGUUGAUAUGAAUAUGUGCUGGAAGUAUAUGAUGAUUUAGCAUGAAAUUAGAGAUUUAAAUUGUUCAUAUGCUGAUUUUAUUGAAAGAAUUGAAUAGAAAGUGAAUGUUUGGGACCUAAUAGUAAAAGAGUUUGAAGAUAGAGUUAUAUGUGGAAAUUCUGAAUUUCAAUAGUUGUGUAACAACUUAUAAUGUCUAGUAAAGUACUAAUUGAGAAAAUUAGAUUAAUUGAGGGGUUAAUUGAGAAAGGACCGAAUUGUAUAAACUGUGAAAUUUGGGGCAAAAUGGAAAUCAACAUUUUGCACUAAAGCAGUUUUGGACAGCAGCAGUAGUGUAACUUUGAAAAAUCACCAAAAAUUGUAGAGAUUGAAUUAGAGGAUGAAUAAAAUAUGAAACUAAAGCUUAUUGAGUCUAGUUUCUUAUAAAAGAAAUGAUGUGAGCAAUGGAAUUGUAAAUCAUGAGAUAUAAUAGAUUUUGUGAGACAAGGUCAGAAUGAAUUCGGGUUCCCCUGUUCUGACUUUGGAAAAAUCAUUAAAAAUUGUACAAAAAUGAUUAUGAGUUAUAGUUUAUAUGGUUAGAAUCCUUAAUGAGUCUAUUUUUAGAAGAAACAAGCUAAAACAUCAUCCGAAUUCUGUACAAUGAGAUAAUUAAUUUUUAGUGAAGAGUGGUCGGAACUGUCAGACAGCGAAACAGGGGAAACUUUAAAGAAUAAACUGUACUAUUUGGCUGAACCAAAAAUUAUGAAAAUUUUAUGGUAUGAAGAUAUGUGAGUCUAGUUUCAGGGAAAAUUAACGGAUCUUAAUUUGGAGCUCUGUAUCUCCGGAUAAAAAUAUUUUAGUGACUCUGACUCGGAUAAACAGCUUUGAAUAUACAUGUUAGUAAAUAUUGAAAUUAUGGUUAAUGUUGUUUAAGUGUGUUAUACACAUUAAGGAUGUGGAAUGGAGAGGAGGAGGAGGAAAAUUGGGAAAUAUAUGAAUGAUUCGUGUAUAAAUGGUCAUAUGUUUGAUUAUAACUCAUAAACGAUGAAAUAUGAAUGAUGCUUAUUUUUGUGCAUUAUUGGUCAUGGUUUAAGCUCAUGUGUGAAAAUAAAGUUUCAUAGUAUGUGUGUAUGGUAUAUUCAGUAUAUGAUUUGGCAUGAAAUAAUACCAUGAAUGGUUUAUGAAUUAACACAUGUUGGUAAGCCUGAUAUAUGAAUAAAUGAUCAAAUUGAGCGGAACGCCGGAUUUGAGUACUUCUGAUCAAGUGACAAAGUGAUAAGUGGUAGCUUUAGCUACACUUAUCUGAUCAAGUGACAAGUGGAAAGUGAUAAGUAAUAGCUUCGGCUAUACUUAUCUGAUCAAGUGACAAAGUGAUAAGUGAUAGCUUCGGCUACACUUAUCUGAUCAAGUGACAAGUGAAAAGUGAUAAGUGAUAGCUUCGGCUAUACUUAUCUGAUCAAGAGACAAAGUGAUAAGUGAUAGCUUUAGCUACACUUAUCUGAUCAAGAGACAAAGUGAUAAGUGGCUACACUUAUCUGAUCAAGAAACAAAGUGAUAAGUGGCUACACUUAUCUGAUCAAGAAACAAAGUGAUAGGUGGCUACACUUAUCUGAUCAGGGACAAGUGAUAAGUGAUCAUACGUAAGACCAUAGUUAUCCUAUGGCAAAGUGAAAGUGAAGUACUCAAUUUUCCGUGACCGUUCCCUAAUUUGAUUAAGGAUGGUAAGUGACAAAUGGGCCCAAAAGAAUUAAAGUAAAUGGAUAAGUGGUAGUGUAUUUAUAUCAGGACGAUGUUGUUAUUCAAACUAAAGUGAUAUUUUCAUUGCUAAAUUGAGAAUUUCAUAAAUGUGUUAUUGAAUGGUAUAAUCAAUAAACAUUGAGUUAAAUGGUAAAUACGUAUUAGUUUUGAAUUUGAUGUCAUUGAAUUGUACGUGAAUUAAAUGAAAAUUGCUAGUGAUAUGAUUUAAAUUAUGAGCAUGAGAAAUUGCGAAUUGAAUGAAAUGGAAAUGAAGCAUUAAAUUGCAUGAGUAUGUAUCGGGUCUCGCAGGCCCUAAUUAUUAUGAUUAUAAUAUUUUGAGGAUAUAUUGUGAAAAGUUAUAGAAACAUGUUAAUUAUUUUGAAAGUUUUAAUUUUGAUGAAAUUUUAUAACUCGGUUAAAUACGUUUACAAGUGUAUGUGUUUUGGUAAUGCCUCGUACCCUAUUCCGGUGUUGGAUACGGGUAAGGGGUGUUACAUACCACCAACUAAGUUUCAUCAUUACAUCCACUUAAAAUAAAUCACCACCUACUACCACUAACAAACUUUGUUGGAAUACAACUAAGUUACAUCAUUACAUCCAAAUAAUAAUAAUAAUAAUAAUAAUAAAACAUGUGAUUGCUACAUGCUAACCAUUGCUUCAAUAAUAAUGACCUACCACCAGGUUCCUUUAAAAAUAUACGAAAAGUAAGUGUUUGGGGAUGUGGGAGUUUGAAAAAUCUAUUUCCAGUAUCAAUAGCCAAAGAUCUUCCACAACUUGAACAUUUAAGCAUCACUGGUUGUGGAGUUGAGGAGAUUGUAUCGAAAGGGGAUGGAGUGGAGGAGCAGCCUGUGAGGUUUGAGUUUCCGCAAGUGUCUUACCUUGACGUUUCAUUGGUAGAAAACCUCAAAUGUUUCUAUGAAGGGCAACAUACAAUAGUCUGGCCGAUGUUGAAGAAAUUGACAACAGAUAGGUCUGCUUUGCCAAAGAUAGUGGCAUCGGAACAUCUUAGAUUAAUCCAAGGAAAUGAGGAGCCAGUUUUGUUGGGUGAAGAGGUAUGUAUAUCAUUACAACUAUAUUUCUUUUUAUGAUUUAAACCACUGCCACAAGCAUCUCAAGUUGAAAUAUGCCACGAUCAUGCAUUUCUAAUUAUUAUAUUUUGUUUGGUUUGGAUUUUUUUUUUCGUAUUUUUGAAUUUUCACUAUAUAUAUAUUUUAAAUUUUUUGUUACAUUUAUAAUUAUUUUUUCAAUUUUUUUAAAAACAAGACUGAAUAAACAUAAUAGGUAAAUAUUGAGUGAAUACAGUUCAAUUUGAUAAAAUGUAUAAAUAUUGAGGGUUAAAUUUAUUAUUAUGUUAAAAAGAUGCUAAAAAAAAUAAAAAUAUUUUAUUUGUUUUUAAGUAACCAAAAUAAAAAUAUUUUAACACUAAGUGACUAUAUAUGUAAUUUACCCUGCAUUUAAGUAGUGGAUCGAAACUAAAUAGGAUCUUUAAUUUGCUUUAAAAAAUUGCCACUCAAUAAAAAAUCAAAACUUUAAAAGUUAAUUACACUAGACAUCUCAAACUAGGACCUUCAUUUUAAAUUAGUCCUAAAAUUUAAAACUAUUGAGGUUAUAUCAAUUACGUCUUUCUGUUAUUAAAUUCGUUAAUUUAACCAUCAAAUUAAAUCAGUGUAAUAUUUUAAAACAUUGGUGUUUUAUCUCCACUGUUCUGCUUAUACUUUUUAUCAUAGAAAAAUAUAUAUAACAAUGGUUGUUUAUCUAUUUUAAUUUAGAUUUGCUACUCUUCUUUCGGCUUUCAUGUUCUGUAAUUUUUAUCAGUUUUAAUUCUCAAGGUAUUGUGUUUUCUUAAAACAAAAAAUUCAUCUAUUCUGGAUUCGUUUGAUUUAAUAUUGAUUUUGUUGGGAUUUAAUCAUCAAAAUCAAACACUAAAAUUGUAAAUCUUCUUUCUUUCUUUUUUAAAGCAUAUACAUCAACAUUGAGCCUAACUUGCUUAUAUUUGAUUGGUUUCCAAGGUCAUUCCCAAAUUAGAGGAACUUGAGUUACAAAAUUUUGGUGAUAUGGACCAAUUUCCACCAGACUUGUUUCAACAUAUUAAAGUUUUUGCACUGAGUGGUGGCUCUCCAUUUUCUUUAUUUCCUUUCGUCCGAAGAUUCUACAAUAUGGAAAGACUUAAGUUCUCUUUUUUAGAUUUCAAACAUGUAGUCCCUUGUAAAGGAGACGCCGGGACUCUCCCACCAAUUAGAAAUCUGGAAUUGUUUUCUGCCAGAAAUCUUAAUCAUAUUUGGAGGAAAGGUUCGGAGCUUUACCAUAUUCUUUCUAAUCUUCAAACACUCACAGUUCUGCGUUGUGAUGAUUGGAUAAAUAUUAGAGCCUUCUCAUCAUCUUUACAAAAUCUUACAAUUUUGAAUGUGUCAUUAUGUAAAAUGACGACAAACUUAGUCACACCCUCAGUACUUAAGAAUCUUGUGCAAUUAACGACAAUAAAGGUAGAAGACUGCACUAAAAUGACAGAAAUAGUGGGCAACGAGGGAGACUGUCAUCAGACAAUAGUUGUUAGUAAAUUGAAAUGUUUACAACUAUGCAAUUUGAAGAGCCACCGGGUAAAGAUCUUUUGUUCACAAGCUUUUGUCCACGGUAUUACAACUUCGAGUUUCCUUGUUUGGAAGAAUUAGUUGUGGAACGUUGUCCUUGGUUAAAGAUCUUUUCUGAGGGAGUUUUAAGCACCCCACAAUUACAGAGAAUAAAACAGUCGCGUUACUUUGAGGAAUGGAGUUGGACAAGUGACCUUAAUACCACCAUACAACAGCUCUACACAGAAAAGGUACAAAGUUAAUAAGUUCAUAAUGCUAGUUAGAUUCCUCGUGUCCUAAUACAAUUAAUUUUAUUACUACUUCAAUAACCAUUGAAGAGUGUUAAUCGUUAUUUUGUUAUUGUCUGCAUUUUCUAUUUAUGAUUGCUAUCUAGUGGAAUAAUAUCAGAUUAAUUUUUAGGGUGGACUCUAUGGCCAAUGUGAUUUCAACAUCUCUGACACAUUUCCGGAGUCGAUAGAAAUAUGGACUAGAAACACUCAAGAAAAUUUGGGCAUCAAAAACCUUAGGAGCCUGCACUUUUAUAAAUGUAGCAGCUUGAAGUACAUAUUUACUCCGUCUAUGCUUUUGGGCCUCAAUCUACUACAAAGGAUAAAAGUGAGAGAAUGCAGUUCAAUGGAACAAGUAGUUAGGGAGGAGGAGGAAGCAAUGACACAUAAAUUUACAUUUCUUUCGCUACGCUCCGUAACAAUUGAGUCGUGUUCCAACUUGACAAAUUUCCAUUUGGGAAGUCAAGCUCUUGAAUUUCCACAGCUGAGUGAUAUCAGGAUAGCUGAGUGUCCAAAAAUGACUGCAUUUUCUUCCUCAGUUUCAAGAGAGAGUGGUGAUGCAAGUGAAAACGUGGUUGGCAAAGGGGGCAUCUAUGAUAACACUGCAACUUUUUUCAGCAAUAAGGUAAGUUUGGUAUUCAAUAUAUAUCUGCACAACUUAUUUCACAUUUUCUUUUGAUUUGAUCAACAUGAGUGUGUCUGGUCUACAUAUCCAUACUAGUGCUACACCUUGUCAAAAUUUAAUAUAAUAAAAUCCAUAAAAAUAUUAAUAAAUAAGAUGAUGUUAAAAAAAAAUUGGAGUUUAAAGUAUAAAUAAAUAUAUAAAAUAAGAUUUGAAGGAAAAACUUAAAGUGAAAUACUAAAAAACAAAAAGAAUUUAAGAGAAGUUUAAAAUUAAAUAGUAAUAGACAAUAAAUAAUAAAAUAAUAAUAGAAAAAAGAAAACAAAUCUUCCUUCAUUUUAAUUUGUUGAUGACCUUCACAAAGGUCAUUUGAGAUCAAAGGAGAAGAAGCCUGAAAACAAAAGGUGAGGAGUUUGAAGAAGAAAGAACCAAAUAUAUAGAGGAGAAUUGAAGUGAGAGAGUGGAUGGGUUUUAUUUAAAGAUUUAAUGCUUUUUUUUUUAAUUUCAUAUAUAGAAAAAAUCAUUGAAAGAAAAAAAAGUUUAAUAUAAUUAUUUAAAUUUACUUGUCGGGUUUUUAUAAAAGUAACUCAAAUUUUUUAUUAAUUAUGAAAAUGACUCAAUUUAAAAAUUAUGUACAUAAAUUAUUCGAUUUCUAUAGUGUUUGUCGGUGCCGCUAGACACAAUGGUGGCAUCGACCUACCAUCAUUGACUAAUGAUUGUAUUUUAUUUAAAAAAUAAUAGUUUUCUAGUAGUAUCGUUGGAAAAAUUAGUGAUAUCAAACUAAAGUGUGAUUAUAUAAAAUGUUUGUGGACUUGACAAAGUAAUUAUCCUUUUGAAAUUAAAUUUAAAUAACCCUUAAGAAAUAUAAGAAUAACAAAAAUAAACCAUUCUCAUUUUUUUUUAAAAAUAAACUUAAAAAAUUAUAUAAAAUUCUUAUUUAAAUUACCCAAAUAUAUCCCUCGCACAGCUUCCUCAAGUUUAUCUAAAUUCAAGCAUUUUCAAUUCAUUCCCUAGCAUAUUUAAAUUUAGAUAAACUUAAGGAAAUUUUUUGAGGAAUAUGUUUGGGUUAUUUGAAUAAGAAUUUUAAAUAAUUUUUUAAGUAUUUUUUCAAAAAAUGAAAAUGGUCUAAUUUCAAAAGAAGACAAACAUAACAUGCAAACAGGUCAAAUGUUGAAAAACAUUUAAUUUGGUUCAGAUACCAACGACACCCCUUUUUCAAACAAUCUAAAAACGUUAACCGCUUCAAAAGAUCCCUGCAUGUUUUAUAUAAUCACAUUCAGUCUGGUGCCGUCAAUUUAUUAGACAAAACCACUACAAAUUUUUUUAAAAAGCAAUCAUUGGCUGAUGAUGGAGGCUAAUGCAGUAAGCACUAUAGAAAUCAAGUCAUUUACGUACAUUAUUUUUAAGUUGGAUCAUUUUCGUAAUUAACCAAAAAAUUUUGGUUACUUUUAACUGUCUAGUUGAUGUGUGAAUAUUAACCUUUAGAUCAGUUUAUAAAUCUUCAUACUCAUCUACUCAUUUUGAUUGUCUUUCAAAGUAAAGAAGGAAGAGUGAUACUAUCUUAUAAUAAUAUUUAUGUCAACAGGUUGUCAUUCCUCGUUUGGAGCGUCUGGAUUUGUCCUCCAUCAACAUUCAUAAGAUAUGGCACCACUCAUCCUCCCCAUCUAUCGGAUACCUAAAUUUCUUGCGGGUGAAGAGGUGUCACAAUUUGAAAUACCUGUUCCCGUUUUUCUUAGCAAAAGAUCUUGAGCAACUCCGAUUCCUUGGAAUUUUGGACUGUAAUAUGAUGGAACAAGUAAUAUUCACGGAUGGAUUGGUUGAGGAACAUCAAGGGAGGAAUCAGAUGUUUUUCUUUAAUCAACGUUCGCUGUGGCUAAACGACCUUCCCAAACUCACAAGUUCGUGCUUUGAAAAUUACUUUGAAUUUCACUGUUUAGCAGAUUUAACACUAAGAAAUUGUCCAUUGCUAAAAACAUUCAUCUCUAAAUGUGUACCCGGAGAUGAACCUCAAAUUGGCCAACAUGUACAGGCAAGUAACUUGGAGGUUCAUAACUCAUCUCUCCUCAAUGAAAAGGUCAUUUCUUCACGGAUUCUCCUUUUAAUUUAUUUUACUUCGAUUUAUCUUAUUCAUUUGAAGUUCUUUCUUUUUCAUACAUAUUUCAGUAUUAACCUAAUGAUAUGAUUUAUUAGGUUGUUUUCCCUAGUUUGAAGAGGCUGCAAAUUCAAAAUUGUGAUUUGUUAGAAGAAAUUAUCGAGCUGCAAGGAGUCAUUGCUGAUGAGUCACAGUCAACAUCAGCUGCUCAAUCUAUUGUGGCUGAAACAGUGACGACCAAGUUUGUAUUUCCCAAACUAAUAAACCUGGGAUUGGAUAAGGUGCCAAGAUUGAAAAGUUUCUACUCUAGGAUGCAUACCACCCACUGGCCUUCAUUGAAAAAAAUGGACAUUAUUGAAUGCCCCAAAGUACAGAUAUUUACUCCACAAUGUCCCGGGAGUCAGGUUGGAAUCUCAAACCAACAACCCUUGUUUUGCGUCAAUGAGGUAAGCUCGCGAACAGUUUCAUAUUCCAUGAUCAUUACUUGAGAUUACCUAUAAAAUGCUUUUUGAAAAAACUAAUAUUCUCUCCUCUUUUAAUUUUAUGAGAGUCUAGUUCUUACUAAUUUAAAACUCUUUCAUCGAUGUCUAAUAUAUUCUUUGCCAUCCAGGACACUUUCCCUGUAUUAGAAGAACUAACUCUGAAGACGAAUGAUAUGGGGAAGGGGAUAUGUGAUGGACAACUCUCAUUGCAGUGUUUCCAAAACCUUAAGCAUCUUAACCUCCAAUUCUUUCCCGAGACAUCCACUACUCUUCCGUAUUCCUUCAUUCGGUCACUACCAGUGCUUCAUAAGCUUGUUAUAGACAAUGCUUCCAUUUGUCAAAUAGUACAAUCUGAAGGACUCAGCGACUAGGAAUGGCAUACAUCAGCAUUCUAUCAGCUAAAGGAAUUAAGUUUGUCUCAACUUCCAGAGUUGACGUUAAAGACUUUUGAACCAUCUUUGCUGUCUUUCAAAAAUCUAACAACACUGAAAGUUUCAAGAUGCCAUGGGUUCAUCAAUUUAAUCGCAUGCUCAACAGCUAAGUGCCUGACGCUACUGGAAAGAUUGAUCAUAGAUGAUUGUGAGAUGAUAGAGGAAAUCAUAGCGUGUGAGGCUGAAGAAAUACAAGGCGGCAUUGUAUUUCCCAAACUGAAGUAUUUGCAACUAAGUUGUCUGCCAUGUCUAGCAAUCUUUUCCUUGGCCCAUCACUUGUUGGAAUUCCCAGUCUUGCUAAUGUUGAUGGUGACAAAGUGCCCCCAAAUGAGGAAUUUCUGCCAAGGAGAUUUAAGCACGCCAAGGCUGGAACAAAUGCACUUAACAAGAGAUGAGGAAGGUGAACUGAAGUGGGAAGGCGACCUUAACACUACCAUAAAACAUAUGUUCGAUGAAAUGGUACAAAUCAUUUAAAGGAUUUAAAUUCAUGUGUUUUUACAUACAUACAUACAUAGUUAAUUGAACAAUUCCUGGUUUGUUAUGAUCAUGCACAGAAUGUGCAAAAUUCUGAGGUGACGGAGGUUACUGAUCAGUUGCCCAAUCUGGAAUAAGGAAAUAUGUUUGGGUGCUUAUGCGAAAAGCUCAAUUUCGUUUGAAUUCAAAACAAACGGUAAUUGACUCCUCUAUUUUCAUCAUGGCUUAACUAAUGCUUUAUAAAGUGACCAUAGAGACGCCCUUUUCAUUGUAGGUUGAGUUGCUCUACUGAAGUACGAGGCUGCAACUUUUGGUAAAAUGUGAAAGGUUAUUUCAGUUUUUGUAAAACUACCAUUUGAACUGUUCCAUUUCACAUUAUACCCUCAAAAUUGAACUUCAAGUGCAUCAUGCUUGGCAUUGGGCUACAAACAUGUAAACUUUUACUAGUAAGGUUGACCCCUGUUUUAAGGAUUUGCCAACUUUUGAUGGUUACCAUAUCAAUGUCAGCUUAAAGCUAUCAAGUAUCUUUACAAAUAUAAUAUAUAUAUAUUAUUCCUUAAUGAAGGAUAAAAGUAGGCAGCUAUCUAUUAAUGGUACGGCUGAUUCUGAAAAGACGGCUGAAAUUGAAUCAAUGGGUUGUUGGUAAUUGCCUGAUGGAAGAACAGGGCCUAAUGUUACGUGGAUCCUGAUCAAGUUUUAAAUUUUCAGUUGUAGGCAUUACUGAUUAUUGCCAUUUGGUUGUUGAUCCUCUGAUUUUACGGUUGACUGUCUUGCUUAUACGUUGCAAGGUUGGCGGGUCUCAAGUAUGAAUUUCCAAGCCGGCUGUCAUCCAUAAUUAACUAAGUGUUCCAAUCUGUUGAAAGGUGGUUAGCAUGCAGCAUUGAAGACCACCAUGCAGAAGCAGCAGUUUGCACGAGAAAGCAAGGAUGUUUAGUUUCAUUUGAAUUUUUUUUUUUGUUUAUGUAAUGUAAUCUAGUUCAUUUUGAACUAUGAUAAGAUGAUAUUUGAUGUAAACUUGAUGGUGAUUGAGCUGUUUACCAGCUUUAUUCAUUUGCACAAGUUAUCAUUCCAAUUUACUAGGAAACUUAGUGGUAGUAGGUAUAGUUUUGGUUAACCUACUGUCUUGACAAGCUAGAAGCUUGAUUUAUGUAUUGGCAUUAAGCCUUUUUUUGAUGAAUGAAUUUAAUCAAGUUUUCAUUCAAAAACUCUCACCAUUCUCCUUGCUUUAUUCUUUUUAGUUUUCUGCUUGUUUCUGCUGCAAGUCACGACACUUGCUGCUCAAGCAAUAGGCUGAAACUUGUUGUUAGUUGCUCUCAGCUCCAACAGAAUCCAUGGAGUUUAUGGUUUAUUAGUGUAACUGUCCAUUUGGUUGUGGAUUGGUUCUUAAGGUGUUUUGAUGCUUGUAUGUUACAGUGCCUGCUCCAAGCAACACCCUUUAAUUUCUAAUGAAUUUUAUUUGUUGAGGAAAAAAAUAUGAGGAUUAAUCUGAUAUUUUAUGUUUGGGUUUAUGAAGAUUUUUGUACCUUUAAUGAAAAAAGCAAAUAAAAUAGAGAGGUACAAGAUCACAUCCAUAGAUCAACAAAGGGGUUUAAUAUUUCUAUAAAAAAAGUUGUCCCAAAAAGGCCUUCUAAUGGGAAUUGAAAAAAAAGCUUGUAAAAAUUUACAAAAGGAAUUGAUGAGAAUCUGAUACAGCCAUCACAUGCGACAGCUUUCCCUUAAAAGCAUUCGUGGCUGAGUCUAGUCUUAAUUUUUAUUUGUAUCUUUUAUAUCCGUUUUAUAAUUCAUAUUUAAGAUUUGUAUUAUGCGCUUAAUAUUUCAUUAUUUGUUGUCUAUGAUGCUCAUUCUUGAAAAAAAAAACAAACAAACAAAUGCAAUGCAUGCAUAAACCAUAAAAAAAAUAAAGAACAUAAGCAACUAAUAAUGAAAUAUAUUAAAAUGAAGACCGGUAAUUGAUUUAAGAAUUACCCUAAUUUCGGUAAAUAUAUUAAAACAUGUGUCCCUAAUCUUUUUCAAUUUUGAUAUUGAAAAAAUUGGUAUUCUUAAAAUUAUGAGAGUUAUUCAAUUAUUUUCAUUUUUGAAAUUGAUAAAUUAAGGACAAUUAAUCACAACGUUAAUGUUUUUAUCAAUUAUAUAUGAUUUUCUUGAUAUAAUGAUAAAUUUAGUCCUCAAAGUUUACACAUUCUAUCAAUUUGUUAUUGAUUUAACAAAUUUAACCCACAAUAUUUACACAUUUCGUCAAUUUGAUCAUGAUUUAACAUAUUUAACCCGUAAUAAUUAUACAUUCUAUCAACAUUUACGCAAAAUAUAUAAUCAUCAAGGAUUAAAUUUGUUUUUAUACUAAUCAAAAUUAUGUAUAAUUAACAGAAACUAUUAGCGCUUGAUUAAUUGUUCGUGGUUACUUUCAAAAAAGAUAAGGAUUAAUUUGUUCAAUAUCAAAAAGAUGUUUUUUAUUUUUAUUUUUUAAUUUCAUAGGUAAGAAAAUCUCAAAAAAAAGAAAAUCUUUGAAAUAAAAAAUAGAAUGUUUUAUAUAAUUAUUUGAAGUUACUCUCACGUUAUUUUUACCCAUUCAAAGCUAGCAAGUCUUUAUGUACAAAAUGGUAUAGCUCUGCAAUUUGGAUUAACAUUUUGGUGACCUCCAUGUGAAGUGAAAGAAAAUUGAGAAUGUCACACAAUUAUUAUUUUUGCCUCCAUACCCCUAUGCCACCAAAGAAAGUUGAAUUAUUAAGGCACAAAAGUACUAAGGAGUAGGAGCUAGAAAAAGAGGGGCAUGAAAAUAAAGAGACUUACAUUUAUUAUUUGCAUAAUACAAAAUCAGUCUUUAAUAUUUACAUAUUUUAUUAAUUUGAAUUUUAUUUUUAUUUAGUUAAAUUUAACUUUAAACCCUUUAAAAAAAGUUAAAUUUGAUCAUCAACAUUUUAAAAAGAGUCAAAUUAUUAUUUAACGGAAAUGUUAAAUUUUGAAAUACAUAUAACAAUUCGCGUGUAUUUCAUAUUAUUUUUUUAAAUUUUUUAUAUUUUUUUGAAAUUUUUAUUUUUGAAUAUUGUUAGAAAAAUAUUUGGAACAUUGUUAGUGGAGUUUUUAACCUCCACCAACAAAAUUAAUGGGUUAAUAAGUGUCUUACAGGGAUAUAAUAAAAUAUUAAUAUAUAUAUAUUAAAAUAUAUAUAUAUAUGUUAAUUUUUUUAAAGUUGUGGAAUAAAAAUAAUAUAUUAUUGGCAUACCAAAUACUCACCUUUUUAAUUAAGAUUUAAAAAUAAAAAAUAGUUAGUAAAAUGAAUGGAUUGCAAAUUGAGAAAUUUGAUAUUGAAUAUUAAAAUUUUCUUAAAAAGAAGACAUAUAGCAAGAUAAGAAAGUUAGUGAUUUAUUUGAUUUAAUUUUAAUUUUUAAAUUGAUGCAUUUUAUUAUGAAUUUUUAUUCUUUGUGUAUUUUGUAUAAUUUGUUUGAAAUUUUCAAUUUUCAAUUUCUCACAUGAGUUUGAGAUAUAAAAAAAAUUACUCUUAGGAUUGGUGAAACAGUGGAUACAAGAGUUCAGCUUAUCAUAUAUUGAUGAUUUUGUUCUUCGAAAUAUUGUCUACAGAUAGGAUAUCAGAGUUCUAUUAAUUAGAGUUCCGUUAAAAAGUCGAAAUUUCUAUUUUAGCCUAGGACUCUAGGAGUUCUGUUAUCGAUAUUCUAAUUAUGAUCAUGAUCUAUAAAAAAUAUGAGUAACAUGUGAUACGUAAAUGAAAAUUUUUAUGAUAUGAUAAGUCAUAAAUUAAGUGAAAAUGUAUGAAAGUGUAUGAUUAUAUGAAAGACAAAAAUAAUUAAUUUAAUUUAAUGAUCUGUAAAAUUGAAAAAUGAAAUACAUGAAUUAUAUAAGAGAAUGUUGACGAUCAAUAUGUGGUAUGUAAAUGAGAAGGAAAAAAUUAUAUGACCAAAUACUAAAAUAAAUGAAUAAUGAAAUUAACUAAAUACUUUGUAAGUUCAAUAAUUUAAAAAAUUGUUAUUUUUCCCAUUCAAAGUUGAAAAGUCUUUUAUGUGAAAAAUAGUGUAGCUCUUCAAUUUGGGUAUAACAUUUUGGUCUUCUCCAUGUGAUGUGGAGGAAAAUUGACAACAUCACACAAUCAAAUCCAUUUUUUCUGCCAUACCCUUGUGCCUCCGAAGAAAGUUAAAUUAUUAAGGCACAAAAGUACCAAGGAGUAGAAGCUACCAAAAGAGGAGCAUGAAAAUAAAGAGAGAUACAUAUAUUACUGGCAUGAAAUAUUUACAUUUUUUAUUAAUUUGGAACUUCUUGCCUUUUACUACUAGCUUGAUUUGUAUCAUCGCUCUCACCUUUUUGAGCUUGUAUCUGAUAGUGAAACCAAAGAUUAGUGAAAGCCUUCGCACCAAAACUGAGUUCUAGGAACUGCAAUAGGAUCAAUUUCAACAACUCUAAUGGGAUAUUAAACAUUCCCAACUCUUAAGAUCACCAUCUCAUCAAUUUUACACAAUUAAAAUGAAUGUUUCCCUUCACAAAAGGUUUAGGAUGAGCAGCACCAUCGUCCACACUAAUAAAACUUCCCCAGUGAUUGGCGAUGUUUUUAAAUGUAGAGAUCGGACAAGCAUGGAUCGGAACCCCUAAAGUUGUUCUAUAAUUAACCAAAAUGUUUUCAGACCAUGACUCAACUUUUGUGAACCACCUCAUCGAAAUUUCAAUAAACUCUUUUAUAACCUUCUCCACCGUUAAACUCCAUUAGCAACUUGGAGGCCACCCUCUUCUAACCGCAGAGCAAGGUUCUCAAGAGUACAUAAAUCUCUACACCAUCCCAUAAUACAAAUUGUAGCUUAGAAAGUUUUUCUUCCUCGAUAAUCCCAUCUAUAGGAAUUGACUCUAUCUCUUUCUUACCUGUAGCCACCUCCUCCAUGAAACAAUUCUUGUUUAUAGCUUUUUCACCUCCGAGGGUUCCACUCGUAUCUAGAGAAUCCUUUGAUACCUCCAGAGCCUUUGAAGCGUGCAAAGUUGACCCAUAUUCUAUGUCCAAAUAAAUGGAACCGUUCAGACGAAGCGUCGCCCUUCUUGCAUCAGUAAAGUUUGCGAAUCUCACAAAACCAAAUCUUUCUCCUUUUUAUGAAGACAUCCAUAACCCUGCCGUGAUACUCGAAUAUCUUCCAAAGACCUGUCCAUUGCAUUCGUGGAGGACGAUUCACUACAAAAACAGUAACACAACUCUGUCCAGUGUCCACCACCCAACCCAUUACUCAUUAAUAAAACUCCUACUUCAUCACUUAACUAAAGCUUUCUUUUUGAUAUUUUUAUAUAUUUUAAUUUUGUUUUGUAUUCAAAUAAUUUGAUAAUUAACUUUUAACAAUUAUCCCAUAGUUUUUACUAUAAAUUUAAGGAAGACAAUCUUGAUAAAAUUAGUUUGAGGUAGGAACAGUUUAUUGGAACAGCGUAGUCUUUUAUAGGAUUAAAAAUAUUAAUGCAAGAAAUAAAAAACAAGUGAUUAAAGGUUUAGAACAAGCAAUCAAACUUAUUUUAUGUUAAAAUUUUCGAACAAUAUGAAAAUAUAUAAUUUUAAUUGUUCUUUUACCAAUUAAAUUGAUUUUUGACAGGUUUAACUAUUGACUUAAAAAAGAGUGUUAAUUUGAAUGGUUAAAUGUAAUGAUGCAUGGUUUGUCUGACAUCGUCACAUGGAAAAUGGGAUUAAAAAUGGAAAUUAAGCAAAGGCAAAAUGAAUAUAUUUAUUGUUUUCUAAUUUGGUGUAGGGUGCCAUAUUUGUUGAUAGCCACUCACUAAUACAUUAUAAAUGGAAUAAUUGCCUAUUUUACCUUUUUCAUGAAAUUUAUUGACAUCACCAGCUCAUUUUUCAACCACAUUACUCAAAUGAUUGACAGAGAGAGGUAAAAGUAAUUUAUAAAUGUAUUUCUUUUUUUUCGAGUAUAAUUUGUAUUUAUUUCUAGCCAUUUUUAUAAAGUUAUUGUUUAAAAAAGGGGUAAUUAUCAAAUUCAUAUAUGAUUUGGAUCCAAUGUACAAUUUGAUACAAACUACAAUUUGGUGUAAUUAUACACAUAAACUUGAAUUGUGAUUCAUAUGAGCACAUGAAACUUUGAUUUUGAUUCAAUUGUAUGCAUUUAAUGAAUGUAUACGUUUAAAAAAAAUGAAUAUUUACAUUUAUUUUCAUAUUUGAUUAUAUACAGGGGCGAAACCAGAAAAUUCUUUUAGGGGGCUGAAAUUAAAUUGUAAUUUUUACGAUAGCAAAAAUGUAAUUUCACCAUUUUAAUGGCCUAUAUCUUUAUAAUUUUUAAAUGAUUAAAUCAAAUUUUAUAUUUUUAGCGGAGCAAAGUACAAUUUUACCUUUACUAAUUUAAAAUUUUAAAAGGCCUAAAUAGAAAAUUCACCAUUUCAAGGGGACUGAGACUAGAGGUGAUCAUGGGUUGGGCCCACCCGAAAAAUAGGAGGGUCCAAGUAAAAAUAUAGACCCAAAAUAUGGGUUUCGGCAAAAAAAGAAGCCCGUUUAAAAAACGGGCCGGGCUCGGGUAAAAAUUUUUUGGCCUAGGCCCAACCCGACCCGGCCCGAAUUAUAUAUUAAAUAUAUAUAGUUUUUAUUUUUAAUCAAAUAUGUAUUAAAUAUAUACUUUUUUGGUGUUGUACAAUUUGAUAUGGGUUGGGCUCGGGCUUAGCAAUUUUCUUUUGGGCCGAGCUUGGAUAAAUUUUUAGGCCCAUAUUUUGGGCCCAGCCAAGCCCGAGCCUAAAAAAUGGGCCUAAAAUUUUGUCUGGGCCCUGCUCAGCCCAUGAUCACCUCUAACUGGAACCCCUGUCAGCCCCUUAGUUUCGCCCCAAAUUAUAUAAUAGUUUGUAUAUGCAAUAUAUCAACGUAAAAUUGUGCUAAUUCAAUAAUAUUGUUAGUGAUUUCUGAAAAUUGAAUCAAAUCAAUAUUUCAUAUAUAAAAUUGUACAAAAUCAAAGUUCAUAUACAACAUAAAUAAAUAAAUAAAAAGUUCAUAUAGAACAAUAUACAUUAAAUCAAAAUUUAUAUAUAAUUUUGAUAUUUAUCUCAUUCUUUAUUAAUUAUAACGUGUGAACGAGGUGAAUCCAAAUUUUGUCAUUUAUUUUCCUACCAUCUUUGCGAAAUAAAUUUCAACUUAAGAAGGAAAAAAUAAUUAACAUUUUCAAAUUCUAUCAAGAUAGACAUGUUCAUAGGUCAGACUCUCGGCUUAGGUUCAAAAGUUCACUAAAAUUUUGGGAGGGUUUGGAUAAAAAUAUCAUACCCAAAGAAUGGACUCGAGCAAAAAAAAAAGACCUGUUUAAAAUAUGGGUCGGGCUCGGGCUUGAAUAUUUAAGGCUAGACCCGUUUUAAGUUUAUAAUUUUUUAUAUUAUGUUAUUUUUUAUAUAUUAUGUAAUUUAGAACACAAUAAAAAAUAAACAUAUAGUAAAUAUAUAAUAUAACUCUAAUGUAAACAUUAAAAUAAUAUUAAAAUGACUAUAUAAAAAAUUUCAAUAAAUAAAAAUGUAUAAAUAUUAAAAUAAUAUAAUAUAAAUACUUUUUAAAAAAAUUAAAAAAUAAUAUAAGCGAACCUAAAAUGGGUUUAGAUUAGUUUUUUGUAAAUAUGGGAGUGUUUUGACAAAAUUUUAGGCCUAAAUUUCAAACCGGACCGAACUUAAACAAAUAUAAAAUAUCUUAAUAUCAUGCUUAAACCAACCUAUGAACACUUCUACAUAAAAAUAAUAUAGACGAAUUGAUGUCGUUUAGUUCCACAAGGUCAAACUUCAAAUUAAUACGAGUGUAUUAUUAAAAGUUUUCGUCCUCGCAUUACUUGUAAUUAGUUUAUGUCUUUUAAUUCAUUGAGAAGUAACAAGCAUGUAUGGAUGUCCAUUGUACAGGCCCAUUUUGACCUAAUCCAUUACAACCCAUAACCCAAGCAAAAACAAAACCUACCCAGGCCCAACUAAGCCUAACCCACCAAAACCAAAGCCCAAAUCAGCAACCCAAUUCAGCCCAAUCUACCUAACCCUAGCCAAUUUGUAGAAAAAAGAAACAGCAGCCACCCUAGGUGCGCCGCACCUAGGGCCUUCGUCCACCUACCCCCUGCCACCGCCUCUGACCAGCGCCGCACCUGCUCUCUGCCAUCGCCCAACUGCACCUGCAAGAAGAGAAACCAACACGCAACAACAAAUAGUAGACAUAGAUAAAAAAAAUGUUAAAAUCGGCUAUAAAAGCCGAAACCAGAGGAAUGUAAAGGGUUCGGCCCCUCUUUGACGAUUAAAAGAAAUAAAAGUUUUUUGAAAAUCUUAAAGGUGACUACUACCUUUUUAGAUCUGUUUUUUUUUGUUCUUUUAAAUAUUAUUUUUGUUUUUAAAUACAAACAAAUUAAAAAUAAGAAUAAAGGAGAAGGCUUUUUACCUUACCUGCGCCGCGACGGAGGUGGAGGAAGGCGAACGGUUUCGCCCCAUUUUUUGGGUCUUCGGCUUUCUAUUCAGGAGAUUCAGCCCCGGAUCUGUGGCCUGGAGGCCAUGGACUUCAAAAAAGGACGAAAAAGGUCCGAUUUUGAACCUCCGGCGGCCACACACGGUGGCUCUGCGGCGGAGACUCGUCGGAAAUCUCGAGCCGGACCAUGGCCGGACCUGAGAGAAAAAGAGAGAGUUUUCUCUCUGUUUUUUUAAAAAGAAGAUGAAACUGUUUCUUUUAGCUUUUUUUAGUAUUUAUAUUAAACGUGAAACGACGCCGUUUUAGCAAAAGGAUCCGCGCGUCGACCCGACCCGACCCGGAGGAUCCGCGUGUUUUCAGUUUUUGGGAUAUUUCGCGUGCAGUCCCCCUGAUUUUGCAGCGUAUUACAAUUUUAUCCUUUUGUUAUUUUCUCUUAUUUUUAAUUUAGCCCCUGCAAUUUUAUUUUUAUUUCGACUUGGUCCAUUUCAACGCUGCGUUUUGGGGCUGUGGUUUAUUUGCAGUUUUGGCCCUUUCCUUUUCAGCGCGCGUUGCAAUUCGGUCCUUCUUGUUUUUUUAUUUCAAAUUUGCCUAGUAUAUUUGUUUUUAUUUUGAUUUAGUCCCUUUUUAGCAAUCUUAUUUAUUUUGAUUAAUUAUUUUAAUGUAUUAUCAUUUAUUAUUAUUAUUGUUGCAUUUAUUAUUCUGAUUAUCAUUUACCCAUUCGCAUCGUUUUUGGAUUUGGUUAUACAUACAUACUUAUAUAUAUUUUUAUAUUUUAUAACUUAUAUACAUAUAUCUAUAUUUAUAUUCUUUACCUUCACAAAUAUAUGUAUACGUACCUAUAUAUAUAUAUUAUUUUAUAUAUAUACAUCCUUUUACAUUUUUAGGUUUUUAUAUUUUGUUCAUUAUUUAUUUAUUUAUUUACAAUUUUGUUAUUAUUUUAAAAGAAUGCUUUAACUUUAUUUGCUUAUAUAUUCAUUUUGUAUGCUAUUGAUUUGUCUUUUUUUAUUUAUCUUAUCUUUGAUGCUAUUGCUCGUGUUAUUUUACUUGCAUUAUCAUCAUCAUUUCAUUAUACCCAUUUUUAUUUAGAUUUCGAAAAAGAAAUUUUAGAAAUAAGUAAUAUUCGGUAUUUUGGAUCUUCGAGAGAAUCGAGCCCUAACGUAUUGGGUUCCGACUUUCUUCGUUGAACUUAAAUAAUUGAGAUUAUUCUUUUAAAAAUGAUAAAAAGCUCGUUACCGAGAAUUCAAUAUGUUGUGUCCUAACGCAUUGGAUGUGACACGUUAUUUUUUCGAAACGAGAAUUUUUCUAAAUAAAUGUAAUAUUCAAUGUUUAAUAUUUUGAGAAAUUGUGCCCUAACGUAUUGGGUUGCGAUUUCUUCAUUUGAUUUAAACAAUUGAAUAUUCUUUUAAACUUUAUUACACGAAUUUUUUCAAACUCAAGUUAAACGAUAUCGGGAAUUAAAAAAAGGAUCGUGUCCUAACUUACUGGUCGCGAUAUCUUUUUUUAAUCCAAGAUAGUUAAAUAUCUUUUAAAUAAGCAUUUUUCAUUCGCGUAUCGGGAAUUCGAGACAUUGUGUCCUAACUUAUUAGAUAUGAUUCUCUUUCUCGAAUAGCGUGAAAUAUGCCCCUUUUUCAGAAAUUUUUCAACGUUUUAAUACAAGGAUCGUAUUUUUAAAAUUCUUCAAAGUUCUCAAUUUUCGACAUUAAGACAUUAAGUAGUCAAUUAGGUACCAAUUUUGGGCGUAUCGAGGGUGCUAAUCCUUCCUCGUGCGUAACCGACUCCCGAACCCGUUUUUCUGAAUUUCGUGGACCAAACUUGUUGUUUUAAUAAAAUCAAACCGUUUAUUAAAAACAACUAAUUUUAAGGUGAUCCAAUCACACCUCAUAAAAAAGGAUUGGUAGCGACUCCCGUUUCUUUUUUCAAAACCCAAGUCGACCCCGUUUUCCAUCCAAAAAAUGGUGUCAACAUCCAUCUUCUACCAUAGUUGUCUUCUAAAGAACUUUAUAAAGGGAAGCUAUGCCACUCUAUUUAAGGGUUGGUUUUGGAGAUUAAAGUGUAAUUUUAUCAUCAUAUUAACUUAAGUUUUUUUUUUAAAUUUAAAAACGUGUAAAUGGUAAAUUUACUAUUUUUGGAAGGUCAAGGCUAUUGCUUCCCCUUAUCUUUGCCCUGCUAGUAGUUGACUAACACGGUCUCAUACAGUAAUACUCUUAUCGAAUAUAAAGCCUUGUUUAAAUGGAGAUAUUUAUAAGAGGAAAAAUACUAAAUAAUGCAAGCUCGCCCAUGCCUGGUCACUGUGAGCCCCUUUGUGAGGAAGCACCUGAUCUUCUCUCGAAGUUACGAGGUUAUUUUGUCAAGUUCUUUAGAGAGAGUUGUCUCACACCCCUAGGUAUUCUCUACCUACCCACUUGUGUCGGUUUUGGGUACACGUACCCUUUUGAUGAAGGUCGUUCAAGCUUUUCCUGGAAGUAUAAUUUUUACUUCCACUUACAAUUUCAUAAAAUAAUAAUUUAUCAAAUCAAAAUUAUUCAAAUACAAAUUCAAAAUAUUUGAAUCAAAAUUAAAUUGGAGCUCCUCACUCAGGCUUCUACUUUUGUGCAUUGAUAAUUCAGUGGCAGCACUUCCCCCUUGCCUUAAUUGUUGAAAAUUGAAUAAAAAUUGUACCUUUCAUUUCCUUCCCUCAGACAAGUUGUUCAUUGUUGCUCCCACUCUUCAGUCUUCUCUAAAAUAAUGUAGGAAUCCCAAGUCACUAUAAUUAGGUGAUGAGGAUGGUACUUACUUUUUUUCCAAUAUCAGGGUAUUUAUCGUUAAUAAUAGUGAUUGAUUUUUUUUGUUGCGAAUUUGUACAAGAGCUUAUGUAAGAGUUUAAUAUAGUUCAAUGAUUAUUUUAUAAUUUUUUAAAGUUAAAUAAUCAAAAUAGAAAUUAAUUAACAAUUUAGCUAGAGAGCUUACACGUAGUUUACCCAAAAACAUAUCGACAUGAUCCCCCAUUGGAGUCCGAAGCCAAAGCUCACAAAUUGGGUUAACAUUUGACAUUUGGGGUUUCAAAUUGAGAAUUAAUUGAAAUAGAUAACAAUUAGCAAUUAAUUGAGAAUAAACAAAUUAUAUUCCAUAUAGUGUAGUAUUGAAUAUAUGUUUACUUCAUUAAAGGUCUCUUUUUUAUUCAAUUAAUUUCUCCAACUCAAAUUUAGCAACUUAUUAUGGUACUAUGAGAUUAUAAGAAUGGUUUUUGGAAGUAAAUCAGUGAGUGAAGUUGUAAAAUUACUGAUUUUCGAUUUAAUUACUUUAAUCAUUGGUCUAGUUUCAAUUAAAAAAUUUAUUCAUGAUUUAGCCUAUAAAUUAUAUAUAUUCUCUCACUUUAGUCUAGUUUAGACUUGCCUAUGGCCCUGCUCGAAUGUCCACCUGAAAAGCGAGAUGAUUUAGGUAAAUAUAUAUGCCCAAAAAGUUGGUCUGGAUAAAAAAAUAAUGCUCGUUUUCUAAACGGAUUGGGUCUCAGGUAAGCUUUUCUUGCUCAACCUGGCCCGAAUUUGCAAAAAAAAAAACUAUUGUUGUUUUUUUUACUAUUUUAUCAUUGUUUUUCUAUCAUUUCGUUAUUAUAUUGCUACUAUUUUAUUAUUAUUGUUUGAAUAAUGCAUAACUCUUGUUUUAUUACUAAUUUUGCUACUAUUUUAGGGAUAUUUACUUUUUAAGUUACACUUAUCUCAGUGUUAUAUAUUUAAGUAUUUUUUUUUAAUUUUCAUUUGUUCGGAAACAUUUAUUUCAAAUUUUUUAGUGUAUUUGAUGAAUUAUUUUUUAAAAUUUAUUUUUAUAUUAAAAAUAUAAAAAAUUAAUAUGGGCAGACUAGGCUUUUAACAUUUUAAUCUAAGUUGGGCUUGGAUAAAAUUUUAAGCCUAUUUUUCGAGCUGAACCGAGCUCAGGCCUAGAAAUUAGGCCUAAAUUUUUUACUUGGCCCUAUCAACCCAUGGACAACCCCAGUCUAGUUUCAGUUGGGAAUGAGAAUUACUACUAUUUUGUUGUUAUUAAAUUGUUAAACCAUUGUUUUUUUUUUUUGGUGCCACUUCAAAAAGCCAUUGGGCCUUAGUCAAGACGAGGUAACAUAGAAUAGUUCAGGGUCCUAACUGGAAAAUAUCCCACAUUGAUUAUUGUGAUGUAGAAAGUGGAAAAUAUGUAACGAGCGUCAUUGGAAAGAUGUAUGUCAAACUAGUGGAGCCAUAAAUUGGUAGUUUUCUAAGGUUGGUUUCAAAAUGAAGGGGGAGCUCCCAAGUCAAAAUAAAAUUGUUUAGUAUUUUUUAGUGUUUCCCUUUUAGACAGGUUAAAUUGUGUAUUUAUAUGUAGGGGUGUUCAUUCGGUUAACCGAUCGGUUAAUCGAAUCGAACUUUUUUAAAAAAAAUUAACCGAACGAAAUUUUUUCGGUUAAUUCGGUCGGUUAAUCGAAAAUUAUAUGUUUUUUUAUUUUUGGUUAAAAAUUAACCGAAUUAACCGAAUUAACCGAAUUCCCGAAUUACCCGAAUUAACCUAAUUGAAUCAUACAUAAUUAAAUUAUUUUUAGACUUUAAUACUUUAGUUUUAGUUUUAGUUUUAGAAUUUGUUUUUAUUUAUUAAAUUAUUUGUAAAUUUUAUGAUUGGGUUGGUUUGGGUAAUUGGGUUGGAUUGAAUACUUGGAUUUGGAUUGGGUUUAGGUGAAUAGUGGACCUAUUUAUAUAUUAAUAAUUUUAUUUAUUAAUUUUUUCGGUUAACCGACCGGUUUCGAACCGAAUUAACCGUUAACUGAAAAUUCAUAAAAAAAUUAACCGACCCCCGACCGAAAAAAUUCGGUUAACCGACCGAUUACCGAAUUUUUUCGGUUUUACCCGAAUUAUGCACACCCCUAUUUAUAUGAUAUGAUUACUGUUCACAGAUAUGAUAUCGUAGGUAGGUUCCCAUGCAAAUCAACGUAUACCCUACUUUAGGUUAACAUGUAUUUAUAUGAGGUGGAUUUACAUAGUGCAAACCCACAUCAUGCUGUCUCGUAGAAGGUUGCAAACACCUUACAUGCGAACUCAAAGUGCGAACUGUAAUGGAUCAGUAAUAGUGAAUAUCAUAACAAAAGUAAAUUAAAAUAUUUAAUUCCUUCCAAAUAUUAAUUUCAAUAAUUAUUCAACUCCUAUUAUUUUAUCCUUUUGUAUAUUGAAUUCCUCUAAGCAAAGAAAAUAUCCAAAUUAAAAUUUUUAAUUUUUUUAGACAUAAUAUCAAAUUUAACCUUCAACGUUUACAUUUUUUUGUCAAUUUGGCAAUUAUUCUUUUUUGAGCUAAAUUUGACCCUUAAUCUUUCAAAAAAGAGUCAAAUAUUUUUUUAUGAAAUCUUUUUUUAAUGAAAACAUUAAUAAAAACAUUAAUUUUUUUAACAAUAAUGGUGUGGCAACCCGCAUGGUAGUCCACGUAUACUUCCAUACUAGUAUGACACUAUUUGUAUUAUAUGUCAUGUCAACAAAUAAUUUUAAAAAAGUAUUUAAAAUUCAAAAAAUUAUAAAAAGCUCAUAAUAUGUAAAAUAAAAAAGCAUGAAGUACAUAUAGAUUGUCAUUCAAACUAUCAUAUUUGAAAAUUUAAUGUUAUAAUCGAAAUUUUUUUUAAAAAAAUAACAAUUUAACUCUUUUAAAAUAUUAAUGGUUAAAUUUAACUUUUUAAAAAAAAUUGAAAGUCAAAUUUAGCUCAAAAAAUAAAGAUUAAACUGACAAAAAAUAUAAAUGUUAAAAGGUUAAAUUUCAAAUUAUAUCAUUAUUUUAUUAAACAAACCUUAUUAAAAAUGUAUUUAAAUUUUAUAAAUCUUAUUAAAAUAAUAUUAAUAAUUAUUCAACUCCUCCACACAAAGAAGCAUCCAAAUUAAAAAUAUAUAUUUAAUUCCUUUCAAAUAUUAAUUUGUUCAACUUCUUAAAUUAAGUAAUUAAUCAAUUUUCGUUUUAAACAAAAAACCGGAUAGGAAAACCAUCAUUUUCUCGGGAAACAAACAGAGAAAGCUGCAAACUUUCCAAAUAUAUACCUUACUCGAAAAUCUGCCACGUCUUAUCCUUGAUAUGAUGGUUUCUAACAUUGCCACUUGGCAAGUUAUUCAGUAACAAUGCCAAUCUGCCACCAUUAUGCUUUUCCUUGCAGUACAAAAUUCCAGGAUGCCUUUACUUCUUUUGCCUCUUGGAUCAGCAUUUACUAUCACCAAAAUCAAAAUCCCAACUUUGAAAAAAAAAAAGUUUAAUUUUUAUCCUUUUUUUAAAAAAAUUUAACAAUUUUUUAUUUUCCAUUGUCAACCUUGUAAAAUUCUUUUAUAUUUUUAUGUUUUUAGUGGGAUUUUUACAUUUGUUCCAAAUUAUCAGUUUGUCAAGUUCUUCAUGCUUUCCAUGUCCCAAAGGAUCACAUUUUAUUUAAGAAAUAGAAAAAGACAUUAUUUUUGUUCUUCAUGCAACUUAUAAGUUAUAGAGAAUGAAUUUCUUUGAUUUUAGCAACUAAUAUUAUGAUUCCAACAUUUAGGGUUUUAUAUGUUUUUUUUUCUGUAUGAAUUUGAACUUGAGUUAGCCAUAAAAACCCCACCUUUAAUCUCAAUAUAUGAACUUGGCUUUGCUUCUUAUGGUUAUUAUUGUUUAAUUUAAUUAAUGUCUUGAAAGGGUAUUCUAGUUUAAUUUAAUUAACUAGUCCAUUUAUUUUGAUUGAUAAUGAUGUUGCAGGUGCUUAAUCUUUCCAUUGAAAUGGAGAAAAUCAACUACCAGGACGAGCUGAAGAAAGAGCGUAGGCUUGUUCGGAGUCUCGUAUACGAGAUCGGUUACAGGAAGGAACAGGUGUCCGAAAUGGAACAUAAAUAUGACAAGACAACCACGGCUUUUCAAGAACUCGUUGAUGGCCUUGUAGCGAAAAUUGACUCCAAGGACAGUAGUUUGCGGGAUUGGGAGCUUCGAUAUAAGGAAAUGGGGAAAUGGUACAUAAAUAUGAUGAGACGACCGCAGCUCUUCAAGGACUCGUCGAUGGCCUUGUAGAGAAAAUUGACUCCAAGGACAGUAGUUUACGGGAUUGGGAGCUUCGAUAUAACGAAACCGUGAGACAAUUGAAGGGCGAGAACGCGGUGUUUCACCUUGUGUUUGCUAAAGGUAUACUUUAGAUUAUAUAUUGCAUACAUAGCGAGCAGAAGACUAUGCAUUAAUCCAAUCGUGUACGAUGAACAACAUGUCGUUUUCGAAGUUCCAAGGUUUGCAUUUAGAGCUUUGAUUGAUCUUUAGGCUAUUUUACACAUCUAGUUGCUUAGUAUUAGAUUCGGUGAAGAAGUUGCAACUUUAGGAUAGUGAAGGAGACAUAAAUGUCAGGAUUCGAACCCCAAACUCUGCUUUUAUAUCUGUUAUCACGGGAACCGGAUGAACUUAUGGAAACGAGGCUUGGAACCUAAAAGGAAGCAUAUAUAUUUGAGAUAUUCCGAUUUUCUUCCUGUUGCUAAUGCUUCUAUCAUACACAUUAGGAUUAUGUGAUCUUAUAUAUAUACACACGCAUAUAUACGAGAUACUGAUGAAUUUCUGCCUCCUGUUAUUGCUUAUAUCAUAUGCUUUAUGGACUGUUGCUUUACAUUUUUUAUGCAGAAAUUCAGAAGGAAAGGGAUGAAAAUCUUAAGCUGAAGUGCCAACCUGGCUUUCGAACCAAGUUGGUCGAAGAUUAUAUAUCUCGUAAUGAUAACGAUAUGGAACGAAGUAGCUUGUUGAAUGAAAUGGAAGGGGUUAGCAUACUCAUCUUAAUUUUGGUUUUCGAUAUAUGAACUAUCUUUUGUCGAGUUUGUACCUUUGUGUAAAUGAAUCCUGUUAUCAUGUUUAGGUUCAACGUUUUUAAUGGUUAUGAUUUGCCGAGUAGACUUUUAACAAUUCGGAUUAUAUCUGAUAUAGCCGAAAGAGAAUGUGGCUUGCCAAAAUCUUAUUGAACUCGAGAAAACUACAAGCGAGCAGAUUACUGCUCUAAAGAAAGAGUUGGAGGAAAAAUCAGAAGCGUUGAAAGAUAUGGAAAACCGAAACAGUUGUCUAACGGUGAAACAAGUCCUAACUAAUCAAGAGCUGCAAGAUGUUCGAAAAGAAUCCAUACGUGUAUUUUUCAUGUUUUCCUUUGCUUCCUCCUAUGUUUCCUCUUCGAAAUCGGGUUUAAACUUGAAAGUGUUAAACCCAAGACUUCUCUGGUUUUUGAUGUGCAGGGUUUGAACGAUUUUCUGAAUAACCAGACUAAUCUUAAGAGUGAAAAGAACGGGAGAGAUUGAUCAAAAAGCAUUCAAAGUUGCUUGCUCGUUGAAGUUCCAGGACGAAGAUUGGCGAGAACCGUGUGCUAAAACAUGUUCAUUAUGUUGUUCCAAUAGGGUCGGAAGCGUGUAAAUUAUUGUACUAAAAAAUCACAAAAAGUUCAAUUCCCAGGGAAGAGAGGUGGAUCACAUGGAUCUCUUAAAUACCAAGUCUUUUCUUAGACAGAAUAUCCCUUCUAUAGUAAUUUAAUAGCACAAUUAAAUACUACUAUUAUACCCUCAAAUAUUGAAAGAAAAAUAGGACAAGAAAGAACACAAGAGAUUUAACGAGGUUCGGUAAAUUAUACCUACGUCCUCGGGCACUAACACCAGAUGAUAACUUUACUAUCCCCAAAGUAUUACAAACAAAUAGAAUUCCUUAAGAAUUCUCAAAUGGGAGAAGAGAGAAAACUAAGAGAGAAAGAUUGGUUGGGAUGAAUUGAAAUGAGAAAUGAGAAGGCCUAUUUAUAGUUGAGGUUCAAGGACCAAACAAUAAAUAGCACAUUAUCUCAAGGACCAAAAAAAAAUUAUCCCUUGCCACUUUUCCAAAGUUGGUGGUUGUCAUUAUUGAUUGUCUCCCAUUAAUGUUAAUGGCAACCAUUAUUAAUUGUCUAUCAUUAAUGUUAACAAUCUCCACCUUGAAGAUUUGAUUAGGAUAAUCACAUCUUCACACACUUCCUUCAACUCCCUAAAUUCGAUAAAGCUAUCUUUUGUAGUGCCUACAAAUGCGCUCUCGAGCGCCAUACACCUGAAGGUGCUCAAAUUCUCAGGAUGUUAAUCAAGUUCAAACAAUGAUUAAACUUGAUUGUUGUUACCACCUUGGUCAUCAUAUCUGCGGGAUUAUCUGCUGUCGGAAUCUUCUAAAGUAGAAUUUUUCCUUUUUCAAAGACUUCUCGCACAAAGUGAUAUCUUACGUCAAUAUGCUUGGUUCUUGAAUGAUAGACUUGAUUUUUCGCUAAAUGAAUAGCGCUCUGACUGUCACAAUAUAAACUUAUGUGACUUUGAACAACUCCUAAGUCUUUCAACAAUCCAUUAAGCCAAAUAGCCUCCUUAACAGCUUCUGUAACUGCCAUAUAUUCUGCCUCUAUAGUAGAUACAGCUACUGUAGACUGUAAGGUAGACUUCCAACUCACUGGGGCUUUCGCAAGAGUAAACAAAUACCCCGUAGUUGAACGACGUUUAUCUAAAUCACCAGCAAAGUCGGAAUCAACAUAUCCAACUACAAACUGACCAAGUGCUUCAUCCUGUUCAAAAAUUAAACCAACAUCUACGAUUUUUCAAAGAUACCGUAGAAUCCAUUUCACAGCUUGCCAAUGUCCUUUUCUAGGAUCAUGCAUAUACCUGCUCACAACUCCAACAGCUUGUGAAAUGUCAGGCCUCGUACACACCAUCACAUACAUCAAACUCCCAACUGCAUUAGUAUAUGGGACUUUCGCCAUAUAUUCUCUUUCUUCUUCAGUUUUCAGAGAUAAUUGAGCACUAAGUUUCAAAUGAGAAGCAAGUGGGGUACUUACAUGUUUUGUGUUUUCAUUUACACCAAAACAUUGUAAUACCUUUUUCAGAUAUUGCUUCUGAUUCAAACAAAGCUUGCCUCUCUGUCUAUCUCUACUUAUCUCCAUGCCGAGAAUCUUCUUGGCCUCACUUAGAUCUUUCAUCUCGAACUCUUGAUUCAACUGAGCCUUCAGCUUAUCUAUCUCUUUUUGGCUCUUCGAAGCGAUUAACAUAUCAUCAACAUACAAGAGUAGAUAAAUGAAAGAUCCGUCAUGCAGCUUCUGCAAAUACACACAAUUGUCAUAUUUGCUUCUUGUGUAUUUCUGCCUUCUCAUAAAGCUAUCAAAUCGCUUGUACCACUGCCUCGGGGAUUGCUUCAAUCCAUAUAGCGAUUUGUUAAGCUUACAAACCCAAUUUCUACCACCAGCAUCUGUGUAUCCUUCUGGCUGAGUCAUAUAGAUCUCCUCUUCUAACUCACCAUGCAAGAAAGUCGUCUUAACAUCAAGUUGAGCUAGCUCUAAAUUCAACUGUGCUACCAAGGCCAACAAAAUUCUAAUGGAGGAAUGCUUCACAACAGGGGAAAAUACAUCAUUGUAGUCAAUUCCCUCCUUCUGAGCGUAGCCUUUAGCUACCAAUCUUACCUUGUAGCGAAUAUCCUUCUUGCUAGGAGAUCCAUCUUUCUUUGCGAAUACCCACUUGCAUCCGAUUUCCCUUUUACCUUUCGGUAAUUGCGCCAACUCCCAAGUAUUGUUCUUCCGGAGAGACUGCAUUUCUUCAUCCAUGGCGCUUUUCCAUUUAUCACUUUCUAAGCUUUGCAUUGCUUCUUGAUAAGUGAUAGGAAUAUCAUCAACAACGGGAAGGGCGUAGGCCACCAUAUCAGUAAAUCGAGCAGGUUUACGAAUUUCUCUCCAUGGCCUUGCAACUGCAACUGGUUCUGGUGUACUUAGUGGUUCUUGGGUCAGAACCUCUUCAACCUCUAAUUCCUCCAUUGUGGCUGGAGAAUUAGACUUAUUAACUGGGCAAAUCCCCAUCUGCUCAAACUCCACCUAUUUUGGAGUACACUCCACCUGCUGUGGAGUAUUGCUCGUCUGAAUAUCUUUAUCUGCUACCUUUUUCAAUGUGGCAGAUUCAUCAAAGGUAACAUCUCUGCUACAGAUCAUUUUCUUUGUGCUUAAGCACCAAAGACGAAAUCCCUUCACUCCAGAAGUGAUUCCCAUAAAGAGAGCUUUUUUUGCCCUCGGAUCUAACUUUGACUCCUUCACAUGGUAAUAUGCAGUGGUUCCAAACACAUGUAAGGAAUCAUAAUCUGUAGCCGGUUUUCCAGACCAUACCUCCAUAGGAGUUUUUCUUUCUAAUGCAGAUGAUGGCAAACGAUUAACAAGAUGGCCAGUGUAUGUCACAGCCUCAACCCAAAAUUGCUUGCCCAACCCAGCAUUGGACAACAUACAUCAAACUUUCUCCAGCAAUGUUCGAUUCAUACGCUCUGCCACUCCAUUCUGUUGUGGUGUAUCCCUAACUGUGAAGUGUUGAACAAUACCAUACUCUUGGCACACAUCGAAGAACGGAUCACUUUUAUAUUCCCCUCCAUUGUCCGUCCUAAGCCGCUUGAUUUUCUUGCCAGUCUGGUUUUCGAUCAUAGUUUUCCAUUUAAGAAAAACUCCAAGCACUUCAUCUUUAGUUUUCAUGGUAUACACCCAAACUCUUCUGGAAAAGUCAUCAACAAAAGUAACAAAGUAGUGUUUUCCUCCCAACGAAGGUGUUUUGGAAGGCCCCCACACAUCUGAGUGAAUAUAUUCCAAAAUACCUUUUGUAUUAUGGAUAGCAGUGCCGAAUUUCACUCUCUUUUGCUUUCCCAGAACACAGUGCUCACAAAAUUUUAAUUUGCAAGCCUUUGCACCUUUCAACAAUCCUUGUUUUGCCAGAAUUUGUAAGGAUUUUUCGCUGGCAUGUCCCAACUUCAUAUGCCACAACUGCAUUGAGUCCAAGUCUUUGUUACCGGAAGCUGCAGCGACUGCUCCAAUAACUGUACUACCUUGGUAGUAAUACAAGUUAUUUUUCCUGAUGCCCUUCAAUAUCACAAGUGCGCCAGAUGUCACUUUCAAAACCCCAUCUCUCAUAGUAACAACUGAACCAUUGGAUUCCAAGGCUCCCAAUGAGAUGAGAUUUUUCUUCAAACUGGGCACGUACUGAACAUCAGUCAGAACUCUGGUUGAUCCAUCUUUAUUCUUUAAUUGGAUUGAACCUAUCCCAACAAUUUUACAGGCAUUGUCAUUGCUCAUAUAAACAACUCCUCCAUUUAGUUCUACUAAAUCAGAGAACCACUCCCGGUUAGGGGACAUAUGAUAGGUACAACCCGAAUCCAAUAUCCACUCAUCUGAAUGGAACGACGAUGAUGAUGCAACCAGUGAUAGUUCAGAGUCACUAGUAUCAUGCUUAGCAACACAAGCAUCUACAGCAGCUUUUCCCUUAUUCUUCAGCUUUGGACAAUUUUUCUUCCAGUGGCCUUUCUCAUGACAAAAAGCACAUUCAUCUUUCCCGAGUCUGGACUUUGACUUUGAUAUCCCCUUUUGAGUUUUCUUCCGAGUGUAUGAACGACCUCGGACUACUAAAGCUUCUGUAUCUCUGAUUGAGUUUUUCUGUUUGUCCUUCUUUCUCUGUUCAUAACUGUAUAAGGCCGCACAGACUUCGCUCAGAGAUAUAUCACUCCUGCCAUGAAGUAGAGUAGUUUCUAGGAACUCAAACUCCUCAGGAAGUGACCCCAACAGCAUCAAAGCCAAAUCUUCAUCUUUGAAUGUCUCAUCCAUAUUCAGCAAAUCAGUGACUAACUGAUUAAAUUUGGUGAUGUGAUCAUUCAUUGUGGUACUUACGUAUGUGAAGCGAAACAGUCUUUUCUUCAAGUGGAGCUUAUUUUGACUGUUUUUCUUCAAAAAAAUUUCUUCAAGUGCCACCCACAACUUAUUUGCAGAAGUCUCCUUUGAAAAAGCAUACAUCUGCUCUCGAGAAAGGCAUGAUCGAAUUGUGCCACAUGCCAACCGAUUGAUCGCCUUCCAAUCUUUCUCCUGUACAUCAUCUGGUUUCUCUUCAUCAAUGGCAAUGUCUAGACCCUGCUGAAAAAGGGCAUCUAGAACCUCACUUUGCCACAUACCAAAAUGGCCCGUGCCAUCAAAGAUUUCCACGGCCAAUCUUGCAUUUGCAAUUGUCGGUCUUGUCCACAUGGACGAUGUUGAAGCUCCUACACCGACCGUUUUCUCCAUAAUCUUUCAAUAUAUCUAAGGAAAUCUUUUCUGAUGUGGAAGAUCAGUUUAAACUGCAACCACAGAGCAUACUACGAUUAACCUUCGGCUCUUGAUACCACUUGUUGUUCCAAUAGGGUCGGAAGCGUGUAAAUUAUUGUACUAAAAAAUCACACAAAGUUCAAUUCCCAGGGAAGAGAGGUGGAUCACAUGGAUCUCUUAAAUACCAAGUCUUUCCUUAGACAGAAUAUCCCUUCUAUAGUAAUUUAAUAGCACAAUUAAAUACUACUAUUAUACCCUCAAAUAUUGAAAGAAAAAUAGGACAAAAAAGAACACAAGAGAUUUAACGAGGUUCGGUAAAUUAUACCUACGUCCUCGGGCACUAACACCAGAUGAUAACUUUACUAUCUCCAAAGUAUUACAAACAAAUAGAAUUUCUUAAGAAUUCUCAAAUGGGAGAAGAGAGAAAACUAAGAGAGAAAGAUUGGUUGGGAUGAAUUGAAAUGAGAAAUGAGAAGGCCUAUUUAUAGUUGAGGUUCAAGGACCAAACAAUAAAUAGCCCAUUAUCUCAAGGACCAAAAAAAAUUAUCCCUUGCCACUUUUCCAAAGUUGGUGGUUGUCAUUAUUGAUUGUCUCCCAUUAAUGUUAAUGGCAACCAUUAUUAAUUGUCUUCCAUUAAUGUUAACACAUUAUGGCAACAUAAUGUGCAGGAUCCGAAUUGGCACCCGUAUAAGAUGAUCAACAUCCGAGGCAACUUGCAUACACCGAUUGCUCAGAAAACCGUACUGUUAUCAAACAUCUGUUGUUCUACGAAAUGCGAGCUGGUUCAUUACUCAAAACUUACAUAUUAAUGGGAUGCCUUCUCGGUAAUGCAGGAAAUAAUAGACAAGGAUGAUGAGAAGCUGAAGGAGUUGAGAAAUGAAUAUAGUGACACAGCGUACGAGGCUGUCAGCACCGCACUGAUGGAAAUGAACGAAUAUAAUGCCAGCGGAAGGUAUGCGAUCCCGGAAGUUUGGAACAGAAAGGAGGGAAGGAGCGCUACCAUGAAAGAAAUCGUUCAGUACGUCGAGCAACUGAAGAUUCACAAGCGUAAGCGAUUUUCUUAAUGCUGAGCUUAGCAGUCCAUUGCUUUCAUGGAAAAUAAGUAGAAUUAUACACAAUCCUUAGGUAGGUAUUAAAUUUUAGAAUUAUAUUUGACAUUAAAAAGAGCUAUUUGUUCAUUCCAGCAUGAGCUCCAAAAUUAGGCUCCAUAUUUACAAACCUAAAUUAAACUUACUCCAUAUUUACAAACAGAAAUUAAACCUACCUACGAUAGUUGCAUAAAAAAAUAUUAUCAAUUUAAAAAAAAAAGUAAUUAAGUUGUUGGUAUUUUUCAUUUAAUUAAAUACUUCACUUUUUAAAAUGUAUCAAAAACUUUCUUUAAAUUUUAAAAAAUAAUAAUUAAAUCUUUGUUUUUCUUUUACAUACUCAAUGGCUACUUCAACUAUCAAAAAAAAAAAAAAAAGAAAAGACUUUUUGACAAUUAAAAGUAACUGCUUUAAUUUUUUUAGUUAAAGUCAUUCAGCGUCACAACCAUACAGGCGUGAUGUGUAAUAAAAAAUUAUAAAAAAUAAAAAUUAAUAAAAUUAUUAAAUUCUAAUAAAAAAUAUAAAAAUAUUUAAAAUUUAUUUAAAAUGUCAUAAAUGUAUAAAUAAAAUAUAUUAAAAAUGUUAUUUAACCACUAACUUUAAUUGUUGACUAGUAAAGUCCAUAAUUUUUUUUUCAAUUAAAGCCAUCAUGUGUCGCAAUGCAAUGUGACCUGUGAUGAAAAAUUAUAAAAAUAAAAAUCAAUAAAAGUUACAGAAAAAUUAAAAAAUAUUUCUUUUGGUACAAUAAUUUUUAUAAUUUUUUUAUAAAUUUUAUAUUUUUAAAUUUUUAUAAUUUUCUUACUAUUUUAUAAAAUUUUAUAACUUUUGCAUUUUUUUAUAAUUUUAAAUAUUUUAUAAUUUUUAAAUUGUUUAUAAAUUUUAACUCUUUUUUAUUAAAAUUUAAUAAUUUUUUAACUUUGAUUUAUUUUUAUUUUUUUUAUAUUUUUUUACAUGUCACACUAUAAUUGUGACCUUUAGUGUUUUACCAAAAUAUUAGGAGUGGUUAAUUUUAACAUUCAACCGCUAAAAUUAACAAUCACAAGACUUUUAACAGUUCAAAUAUUCAAUUGGAUAAAAAAAUUUAUUAUUUAAUAAAAUAUAUUAAAAUAAGGGUUUCGACUCAAAUCAUGAUGAAUUGAGCCAUCGAACUUGAGAAAUUAAAAUGUGAACAGAAAUGGGCUCUUCAAAAACCCUUACCCGAGCCCAAGAAGAUCCCCCAAAAACCUUCAACUUAUAACCCUAAUUUGCCUCUCAACUACACUAUAAAUCCUAUCUUCAACAAGACUCAUUCAGCAUUUAUAUCUUCUAAAAAACCCUUCGUUCGUCUAAGGUUUCUCUUUAGAAAUUUUCUCUUCGCAGAGAGUAAUUUUUGCCUUCAUUUUUUUUUCUCUUUAUUUUCCCAUUUUCAAUCUGGGGUUUUUUCCAAAAUGAGUUAAAAAUCCAAUCUUUACACUAGAUGUGAACCCUAAUCACAUUUAUUUUAUCUGGGUUUUGAAUAAAAUCUACACUUGUUUGUAUACUUAUGAAAUAAAAGAACCAUUUUUAAUGCUUUGUUUCUUAACAAGAGUGCAGAAAUAAAAAGCUUGAUUUUUUGCUUCUUUUAAAACAAAGAAACCAAGGAUUAAGCAGCGGCCAGACAACCGUAGCGAUGAUAUCCACAGAUGAAGGGCUAAUUUCUUCUUUAAUCCCUUUUUUGUCUACUGAUUCCAUCUCACAUUUCGUUUUUUAAGUUUUUAGGGUUCAUCACUUUUGAAUUGAUUGAAAAAGCUCUAAUCAAAGUUGAAACUUGGUUAAAAAAUGGGUUUUUUUAUAUGAUUUUACCAUUUUCAAUGCUUUUUUUUUAUGUUUUUUCAAUUUGUAAAAUCAAAUGAGAAACAAUCUCAAAAAAGAAAAAACGACAUUAAUCUAUCAAUCAAUCAAACUGAUUUUGAUUUGAUCAGAUAAAAAAUCAUUAAAUAUCAUAUUCAUGGGAAUUGCAGAGGUUUACUGUUGUAAUUCUUACGAUAUUUUAUCAGAUAUAUUUUACAUCUUAAUAUAUCAUUAAUAUAAAGUCAAAUUUUUUUAACAGGUUAUAUUUUGAUAUUAGUCCCUAUAUUUUGUUGAAGUUAUGAAUUUAGUCUCUAUAUUUUUUAAAUUUUAAUAUUUUAGUCUUUAUUAAAUGAUAAUUGUUAAAAGUUAAAGUUUUGUUAUUUUUAAAAUCUAUUGCAUCAAACAUAUUAUCACAUGCUCAAUGUCAUGUCAACUUGUUAUUUUCAUGUAUUCUUUACUAAAAAUUUAAGGGUAAAUUAUCAAAAUAGUCACUUUUGUUUGACUCAGGUUACAUUUUAGUUACUUACGUUUGAAAUGUUACGUUUUAGUCACUUAUGUUAUCACGUUGUAACAUUUUAGUCACUGAGCCGUUAGUUUUUGUUAACGGUGCAACAGUAAACUGAUGUGGCACGUUAAAUCAUCAUUUCAAACAAAAAUUCUAGGUUAACUUAUACAAUCGGUCCUCAUAUUUUUUCGUUUUGAGCAAUUUAAUUUUUUUCUUUUAUGUUUUUUUUAACUUUCUUUCUUUUCCAUUCUCUUAUGCUUCUCUCUUUGUUUUCCUCCCUUCUCCAUUUCUUUCAACGUAGUUUUUCUAUGUUUUAUUUUUUUGAACAAUUUAAUUUUUUCGAGUGAGGCGAGCUUGUGGACUAGUUACAAAUGGAAAGCAUAGAAAAACUAUGUUAAAAGAAAUAAAGAAGGGAGGAAAAUAGAGGGAGAAGAAUAAGAGAAUGGGAAAAAAAGUUAGAAGAACAAAAAAGAAAAUUUUUAAAUUGUUGAAAAUGAAAAAAUAUAGGAACCAAUUGUAGAAUUUAACCUAAAAUUUUCGUUUGAAAUGAUGAUUUAAUGUGCCACAUCAACUUAUCGUCCAUUGUCGACAAUUAACGACUCAGUGACUAAAAUGUUACAACACGAUAACGUAAGUGACUAAAAUGUAACAUUUCAAACAUAAGUGACUAAAAUGUAACCUGAGUCAAACAAAAGUGACUAUUUUGGUAGUUUACCUAAAAUUUAAUUAAUAGAUUAACAACUGUUAUUUGAGUCGAAACUAAAAUAUAAAAAAUUACGACUUAAACUGAUCCAAUUAAAACAUAUGGACUAAAUCUACAACUGUGCUUACAAUACAUAAUUAGCAAUUGAAUUUAAACAAUUAGAUUUAACAAUAACUAUUUGUGUUAAAAGACUAAAAUUUAAAAAAGUACAGAGAGUAAAUUUGAAAUUUUGACCAAUUUGAAAAGUACAGAGACUAAAACUAACUAAAUUAAAGUACAAUGACUAAAUCCAUAAUUUUUAUAAAGUACAAGGAUUAAUAGAAAAUUGUAACCUUUUUAAUAAAGUAAUUUUGAUUUUUAUUAAUUUAUUUAUAUCUUUUGCUUUUGUAAAUAUAAUAUUUUUAAAUAUUAUUUUGAUUUUUUAUUAUUUUUCAAAAGUUUUUACUUUUAGAAUGAAUGGUCUAAUUUAACCUUCAGUCCAAUUCUUACAAAAUUGAUAAACACUAACAAUGCAUAAUUUAAUAAAACUUUUCAAGUAAUUUAUAAAAAAACACUCAAAUUAAGUAAAUUAAACACACAUUUCAUUUUAAAUUAAAAUUAUAAAUAUUUAUGUGUUAAAAAAUAAAAAUAAAGUAUCAUCGAAGCUGCGGGCUGCAAUCUUCCCAAGCAACUUCAGCCCCCAUUACUUCCCCACUCUUUUUUUUCUCUUUUUACCAACACUCAGAAAAUCAAAAUUUUACCACACUUUCCCUCAUUUUCCCGGAAAAUAAAAUAAAGAUAUUAAAACCAAACAAAAAUCCAAAAAAGGAACUCGGUGAAGAUUUAGAUUUAGACCCUGAAAUUUUUGCCAGUGAAAGUUUGACCAAAUUGCCAAUGAGAAGGGACAAUGUUCCACGAAGUAGAGGUCCGAUGGUCGCUGCCGGUGACCCUAGACGACAGAGAUUGGCCGACUAAAACGGCGUUGGAUUGCCAGUUUUGGCCUCAGUUUCGGCUCAUGCUCAUCCACUCCGUUUUCGACCCUUUAAUGCUUGCUUUCACGAUAUCGCCGGCGCCGGCCACGUUUGUGAUUAGGACCAAGUUGAAGUAUCGGAAACCGUUGAUUGUGAAUCUGAUUCCUCCUCGUUUCUGGCAUGGCACCCUGAAGAAUCAUACGAAAAAGGAAAUGAAGAUUGGGUCAAAUCUAUUGACACUAAUUGUUGAAGUUCGAAAAUCGGUCUAAUAUUUAAGAAGGUAAAAGCGUUUGAACGGGAUGAGAUCAUCUCAACAUAUUGGUUAGACCGCGAAUCGAUUAAAAUAUCGGAGAAAGUAACUUGAUCAAUUAACUCGAAACUAAUACAAAUCAAGAAAAUUACUAGACAAGUUAACUCGGGAUUUGAUACAUCUAAGUUUGAUUUUUAUUAUAUAUAAUUUUAAUUUCGGUUUUAAAAAUAAAAAGCUAAGGGAAUAUACCUUCUAAAAUAGAGAAUAAAAGGGGCGCAACUGGCUAAUCCUUUGUUCUAUUGGCUAUUGCUAAUGCCUUGGAAGUUGAAAGUGUACCUUACUUUGAUUAGUGAAUGGCCGAAUAUGCUUACAAGAAUAAAUUAAGAAAUUCAACGUGGCUUAACAUACAUUUGUAUUUACUGUCACAUGAAUUUGGAUAACAACGAUUGAGAUGGAGAGAAAAAUCAUAUCCAAUUAUGUUUAACACUAGCAUUACGUACAUAAGCUCACACCGACUGAAGAAAACUUUACAUAUACAAGUAGAAGAAAUUUCCGAAUGAACAAAGUCAGUCUUCGCAUCCUAGUUGUUGUUCCAUUCAAUCUCUGUAUGCCCAAAAGAAAAUGAGAGAAAACAAUUACUACGACUAAUGACAUUGUUGAUAACAGGAAAUAUCAUUGUCAGAGAAUUCAAGACUCAAGAGGGAGCAUAUAUAAUUAAUCUAUACUAUAUUACCAUACAUAUGCCCUCAAAUAUUUUUAAAAUUAAUCGUUCAAAUCUAAAUAUAUAUUUGAAAAGAGUAUACGAUAUUAUAAAGGAUCGUAAAAAUCGAAAUAAUAUUUAAUUCUAUAUCGUCUUCUAGAAAGAACAUGAGCUAUGGUGAUAAAAUAUUCGAAUUAUUCCUCUAAUCUCAUUUAUAUCAUAAUUUAAAUUUGAAGAACUUACGAGUAUCGAUGAGAAAACCCACAGGGUCUUUAAUGAGGGAGUUGUUUUAAUUUCUUGACUUAAAUUCAUUGAUUCUAAGGAAGCCUUUACAAACAGACAUAAUUAUUAAUUGAUCCAAUUUCAACAGCAUAAAGUAGGAUCAUAGGAUAAGGGCUUAGACAGAAACAACUUUAUUCUUUUUCUUUUAUGAGCGAAUCCAAAAAUUUUAUGUUGGGAGUUGUUUUUCCGCAAGUGGUGGGAACGGGCAUCAAUUAUUGCUUAAAAGUUAAGCUUGUAAUUUACAAUCAAGGCAUCCAUCAUUUUCUUCAUCCUGGUUAAUGAUAAUUCGAGAUAAAUGUUCCAUUUCCAGUUAAAAUAAAAAUUUUCUCAAGUUAAUUGUUUGAGGAGUAAAUUUAAAAAUAAUAAUAAGAUUGUUUUCUAAAUUAUAAAAAUAAAGAUACAUCAAAAUUAAAAUUUUAAAAAUAUAAAAAUUUUAAAAAUUAACAUAGAAUACACAUAGAUUGCUAUGUAGGUUGUCGUGUUUAAAAAUUUAACAUUUUAAUUAGUAUUCUAGUUUUUUUUUAAAAAAAACAUCAUUUCAGCUCUUUUUCAAAACUAAUAAAUAAGAUUAGAAAACUAAAAAUCGAAUAAAGAAUCGAAUUUAACUAGAUGUUGAGGCUUGUUUUACACAGUUUCCUUAACACAAAUUUGUCCGCUUCUACGGUACUUGGAGAAACAUUGGUCGACUGUCUCCCAUGAUACAAUAACACGAUGACUGAAAUAGCAUCACCUUUACAUGAAAUUGGCUGAUAUUAUGACGAUACUAGGUAGCAUAGAUAUCAUUAUGGGAGAAGUGGAUCGUUGAAAUGAUAAUUUAUACGACAGAAGUAGAAUAUAUCAAUUCCUUUUACACAUUGGAAUCUUUAAAAGAGGUCUAUGGGAUCAUAUGGAUGUUGGUCCCUAUUUUGACUCUUGUUUUGGGAAUCACAAUAGGUGUACUAGUAAUUGUAUGGUUAGAAAGAGAAAUAUCUGCAGCAAUACAACAACGUAUUGGGCCUGAAUACGCCGGUCCUUUGGGCAUUCUUCAAGCGCUAGCAGAUGGAACAAAACUGCUUUUCAAAGAAAAUAUUUUUCCAUCUAGAGGCAAUACUCGUUUAUUUAGUAUUGGACCGGCUAUAGCAGUCAUAAGAGACCAAUGAACAAACCUUGCAUUUUUCUGUCACCGGAACGUUGGAAAAUAUAGAGAGGAAAAGAGAAGAAUUUUCGAGAGCAAAAUAAACUUGGUUUUAGAGAGUCUUUUAGUGUAAAAAAUUUGAAGAAUUCUUAAGCAUUCAAGAUGGAGGAAUUUUGGAAAUAUCCAUAAUUAAAUAUAUAAAAUUUGUAUUAAAUGAGCAAUUAAAUCAUAAUAUAUGUCUUUUUUAAAUUAGAUUUUAUAUAUAUUUGCUGAGAAAAAUAAAUUUUGUGUUGGGCUUAAAAUAUCUAUCCCUUUUUGGGCCUGACCAGUUUAGACAUUUCACGUUGCCUACGUCGUGCGAGUGCGCUCCAACCCCGAUGGGUUUGGAUCUACACCCCUGCGCGUGAGACAAAGUUUCAAACUUAGUCAUUCAAUCAUCCUUCAAGUGGGUUCUCAUAUAUAGAGACAUCUCACACUUGGUAUUCAAUCAAUGUGAGAUCUAAGCUUUUCUUUUCCUCAACAAAUAUUCACAAGUAACUUACUUUGAGCAUUAAUUUCUCACUUAUCACUCAACCAUUUUGAGCAUACGAUAUACUGUUGUAAAGAUAUCAUUGAGUAGAAUAUAAAAUCAUAAUUUUAUGAUUCAAUUCUCCACCUUUACCAAUUGAGAAUAUGCUUUAAAGUUUCCAAAAAUUACAAUUUUUUCAACAUUUUAUACAUCUAUUUUAAAGGCAUAAUUGAGCCAAGUAGAGCCCGAAUAAUGACAAGUUGAACUUGACUCGAACAUCACUUUUUAAGGUCAAUCUUGAUUUAGAACAUAAUUGAGUUGAUUAAGCUCGUUUAUCAAUUUUUAUAAUCAAACCCAUUCAUAAUUAAGCUCUUUCUAUAUAUCAAGGAUAAAAAUGUAACUUCAUAAAUAAAAAUAUAUUUAAAUGGAAUGCUUAAUUAGGUUUGUGGCCUACUUGAAUCAAGUAUUACAAUAUUUAAAUUCGACUCAACCAAUAGCUCGAGCUCUACUCAAUAAUUUUCAAUAAAAUUUUGAGAUUUUUUGAAUCCAACUCGAAUUGCUUGCAAAUAUUAAUGUAUCACUUAUGCUUUUAAUUUUAAAUUUACAUUUUUAAUUCUUAAAAUAUUAUUAAAACCCAAUCAAUUGAAGGCUUUGUAGAAAGUGGUGGCAAAGUGCAUCCUUUACUUUAGGUCUCACUAUAUCUAAAAAGAAAUUAAUGCGAACCGUAGAAAGUGGUAGGAAUGUGCAUCAUUAUUGCUUUAAAAGAAUUUAAAUCUUUAAACGGAUAGAAUUAAAUUUUCAUAAUUUGGAGGAGUUAAAGUGUACUUCUUUUUACUAUUUUAAAAUUUUAAAAUUUUAAAAUUUUUUAAAGAGUUAAAAUAACAUUUUUUAUUUUAAGAGGGCCGAGCUCCCUGUCAACCUCUAGAUUUACCUCCGUAAAUUUCAAAAUUCAGUUAAAUUAUGUUAUUUUGAAUAAAACGUUAAUUGAUAAAGAAAUUCUUUUAGUUUCAAAAAUUCAAUUUUUCUGUUUUAAAAAAAUAUAUAUUAAAAUUUAAAAUUUAAAAUAUUAAAGUAAUAAAAUUUAAAUAUAUCAAUGUCUUUUUGAUACAUGCAUGAAUGGGGUGAAACUUAUUAGAUUCCAAUCAUCAAAACUGCCAAUUUUCAGGCUCGGAAAAUCAGCAGACUUGCGGCGACUGGAUCCUGGUAUUUUUGGGUUGAGAUGUCUCAUGGCGUUUAAAGAUCUAUCUCUUAGCUUUGAAACGCAUUUUGAAUAACUCGAUUUUGAGUUCGGGAGCUCAAGUUAUGACCGUUUUAGUGAAGACUACGCGAGAAGAAUUUCUGAACGGGAUUAUGACGGGAAUUACAAAUUUCGGGCUUUUAAUUCGAGUUUAAAUCAUAUUGGAUUCGGGUUUUAGACUUAAUUUUUAUUAUAUAUGAGCCCAAUAUUAUAUUUGUCAGAUCUUAUUAUUUUAUUAUUAUUUUAUUCUAAUUUUUUUUAUAAUUAUUAAGUAUUUUAAGUUAUUAGAGUUCUAGUAUUUUAAGCUAUAAAGGCCAGAAAAAUGUAUUCUUGGGGGUGAUUUUUGAAGGUAAAAAAGCAACAGAAAAUCAAUACAAAAUAAUCAAAAAUUUCAAACAAAAAAAGAGAGAUUUAGAAGGUAGUUUUUUUUUCUCUGUUUUUGUUUGUUUUAUUUAUUAUUUUUUCUUUCUUUUUCUAAACAGAAACACAGAAAAUAAAACGGGACCGAAAACUCACCUUUUUAGAGGGAGGGCUGAGAGAGAGUUGAGCAAGAAGAGAAGGAUUUUUUUUUUAAAAAAAUGAGGUUACCAAUGAUUUUUUAAAGUUUUUUUAAAUUAUAUAAACACCCCAAAACGACGUCGUUUUGAGUUUGGCUUCUGACACUUAAAACGGCGUCGUUUCACCCUUGACCCGCGUGCGACCUGACUCGCUCCAUGGGGAUCCUCGUGUUUUCAAUUUUUAGGCUAUUUACGCCUCUGGUCAUCCCGCGUUUUCCGGUUGUUUUAAUUUAGUCCCUUUUUUACUUUUUUUCUCUUUAUAUAUUUGGCCAUUGAUUUUGUGGCGUGUUUUAAUUUAGUCUCUGGCUCGCUAAAAAGGACGCGUGUCAAGGAGAUCGGGUUAUUUUCCCAUUUGGUUCUCGUUUGUUUUCGGGCCUUUCGAAUUAGUCCUUUGUUCUUUUUUUAUCUUAAUUUAUCCUGCUAAUUUAAUUUGAGUAGCAAUCGGGUCCUUUAUUCAUUUAUUUUUGUGUAUCUUUAUUGUGUAUCUUUAUUUAUUUUGCUUUAUUAUUUUUACUUUAUUACUCCUUUUUAUAUAUUUGUUUAAAAUUGGAUUGUGUAUAUGUUUAUUAGUUUUUUUUUUCUUUUGGUUAUCAUUCUUUUACUUUUUAAAUAUUUAAAUCUAAUAUUAUGAACAUUUACUUUAUCUAUUUACUUAUUUAUUUAUUAUUCUUUUACUUUUCAAACGCUUAAAUUUAAUAUUAUUUACAUUUGUUUUAUCUAUUAUUCACUUAUUUUUUCUUUUACUUCUAAAGAAAUUUUAAAUUCGAUAUUAUUCGUAUUUGUUUUAUUAAUUUAUUUUUUAUAUUUCAAUUUAAUGAUAUUUGUUUUAUCUAUCCAUCAAUUUAUUAUAUAUAUAUAUAAUUAGAUACCACUUAUAUUCAUUAAGCAACUUUCAUUUUCAUUUAUAUUUUGAAUUAUUUUAUUUAUUGUGUUGUGGUGUUAUAAAUUGAUUUUUUUAUUAUUGCUAUAUUCACUGUUAUUGCCAUAGUAUUUGGUCAUUUAGUUGUCAUUUAGUAUCCUAAUAUAAAUCGUACUCAUAGUCAUAUCACAUUAUUUCAUUACCAUUGUAUUAUACACUAGGUUCACACAUAUUUAUCCAUUUUUUUAUAGACGAUGCCCGAAUUAAACAUGUAUGCCUUGUAAGUGUUACAUUAAUAUUUUAUUCGGUGCACAAAAAGAAAAUUAUUUUAAAUAAGUAAUAUUUCGUAUUUUAGAAUUCGUAAAUUCGUUCCUUAACUUACGGAGUUUCGAUCUUCUCGAUAAAUCUAAAUAAAUGAACCUUUUUUAAAAACAUAAGUUUUUAAAUAAUCUCAGGAAUUAAGAAGAGAUCGUGUUCUAACUUAAUGGAUAUGGUUUCAUUCUAAAACUGAGAUAAUCGAAUAUCUUUUAAAAUAAAUAAAUUUUCGGUGUUUAUUCUCGUUUCGAGGAUUUAAGGUAUUGCGUCCUAACUUACGGGAAGUAAUCCUUUUUCUCGAUUAACGUAAAAUAUUUUUUUGUAAAAAUUCAAUUAAGCGAUAUUGUAACAAAGGAUGGUAUUUUAAAUCUCUUUAAAGUUUUUAAUUUUCGACAUUAAAACAUUAAUUCAUCAAUUAGGUACCAAUUUUUGGCGAGACGAGUGUGCUAAUCUUUCUUCGCACAUAACCGACUCCCGAACCCGUUUUUCUUAAAUUUCAUAGACCAAAAUCAUUAUUUAAGUAAAAUCGAAACGUUUUAUUAAAAUGAUUAAAUUACAAGGUGAUCCGAUCACAUCUCGAAAAAAUAUCGGUGGCAACUCCAGUUUUUUCAUUUUCAUUUUUAAAAUAAAAGUAGACCCCUUUUGUUUCAAAAAUGGAGAAAGUGUGUUCCUAUCUUUUGUCAGCUUUACCAAAAGGGAAAAUAAUUGGCGAUAGAAUGUUGCUUUCUUUUGUCAACUUUUUAGCUGUAUCCACUAAAUGAUAAGAACUGCAUUCUCAAGUAUUUGUGUUUCUUUAGGAUUCUAUUGUUUACAUCUCAAUUUUUUUUUUACAUUGAGUUGCACUUUGUCAAAUUACUUCUCGCAUUACUCUGUUAAGAAAAUUAUCUUUUCGCUCGUUCGUAACUACGAGAACUAAUCGCUGAAUCCUUCUCUUAUUCGUUGGAAAGGUACGCCAUCUGCUUUCAUUUUGGUUGAUUUGGUCUUACUUCUUGGUUUACAGAAGCUUUACUUUUUGCUCAUUUGAUUUGUAACUUUUUCUUCUGAUUUUGUUUUAAUCUUUGUUGUCGCUGUGGUUAUUCAGUUUACUUCUUGUUUGACCUCUCAAUGGAGUCUGUUACUACCCUAGUUGGCUCUAUUGUCACUAAAGCUGUAGAGUAUACGAUCUCUCCUAUCAAAAACCAUGUCAAAUACCUUUCCAAUCAUCAGCAAUAUGUUGAGACCCUCAAGGACCGAGCUGAGAGGCUGAAAGAUGCAAGGGACAGAGUGCAGCAUUCUGUUGAUGCAGCUCAACGAAACGGUGAAGAGAUCGAAGGGGAUGUUGGCAAAUGGUUGUCUGCAGUCGACAAAAAGAUUCUUGAACAAGCAGAGAAAGUGAUGCAAGAUGAAGAAAAAGCAAAGAAAAAGUGUUUCAUUGGUUUGUGUCCUAAUUUCAGGACUCGUUACAAGCUUAGCCUGAAAGCCGAAGAGGAGGCAAAGGCUGUUGCCGAGCUACUUGAACAUGGCAAGUUUGAAAGGGUUUCCUAUCGUGCAGCUCCGCAAGGUAUCGUGGUUGCACCAGUUAAAGGUUAUGAGGAAUUCGAGUCAAGAACGUCCAUUUUCAAUGGAAUAAUGGAGGCACUAAAAGAUGAUAGCGUCAGCGUUGUUGGGGUGCAUGGUAUAGGUGGGAUUGGAAAAACAACGCUGGUCAAAGAAAUUGCUAGAAAGGUCAAGGACAAGUUGUUUGAUUCGGUUGUCAUAGCAACCGUAACUCAAGCCAUCGAUAUUGAGAAGAUUCAGAACCAAAUUGCAGACUUCUUGGGCUUGAAAUUUGAGGAACAGAGUAUGGUUGGAAAGGCAUUUCGACUACGAGAAAGAUUGAAGAAAGAGGAGAGGAUUCUGGUUGUCUUGGAUGACAUUUGGGGAAAGGUUGAUAUUGAGGAAGUAGGGAUUCCUUUGGGAGAUGAACACAAGGGCUGCAAAUUACUAUUAACUUCUAGAGAGCUCAAUGUUUUAUCAAAUGGGACGGAUGCUCAGAAAAAUUUUCCCAUUGGGUUUUUAAAUGAAAAGGAAGCCUGGGACCUGUUCAAGAAGAAGGCUGGCGACUGUGAUGAAAGUUGCGAUUUGAAGCCUAUAGCUAUGGGGGUAGCCAAAAAAUGUGCAGGACUGCCGAUAGCUAUUGCGACAGUUGCAGGGGCUUUGAGAAACAAAAGAUUGUUUGAAUGGAAGAAUGCUUUACGAGAACUGGAGAGGCCUUCGUCAAGCAACUUCACGGGGAUAACUGCGGCAUAUUCAGCUAUAGAGUGGAGUUUUAAUUAUUUAGAAAGCGAGGAAGUUAAGCGGACUUUCUUGCUUUGCAGUGUAAUAGGCCAUAAUGGUCUCGUUGAGGACUUGGUAAGAUACACUCUAGGUUUGGGUUUAUUUGAUGGUGUCAACACUAUGGAAGAAGCUAGAAAUAAAGUAUUGACGGUUGCGGCUAAUCUCAAAGCGUCUGCCUUGUUGCUUGAUAGUUAUAAUGAUAAGCGCUUUGAUAUCCAUGAUGUUGUUUGGGAUGCUGCUAUAGCUAUUGCAUUGAAGGACUACCGUAUGCUUGUUUUGAGAGAUCAUGCUCCAAAGGAGUGGUCCGAUAAGGAGAAAAUGAAGACGUGGAGUGUGAUCAGCUUACGUUGUCCUCAGAUUAUAGCUAACCUUCCUAAGGAGAUGGAGUGCUCAGGACUUUCCUUUUUCCACAUGGCCUAUAAUGGCGCGGUUAAAAUUCCUCUCAAUUUCUUCAAACAAACCGUAGGCCUGAAAGCCUUAGAUUUGGUCGGAAUGCAGUUUCCAUCCCUCCCUGAAUCAAUUAUUCACCUUGCAGAGCUUCACAUGUUGUGUCUAAAAGGAUAUGCAGUUGAUGACAUAACCAUCCUUGGAGAGCUCAAGAGUUUA